GUCUUUUAAACAUGUCAUACAUAUGUAAUUACAAACAACCAUAUUUAAAUCCAAAUAUGGGAUGACUUCUUAAAAUGUCAUUAUAUAAUUCUCAUAGGUAAUCAUACAACGAAAUUCUCCUCCUCUUAUCGCUCGUAAAAAUUGAAGAAAGUAACUAGAAUGUUUUAAUUACGUUCAAUUCAGUAAGAAACACUAAUUACAAUAAUUAUUUAAAUAUGUCACACAUAUUUAGGUAAAAGUAUUAUAGAGAUCUUUGUACUAGGAGUUAGAUUGCAUUUUAUACCAUUUACUCAAAAAAUAAGCAAAUUAGUCUUUAUAUGUUAGAUCAAAGAGCUAACUGGUCCUUUUUGUUACAAAUUUUAUCAAUUUCUACUAUUAAAAACUGGCAUGGCUGACGAAAUAAUCGAAUAGUUAUACUUGGCAUACCACGUGUACUUAUGCUGACAUACAUGGACCGAUUUUUAAUAGUAAAAAUGGAUGAAAUUUUUAACUGAAAAACUAAUUUGCUCGUUAGUUUGAUGUAUAAUUUACUUUUUUUUUAAAGUAGAAAAACAAAUUACAAUGCCACUUUUAAUACAACGACUUCUAUAAUACUUUUACCAUAUAUUUAAUUUACAAAUAUAAUUACAUUCAAAUUUAAUCACGGAAUCACUUUUCAAACAUACACUUAGUGUGAUUAUGUAGUUAGAAUUAGGUGGACGAAAAAGGCAACUCUAAUAUUCUCAAGAUGAUGCCAACGGAUAUAUAUCGACAAUGAUUGGACCAUAAGCAUCAAAUAGCAUCAAGGACCAUGCCCUUAGUGUGAUUAUGUUCUAUUAGUAGUGAUUGUACCAUGGAGAAUCUAAAAGCUAUGGUGCUCCACAAUCAAAGAACCCCAACAAUUUUAGUGCAACACAACAUAAUUGAUCAAAAGACCCUCAUAUUCCAUUCCAACUAUUACCAUUACCACCCAACAUUGUUCUCUAUAUUUUCAACAAACACAAAUAUUCCUUUCGUGUUGCGAACGAAAAUGUGAUAGUAAUUUUUUUAGGGUAAACUGAGAUAGAAAUGAUAGUUCAGAUAUCAAAAUAAGAUAAAUAAAAUAAAAUAAAGAUCAAAUUAUAACUUAAACCUAUUGAUAAAGUAGAAUGGAUUGUAAAAUCAGGUUGGGUGAAUUUGAAAAUUAUCAAAAAAUUUAUACAAACAAAUUUCGUAUAAAAAAUUUGAAGACAAAUUAAAAUUUUUAUAUGUUAUUCUUCUUUUAAAAGUCUUCACAACUUUAGGUUAAAGAGAGAAAAAGAAAAAGAAAAACAAAAUCGAAACUAAAAGUGAGAAAUCACAAACUUUGAAUUUUGUUCAUUUCUUUUCAUUUUUCCAAGAUUCUUUUUUUUUAAGUUUGAAAUUGUUUUCAAAUAUAUAAAAUUUUAGGAAGUUGUUUUCCUUUUUUUUCUCUCUUUUUUGAAAGAUUCCAAAAUAUUUUUUAAUAUAAAAAAUGGCUUUAAGAAUAAUUUCUCAUAAUAUUAUCGCAUUACUUAUAAAUUAGAAUUUUGGAUGAUAAUUUUCCUUAUAUUUUUUACUUUUAAAUUGACUUAAAACGAGCUGUUAUCACCCUUGUUGAUACACGGUAUUAACAGAAGAAGCCCCCCUCUUAAACAGAGUGUCUAAGGUUACUUGAAUCAUAGGUAUUUUGAGUUGGAUAAACGGAUUGAAUUUCGGGACAGAUUAUUAUAUAUUUUAUUAUAAUUGUAUAACAACCCUUAAUCAAUAUCUUUAUUUAUUAAGAUAUAUUAUAAAAUAUUUCAACAUGAUUAUUAAUAGGACAUGUGUCAAGUUGAUAAAAUUUCAAAACUUCACAAAUUAAAAUAAACGAGGCGGACAUAAAUGUUAACAAUAUUAAUUCUAAGAGUUCCAAACUGAAAAAAUAGGAAAAUGUAAUUUUUAAUUUUUUAAAUUACAAAAUUAAAUUUCAAACUUUUCCUAGUAAAUUUAUAACAAUUCACUAAUGUAAGUCGACGCAAAUUGUGUAAAAAGAAUUAAUGUAUGGAAAAAAAUAAGGCAUAAUGUCAAAUUUAGUCCUCAAUGUUUAUAUUCAUUGUCAAUUUAGCUAUUAUUCUUUUUUUUAAAAGUAAAUUUGACCCUUAACCUUUUAAAAAAAAUCAAUUUGACCAUAAACCUUUCAAAAAGAGUUAAAUUGUUGAUGUUUUUAAUAGAAAUAUUUUCAAAAAGAGUUAAAUUGUUGUUGUUUUUAAUAGAAUUAUUGACUAAAACGUUAAUUUUUUAAACAUGGUAGCUCGAAUGACAAUCCACAUGUAUUUCACGUUGCUUUUUAUGAACUUUUUGUAUUUUUUUAAAUUUUAAAUAUUUUUAUUUUUAUAUUUUUAAAAUUAUUUGUUGACAUGACAUAUAAAAGACAAAUAAUGAUAUGUCAACAUAAAAGUACAUGUGGAGUGCCAUGCGGGUUGCCACACCCACAUCCUCAACAUUUUCGUUAAAAAAAUAAUUUGACUCUUUUUUUGAAAGUUGAGAGUCAAAUUUAACUAAAAAAAAUAACAAUGGUCAAAUUAACAAUAAAUGCAAACGUUGAGGACUUGAGGGUUAAAAAAUUCAACGUUCAAUGUAUCAAAUAAUUACACAUUAUAUAUAUAUAUAUAUAUAUAUAUAUCUUUUUAUAUAUUUUAUAUAUUAAAGUUUUUGUGAAUAUAUUAUCUAUUUGUAUUAUGUACGGGCGAAAUUAAAAAUUUUUAACAAGCCAAAUUAAUUUUUGAAAUAUCAAAAUAUAAAUUUUAUUAUGUAUUAAUUUAUAAUUUCAUCAUUUUUUAAAAGAUUAAAUAAAAAAAUUAUUUUGUCAAAGCAUAAUUUUAUUAUGCAUUAAUUUAUAAUUUGAUCAUUUAUAAAAGAUUAAAAUUAUAAUUUUUCAUUUUGAGGACCAAAGCUCCUGUUUGCCCUUGUAUUCGCCCCUCAUUAUACAUACUAAAUAAUUAUAUAUACCUAAAUUAUGUUAAUAAUUAAUUUAUAAAUAUAAAAUAAUAUGAUAUUAAAUCGAAAUCUCAUUAAUAAAAAUAAAAUAAGGUGGAACAGUAUAAAACAUGUGGAGUUACACAUAUAUAUCCAACAUGUAUGAACGUGAAUAUUUUCAACAUCAAUGCAAACAAAAAACAGAAUGGAUAAGACAAGCCAAUAUCCAUAUAACUAUCUCGUUUCGUUACCAUCCUUAUUAAAUGUUAGAAAUAACAUGAAAAAGGUUACAUCGUAACAAUGCGACAUUCAUAACAUAACAUAAAUGGAUGAUUAUGUAAAAAUCUACUUUGAAAUAACCACAAGAAUAAAAGUAAAUCAAAGAGUUUCUACUGUAAAUAACAUAAUAGCAAUAGAAAAAGAGUACAUAAUUUAUUCAUAGUAAUGAAAACCCCAAGUAACCGACAAGGGCUUGAAAUUACACCAGUUUCAUUGGUCAUACACACACACACACAUCAAGAACUUCCAGCAGCCUCAAACAGUUGUUUUACUUUGGUGAUAUAAUCCCCCAUUGCUUCCUCCUUUGAUUUCCCUGUCAAAAUGCCAAAAAACCCAAAGUCAAAUCAUAGUUUUUGUUCAUAUAUUUCGAAACCCUCUGCUAUCUGAUAGUCACAUUAAAGCCCCCAAUUAAAUUCAAAGUCGAAACUGAUUCAAACCCCUAAACAAGAAAUAAAGCUCUUCUAAAGUUGCUUUCUUUCUCCACAAGAUUCCAACACAAUAUUGGUAAAAAUAUUGUGGAGGUCCCCAUUUCUACUAAAAAAGAGCAAAUUAAUCUUUGUAAGUUAAAUAAAAGAACAAACCAAUCAUUUGUAUCAAAAAUUUCAUCCUUAAAAAAUGGUGUGGCUGUGGCUGAUGAAAUAAUCCGACAAUGACACGUGACAUGCCACAUGUACCUCAUGUUAAUGUAUAUAGACCAGUUUUUAAUUAUAGAAAUGGAUGGAAUUUUUUUUAAAAGAAUGACAAAUAUGCCCAUUUUUAAGUAAAAUAGACAAAAUACAAUUCAACUCCUAGUACAGGAGCCUCCAUUGUACUUUUACCCCUACAAUACCUUACUUAAAAGGACAUCGGAUUGAACAACUAGUUAUUACAUACCUUCAACAGCCUUCCAUGCAUCCCACUUGUACUUUUCCCUCAUGUUGAACAUUCCAGGACGGCCUUUUUUAUAGACAAAAAUACAAAACACCAUGAAUCCCUUUACUAUAUAGUGACUAAAAGAAUAUGAUUAAAUGAGUUAUAUAUAUAUAUACUAACUGGUAUUCACUGGUCCAACAGUAGCUUGCUUGUACAGUCCAUAGAGAAUGAGCAUGUCAUCAUUCGAAGGGGCGGCAGGGAGGGUCUUAACUUUCUCGGCAUGCUCCUCGAAUUCCUCCUACAGUCAACAACAAUCAAAGGGAUUAGAUUGAAGUGAAACAAUAACAUACAUGCAGUGAUCUAAUUACGGUUUUAAUCUCUUCAUUAUACUGAAAUUCGAGAUUUAUAAUUAGCAAAUCUGAACUGAUAACACCCUUAGUAGCUGCAGAUCACAUUCAAACAAUAACAAAUUUACAUACACUUAAUAGAAGAGGCUAAAACCAUAACCAUAAUUAGAUCAUAUCUAGUUAGACAUUUGGAUUUAGGGGUUAGUUUAGAAAUUCAAAAAUCCCCAAUUAGACGUAUCAGUAGAUUCAAGUUGAUUGGCGUUAGAUCUGGGAUCCGAUAUCUGUAAUUGUAAUUCAUUCACAAAAAAACUUCCAGAUCUAAAGGUAAUCUACUUCAAUUGACUUCAUAUUAAACCUAAAAUUCCCCCCCCCAAAAAAAAAAAUGCAGAUGCAGUUCUUUGGGGUGAAUGAAUGAAUAGAUAAUCAGAACAUAAAACCAUAAACACAAGUAAACUAAUUAAUUAGAUUAGAUUAGAUUAUGAAUGAAAGUGAAAGGAAAAAGUAAAGAAAAUCAGACCUUCAAACCCAUAAUUUUGUGAGCGAUGGAUUAAAAGAUGGGUGAAACUAUGGGAAAGAGAGAGAGAGAGAACAGCAGCUUCUUGCUUUCAGUGUGUUUCAAUGGAUCCAAACUAGCAUGUUAUUUAUAACUGUAAACCCCUGCCCAUUAACACGUGGUGGGUAGACUUUGAAAUUAAGUGUACUUAUACAAUUUAUUACUAUAAAUUAUCAAGAAGAUGAGGAUUGAAUUCAACUCGAUUGAUAUUGGUAUUGUUAUUAAUGUAAAAAGAUAGAGGUUUAAGUACUUUAAAGUGCAUUAUUCUUUCGUUUAAGAGUUUGGGAGAGACUAUAGAUAAUUCUAAGUAUUCUAAGGGAUGAGGUAACAAAGAUUAGAUUCGUGCCAAACAGCUGUGAAAUUAUUAAUGUGACAAAUUUAUAAAAAAAAACAAUAUUAAAAUUAAACAUGUUCUUAAAUUAAGGUUAAAAUAUGUUGUUUUUGUAUUUUUUAGAAAUUUGAAAUUUAAUUUUUGUAAUUGUAUUUUGAGGAAUGUAGUUCCUUUACUUUUCAAUUUUCAAAAUUUAAAUAUUAUUGUUUCAUUUUAGUUAUAUUUUUUAUCGUAGAAAUAAUUUAUCGAGAUCUUUUUAUUUUUAUCAAUUUACGUACUUGAACCUCUUUUAGAGUAUUAUCAUUAGUUAUUUAUUGAUCUUCUUCAUUAGUACUUGCCUUUAUAAUACAACUAUCUCGAGUGUUUACUCAUUUUCUUUUACUAGCAGUUUUACCUCUGGAACAAACUGGUUUACUAUGCUUUAGGUGAGACCUACUUUCACUUGCACUAGUAAAUUGUCCUACAAGGGCCUUGAUUCGAUUCGGAGUAUUUUCAGUUGGUAUAUAAGAUUAAAAUUAUCUGAUAAUUUAUUUACAGUAUUUUACAAAUGGGCUACCUUUUAAACUUCUAGUUCACAUUGAUUUAGUUAAAGAUUUAUAUGAGAUGAUAAUGAUGCAUUCCCUUUAAUUUCCUUUACCAACUUGUUACUUUUUCCCCACAAAUGUUGGGAACAUUGCUUCAUCAAAACAACAAUCAACUAAUCAUGCUAUAAAUAGGUUUCUUGUCAUUGGUUCAAACUAUUUAACUAUAGAAGGGAUUCGUAGCCAACUUAUAUUUCCAGCUUUCUUUAAGAGCUCGUCUUUGUGCGUUGCAAUGGGACAACUGGAAGAUAUAUUGCACAUUCAAAUAUUAUAAGAUAGGAAAUGUUUAGUUCUUGAUUAAAACUCAAUUGCAAUGGGAAGAAUGUAUGAUAACUUAUUAAUCCGAUGCAUACAAGUACUGCAACAUGUAAAACAGCAUAUCCCCAGGUUGAAACAUAAAGCUUUGUCCUCCUAAGUUAUGGUCUAGCAAUUAAUUGAAGGUGUUUAACGAAUUAUUCUACUAAACCAUUUUGAAUAUGAACAUGGGCAACAAGCCUUUCAAUUAAUAUUCCAAUAGACAUACAAUACUCGUUAAAAGCCUAAGAUACAAACUCACCGGUAUUAUCAAGACAAAAUUGUCUAGAUUGCAUAAAUUUAAUUAUUUGCACAAGUAAUUUCGCAAAUGUCAAGUUACAAGUUUACAAUAAACAUGCAUGGGACCAUCUUGUAAAUGAAUUUAUCAAAACCAGGAAAUACUUAAAUGAUCCACAUGAUAAGUUAAUAGCCCCACAUGUAUAAACUUGAAUGCAUUUCAAAAAUGCAAAUGACUCCAAAUCAAUUUUAACCAAUGUUGGCAUGGUACUUAAUUUACCUUGAAAACAAGCAACAUAUGAAAAAUUUCGAGUUAAAAAAUCUUUUGAUUCUUCAAUGAAUGAUCAUGUGAGUUCUUAAUGAUUUGCUAAAUAAUAAAUAAAUUUGGAUCUGUAAUCUUCUAGUUUAUUGCAACAUGUGUUUCAAUUAUAUUAAUAAUUGUUUGUUAUGAUUUUCAUUUCUAGUCUCAACAUAUUAUCUAUUUCGACGACUUUUUUAAUACGUAGAUAAAAACGAUACAUAUCUCUAAUAAGUUUUUUUCUCCGGAUAAUAAUAUUAUUACUCUUCUAGAGCUUUGAUAUGAUAUUAAUAUUUGCAUCACACGUUAAUGGAGAUGCUUCAACGAGGAUUUACACGGCUAGAAUAUUCAACCUUAUACAAGAAAGGACGACUACUUUUAAGCAAAAUAGUGAUAAUAACAUAUUUAAAGAAAAUUAAAAGGAAAGAGUGAGAAAAAAAAAUAUAGAUGAAUAAGUAAUAUAAUUUUUUUAAAUAAAAAAGACACAAAUUCAAAGAAUUAGCCACAAUAAAAUUGAUGGGAAUCUAUAUUAAUUAUGGCUUAGUGAAUAUCUUCUUCAAAUAAAGAUCGAGUAUGAUCAAAUAGGUCUUCAAAAAUCGAAAAAUUAUUAAGAUUACUAUAAACAAUUUUAGCCAUGAAAUUUGCUAAUUUGUUAUACUCUUACGGGACAUGUUGAAACUUAUGUUACCAGUCUUGCAAUAAACGAAGCUCAGAAAAAUUAUUAUCACCCAUAUAAAUAGAUUGUCACUUUCUGUCACAAUUUUACGAAACUUUCUUUCCAAGAUAAACUGAGUCGUCAGGUACACCGACCUUCAUAGCAAAAUCAAACUGCCAGCCUCCUGUCGAAUCCCGAAGAAUACUACCAAUAGCAGCAUUAAAAUACCGUAACGAGAUUGUCCGAACGGUAUUUAUAACACAAAAAGUAAAAAUAAUAAUAAUAAUAAUAAUAAUAAUAAUAAUAAUAAUAACGAUAAAACUUACAAAAUUAAAGAAAUAAUGAAUAAAUAGUGAUAAUUAAGAAAAGAUGAAGAAAUUACUCAUCUUCAACAAACAUACACAAUAAUUACAUUAUUAUUUAUAACAAAAAUAUUUUUUUUCCUAUUUUUAAGACACAUAUUUCUCUACAUCGAGAUGAGUUGCAGAGAUUAAAGAUAAAUGGCGGAGAAAACAAUGAAGAAUAAAAUACCCAAAAAAAUCAAUGAAGGGUAUAUUUAAUGCAGACAGCUAGAUGUUGGGACUAAUUAAAUUGUAUAAUACUUUAAUGGAUAUCUAUUGAGUGGAUGGCAGCUGCUUAUAAUUUCGAUCCCAUUUCCAUUUAUUUUCUAAUGAAUUUUAAAAAUUAUAAAUUUAUUUUUUUAUUUUUUUAAAUUCUUAAUAUAUUUAUUAUAACAAAUUCAGUAAGUAAUCUUCUGCGUUCUGUAGACCCAUUAAAUGAAUUUUGAUUUAAUAUAUAAUGCUACUUGAAACUUAUGAUUUUGGAUAAUUAUCAAAUUUUAAUUUUGAUUAGUUAAAAGAGAAAAAAAUAUGUAAAAAAUAUAUUUAUCAAACGGUUAUAUUAAUUAGUUCAUGUUUUGAUUACAAUAUUAAUGCAGGAGAAUGUCAGUUCGAAUGCGUUGAAGCACAUUAUCUUCCUAUUUAUGGGUUGAGGAGGGAUUAUAGGUAGUUCUAGAUAUUAUGUCAAAAAUAGCAAAUAUGAUUAGAAUCUAUAAUGAGAUUGUUAAAAAAAAAUUAAUUGUUUAUCUUACAAGACAUUUCGAGUUCAAAUUACAUUAUAAUUAAAUUUUUAUUGAUUUAUUAUAUGAAAAGAUAAAAAUACCUUCAAAAAUAUAAUUUAUUUUGUAUAUGAAAGAGUGUUUUGGUAAUUUCAUAUUUAAAUUCAUGCUCAAUUGAUUCAUAAUAUCAACUCAAUAAAAUACUUCAAAUAAGUAUAAUAGUAUAGAUAGAUGUAGCAGCGAAGCCAGGGGACUAGCAAGGGACUCCCCCUCCCCCCUAAAUUAAAAUUUUCACUUUUUUUUAUACUUUUAUAAUUUAUAAAAUUUUAAAUUAGUAUAUAAUAAAAUUACACUUAGUUCUCGAUAAAAAAUUAAUUUAAUCUUUUAAAUAUUAUAAAAACAUACUAUUAAAAUGAUAAAAUUAUAUUUUUAUUAUUAUACAAAUAUAUAACUUACUUCCAUCCCUCCCAAGAUUUUUUAGACUUCACCCUAAAUAGAUAAUAUAUCAAUAAAUGAAUUUUUAAUUAAAAAUAAAAGAAAGCAUUAUUAUAUAAUUUUUUAUUUGAUAAAGACACGUCACACCAACUAUUUAAAAAAAUGAAUAAAUUUAAUAUUAGAUAAUUUUUUAUAUAUGUAAUAAAUAAACAAUACUAUAUUGGUGUGGUUGUUAAAAAAUGUGAAAGAUUAAAUCAAAAUUAUACAAUAAUAUUAUAAUAUACACAAUUUUAAUUCAUUGAUCAAAGAUAAAAAAUAAUAAUAAUAAACUAAUCAUCCAAACUUUUUUUAGGGCACUUUUAUUUUGGGACUAAAAUGAAAUUCCUACAAUUUCGUCAGUCAAAUUUUAGUGUGCUCCUAUUGUAGUCACCCACGUAUUAAAUCUCUAAUAAUGAUUAACUGUACAUGUCAUAUUAUAUUUACACUUUUAUUUUGGUCACUUAACUUUUAGGUCGCUUUCAUUUUGAUUAGCCAAAAAGAUAUUUUUUAAGUAUUGAUCAAAAUGAAAAAAAAAGAAUUAAAGUGAAAAAACAAUAAAAACUAAAAUAAUGCAUUAAAAAUUGUCAAAUAGUAUAUAUUUACCCUCUUGCAGAAAGUUUUAAUUUUUUUUCAAUAUUAAAAUAUUAAAUUUCAAAACAUCAAAAUUAAUUAAUUAAAUUAUUAAAAACUUUUAUCCCUUAAUAGUUUUAGUUAAUUUACAACUAUAAUAUUGAAAUUAAUUAAUUUAAUCUACUAAAAUUUUAAAUUUUAUUUAAUGUUCUCAAAUUAAAAUCAACUCACAUAAUUCAUAUUUAACAAAAAUCUCAUAGUUUUUCACUUCUUUACCUAAAAAAAAGAAAUAAUUAAUUUAAUUAAUUAAAAGAAUUUUCCUUUGAAGAUUUGACAUCAUAUAAUAAAAAAAAUUAUGUUUUGUAAAUAGUUAUUAAAUAUUAGUUAUUUAAUUUUUUUUUGUUAAAGAUAAUUCAAAAACCUAUUUUAAAAUUUAAAAGAUUAAAUUAAUUAAUUUAAAUCGUUGACAUUAUCAAAUAAUAAUAAAAAAUCAACAAUUUAUUUAAAUUAUUUGAUGUUUAGAUAUUUAAGUUUUCAAUAUUAAAUUUUUUAAAAAAAAUUCAAAAUUAAGAUAAAGAAGCACAAUUUGACAAUUUCAUGUAUUAUUUUAAAUUCUACUAUUUUUUAACUUUAAUCCUUAAUAUUUUUUUACCUCAAUCAAAACUUACUUAAAAAAGAGAUUUUUUUGAUAACUGAAAUGAAAACCAUCUAAAAGUUGAAUGACAAAAGAAAAUGUAAAUAUGAUAUAAUAUGUAUAAUUAACUAGUGUUAAAAAUUUAACACCCUAAAAUGAUGACCAAAGUAAAAGCUCUAAAAGUUUGGAUUACCAACUAGGGACCUUGUCAUGAGAUUGGCAGAUGAACCGGAAAAUUACAAACUUGUCAAUCAAUGCUCUAAAGAUCAAACCACCAAUUUUUUUUAUUUAACAGACACCAUUGUGAUUCGUGAGUCUGACAAUAUUAAAUAAAUAAAUAAAAUAUACUAAAAAUUUUAUAAACCGAUUCAACCAUCUGCUUUGUCCUGGUUUCUCUGUUUUUACCUAUUCCAAGCAAUUCACUCAAAGGCCAAACUAUGCCUGAACCAAUAUAGUGAACGAUUUUCGGUUCAAUCGGCUAGUCCUGUCUGGUUCCAACAAUACAAGUGUCAAUAUAUAAAUUCAAAUAUGCUGUUAAGUCCCUAUACUUUCAUAAAUUUUGAUAUUUAGUCCUGUACUUAAAAAUUAAAAAUUAAGCCCUCUUACUUUUUUUUUAUUUAAAAAUUUCAGUCAAAUCAUUAAAACACUAUUAGUAUUUCCCGUAAAAAAUUUAUCAACUUGGCACGAUUAAGCCAUCUCAUAUGAUUGACAAAAACUUAACAUGUUAACAAAUUUUGACGAAAACUACCGACGACAUCGAUCAGACUAUAAUUUUUAAAUAGGAAAAAGUAAGAGUACUUAAUUUUCAACUUUUUAAGUUCAUGGACUAAUUCGCAAAUUUUAUUAAAAUACAAAGACAAACAGCAUUUGUUAACCAAUAUAUAUAAAAGUUUAUAAUUCCACAAACAUGAUUAUGUCGUGAAGCAUAACACAGCCACGAUAUGAAUACAUGAAUUGCUAUAGAUCUAAAUGAAAUCUUAAGAAAGAACCACCUCAAAACCAAGCGUAAUUUAAUAUAGCCGCAUGGAUCUAUCUAAUACUACCGAAACAUACAGCCAUUAUAUAACUUAACAGUGUGUGUAAAGCAAAAAAAAAAAAAAACCAAUUUUAUAAUAAAAUAAAAAUAAAUAAAUAGAAAUUAGGUUUUCAAAAGGUUGGAUUUGGACAUUUAAAAAUUGUUAAAUCUUUUCGAAUCAGGCAAAUCCAUCCCUAAACUAUUAGACUUAUUAUAACAUAAAGGCUUCAAUUAGAAACUAGAAACUAAGUUAUGAAAAAGAUUAGCAGUCAAACUGACCGUGGCUUGUUAUGCAUAUGCUGUCUGUUUUUGGUCUCAUGAUGGCAUUUCAAUAUCACCUCCACAGAAUUUCCAUGAUCCAUCAUCUUGCCUUCUAAGGAUAUAUCGGAUCUUAUAUGUGCUGCAAAAAUCGAUAAAAAACCGAAUACAUCUCAGUCCGAUGAAACAAUUUCGAGUUCUAGAGUUGAUGGUAAUGCAUUGGCAGGUAAAAUGUAGAAAAUUUUCCCUCAGCGUGAUUUUUGAAAGAAAAUUUUUUACAAGUACAAAUACAAUCCAAGUACAAGUAGGAGUAACUACAAAGUAUAAUGCACAUAUGGACGAAUAACUGAAAAUGAUCCGGACUAAAAACCUACACAUGCAUAAUUGUGCAUGGUAGGACCCAAACUUAGGCAGUCAGGAUUCAAGACUCGGGCCUCAGCCUUUGCCAAGACUUCGACCCCUCAGCACGUUUUUAAGCAGUGUAAAACUGUGGUAAAAAGAUCUCUCCAGUCCCUCUCAAUUUCAAAAUAUAGCAAAUUGGUCCCUCUCAAAAAAAUCGGAGCAAUUUAAUCCCAGUCAAAUUCAAGUGUAAUCAAUUAAGGACAAUUAAUCACAUCGUUAAUGUUUUCUGUCAAUUCUACAUAACUUUGAUUGGUAUAAUAACAAAUUGAGCCCUUAAAGUUCACACAUUCCGUCAAUUUGGUAAUAAUUUAACAAUUUUAGCCUGCAACAUUUAUGUUAAUGUGUAAAUAGUGAGGCUAAAUUUGUUGAAUUUUUUAAAAUCUAGACCAAAUUGACAAAACAUGUAAACAUCAAGAGCUAAAUUUGUUGUUAUACCAAUCAAAAUUAAUACAAUUGACUGAAGACAUUAUUGUCAUGAUUAAUUGUCCUUAAUUGCUUGCUUUCGAAGCUGACAAGGAUUAAAUUGUUCUGAUUUUUUUGAGAAGGAUCAAUUUGCUCAAUUUCGAAAUUAAGAAAGACUAGAGAGGUCUUUUUACCUAAAGUGCAACUAUUAUACAUUCUGAGCUCUGAAAAUAGAGUAACCCAACGUGUAUUUGCUUACCUGUAAUAAUUAGGAUUCUUUGGCUGAGACUCAUCGACAAGCUCUGCUGCUUCCUCUAGGAGAGCCUCAAUUUCAGCAAUCUCCCCCCUGUGAAUAUCCAAUAGAACGUCUGCUCGCAGAAUGGUCAAUUGCAGCAAAACAAAUCUCCAAUAACAACAUCUAGUUUUCGCCAUGUCAGCCAAAGCUUGCCACUGCAGACCACAAUAAUGUCAACAAAAGGAAUUCAAAGGUUUUACACAUCAUGAAUUCAUAGUUAGUGUCUUGCAGAUGUUUAGUUUUGAAAAUCGAAAAAUCUCAGAAAUGAUUGAAUCUUGAUUUUAUUUUGGUUUUGAUUUUCCAAAUGUUUAGUUCAGACAACAUUCAUUAAAUUUUUUAGACUGAUCAAGCUCCCCCAAAUUUUGACUAACACGUGAUGUUCCUUUUCACCACAUGAGGGAAAUAAAAUCAAAGAAUAAUUUCAGUAUUUCCUUGCAGCUAUUGAAAUAGGCAGCUAAAUCGCAGACAAUUUGCUAUCAUCAAUAAUAUCUAAAAUCAGUUUCUCCAGAAGGAAUGUUCUUAUUUUCCAAAGAGUACACAAGUGGCACUAACUGAUCAACGGUAGACACUCCUUUUAACAUAUGUUGCUUGGACCUAGAUGUAAGUGUGGAGUAUGGGUCUGUGUCUGACACAGGUAUGGUUAGGUUUUUCUAAGUUGUUCCAUGUAUUUGGAGGAUCCUUUCAUGUUCUCAUGUCCAGGUGUCAAACAGGAGAACCGGACAGGGGUACUUCAACAAAAAUUAAGAGCCUGAGCAACAGAGUUUUGACCUUUCUUAUCCUCCCUUCUGAGGUUCGGGUGGUCAGGCAAGGAUACAAGGGAAAGUUCAUGUAUCAUCUUAUUGUUAACAUAACAAAAGCAUGAAAUUAAAUGAGACCCUUCAAUAGAUUUUACCUGAAUUAACAUUGACUCAUCAAGGGCUUCAGAGAGGGUAUCAACCUGAUGGUUAGGUCCAAGAGCUUCAGCUUUAAUUGCUUGCCAUUGCCUGACAAGAGCUUCAGCUUCUUCCACAGACAUUUGCUUUGUGUCAACUUCCGUGAUUGAAGUUGACAGGCUAGCAGGAAGGCAGGAAGUUCUUGCAUUCCUAGCUUCAGAAGGGUUCAUGAAUUGAACCUUAGCCAAAUCCAAAAGUUUCUUUAUCUUUACACCAAUACCAACUGCCUUGAUACGAGGAGAGCCUACAUUAUAAUCCAAGAAAGAAUCUCCCUUACUGGUAAGGGAACUUGUGUUCAUAUGUGGUUUACUGGAGGCCCAUAUUGACAUACGCCUGACCCCACUUAAGUUCAUUCCAGAUAACUUACAGCUAGUUAAAACAAUGCACCCUAAUAUAGCAACAAAAGUUACCCUUUCGGUGACAUUACUUUGCGAAAACCAGCUUUCCCAAGUUUUAUUCUGGUUUACUCCAAAUUUUCUUUCCAACUGAACAGAAGAUGAACUGACAUUGCUUCCACCGCUAUCGUCACCCAUUACCAAAGGACUCUGCAAAUCAGUUGGUCCUAAUUGCUUAACAGCUGACACAAUAUGUAGAGAAGAUUUCAUACGGGGAAGGGAAUCCUCAAAAUCUCUCCUCUCCGAUGCAAGAGCAGUAGGUAGUGAUCUAUGGCCUAGAUUUGGGAUGGUUUGAGGGGAACCUUUAAUUUUCUUGCUCCUAGGAGCUCUUCUUUCACCGCCAAAAUAGUUGGCCUGCAGACAAGUACAUAUGUUAGUACAUCCUUGUUAAUCUGAUAACUCAAUCAUUGUGUUCUUACCAAAGAAGGAGAACAAUCUCUUGUAUCAGGAAAGAGAGAAAGCACAGCAUCCUUCAGCCAAAUUUCCUGAUUAAAGUCAGAAGUCAGUUUAAUAUUAGAGAAUGCAUCAAUCUUGAUGAUAAACAAGAACUUCAAAAGACAUGAUCCAACUAGUGACUGAAUAAUGACUAUUUUCAAAUGCACAACCUCACCAACUUACCUGUCUUCAAACAUAAGAUAAGGAAUGAAGAAAAAAUAAAUCACCCCAGGUGCAAAAAGGUGUGCUCACUUGAGUGGAGACACUAAUUUCUAAAGGAAAAUUAAUAACUACAGGAUAAAAGCAUUCCCUGUAUUGUGUCUAAUAGCUUAAAAAAUAUUAGAGAUUACACCAUUACAGUACCUAAUGUGCUCCAAAAGACAUGAAUUAUCACAAGUAAUGUCCCUUUUUUGACCAUUAAUUUUUUAUUCCCAUAAAUAGAGCAGAAAACGUCCCCUUUUGACCAUUGAAACAAUAGCUAACAAAAGAUGAGAAAAACUUGAGAAACCAAAGGACACUAGAGUCAGGCAUGCUUUUUCUCUACAUUUAGCCUAGGAGAAGGAAAAAAGCAAAUGCCUAGGCACAAAAGACAUGCAUCUUAUUGAACACACCUUCCUGAAGGGGUGUAAGGAGCUUUGCUUGAUUGACACUGCACCUUAGCACCUAGGUAUGUGCACUGACAAUGUUGUAUCUACCUCAUGGAAUCAGCUACAAGGAACAUUGUGUUCUUUUCAGAAUCCUAAUUAGGGUAAUAUCAUUAAACGCUAAAUUGUAAGUUUUCUCCUAUCUCUUCAUUGGAGUAUCCUUCCUGCUUUUUGAAAUCAACUUUCUCCAUUAAAUCAUAGAUUCCCAACAAAAGCAUUUACAGACCUCUGUCCCACAUAGCCAAACCACUACUCACACCUCCACGUUUUACGCUUACUACUGUUUCCACAUAUUCCUGAAGGCCCGUGUGCAUUCAGAAUCCUCUUUUUUUUUUUUUAUAAGCUCAAAUAUCUUUGCAGCAUCCUCGUUUAACUAUUUCCAUCUUUGCUUAACCACCCAAAAUUCAAUAGCAUAAAGCAAUUGUGGUGUUAUUGCUAUCAUGCAGAAGUCUGCCUUAAGCUUAAGAGGUAUUUGCUGUCACACAAGUAAAAUUUCUCCUAUGUUUGCAUGAUUGAGCCAAGAUACUAAAACAAAUCACUUUGCAGUAUAUAUCUUUUUCUCUAAUUUUUACACUUGCUUCAUUGCCAGUCCUUUACUGAGUGUUCAUCUCAUAAACUUUCUUGUACAUUUACUUAACACUUUUGAUUCUAUGGUUUCCCUCCAUAGCUCAAGCAUUAGUCAUGGCUCUCAUCUCACCCACCAGAUAGAUAUAUCAUUUAAAAAAGCAUAUACCAACAAAUUGAUCAAUCACCAAGGAAAAUAGAUAAGGCUCAAGGCUGACCCUUGGUUAAACUAUGCUAGUGAGCAAUGCUCCAUCACCCCCUCUAUUAAUCUCUAAACAAGUCACUACAUUAUAUGUAACAUUCAUUACCUGAAAUAACACACCGACUCCCUAAUGCUCCUAAAGUUCCUAAGCAAACAUAAAAUCACAAUUUGAUAGUCAAUCCAAAAUAAGUAAUAAUAAAUCAAAAAGGUAACAUCCAGAGUCAAAAGAGUAAAAAUUAAACAUAUUGAUCCCCCAACUGUUGAACUUUCUACUCAUUGCAAUCUUAGAUGCAUAAGCAGGAAGAUGAUUUAAGACUUACCAGUGAGGAAUUUAUACUAGAACUGCUUAGUUUCUCCUUUCCUGUAAUAGAAUUUUGGGGAGCACGAUUUGAAGUUGAUUCAAGCUGUUGAAGCUUUUCAAUAAUCUCAGCCUCACUUCCCUAAUAACCAACAUAUGAGUUAUAAAAGUAUUUCAAUAAAAAAAUGCUCCAGCAUCCAAAGACACAAAACUUUCAACUUUUACAAUAUUUAAAUCCAACAUUAGGUAAAGGGAAGAUAUAAAAUCUAUACCUGUCCAAGAAGGAACAAGCAGAAAGCCUCCUCAAGCUUUAGAUCAGUACCCUCGGAUGUUAUCAAACACUCGCAUAUAGUUUUUGCUUUGAUAAUCUACAAAAUAUAGUAAAAAAUAACAACAAUAACAAAGUAUUGAUAGAAAACAGUCUCCCCACCCAACCACUCCAAAGCAGAACCCCCAAGUUAUUAUUCAGAGACCAAGCAGAAUGGAGAGAUACCAGGUCAGUUUGCCUGCUUGAAAAUCCAAGAGCAAUAUGAGCAAUCAAUGCCAUGUAGAAACAGGUAAAAUCAAUUACAACCCUUUGAUUCUGUGAUUCAAUUGAUUUCUUAUUCUUCCUUGCCAUUGCAAAAUUAUCCCAGGGAAGAAUAUCAACUACUUCUGAGGCCAACAGCCGAUUAAGAGCUUGGCUCAAGAAGCUUGACCAAUCUUGGACCUGGCAAGAAGAUUCCACAUCAAGCCCCUGUCUGAGCAGUUCGCGCAGGGCAGCAAUCGCUCCUCGUCGCCUGUCAGCAUUUUCAGGUGAUCGAGGCAAGCCUAAUAAUUCCAAUGUGCAUGCAGGUGCAAGUUCCUCCAAAGAUUCUUCUAUCUAAGAACCAUAGCAAAUAAUUAAUGUAAACAGAAGGAUAUUACUAAACCUUCAAGAAUAAGGAGAGCACAUAAUUACAGACUGUCUAAAUGUGGCACCUAUCCUCCGACAUUAUUGCAGUCAUCACUAUGCAAAAUAUAUUCAAUUCAUAGCCAUCAGAAGAAUUCAUUAGAAAUUUUGUAUUGUUUGGCUCUGUUUACUUUUUUUUUUUUGGUUACAAACAGUAUGCUAUUAACAAUUAUCAUUGUCAUUAGCACAGAAGAAACCAAGAGGAUGCCUAUUACUGAUUAAAGCAAAGCAAGUUGUGGAAAUCCUUGAAUAAGUAAAAUGAAGGCAAAAGCAUAAAAUAGAAACAACAAUUACCUGAGAUAACAACAUCAUUUGUUUAAGAGAUUUUGUACUCCUCAGAAGACACUGAGCACGAGCAAGAGCUUCAAAUCCUUCAGAGACCUUGUUCUUUUCGAAACCAAUCUUUGCGAUUGAACACUUCAAGAAAGCACCUAUUAUAAGAAAAGUGGGCAUAGCAAAGUUGAUGUUAAAGUUGGUAAAAGAUGCUAAGCUCUUCACCUAUUUAUCUCACCUCAGCAAGUGCCAUUGAUAAAAGCAAAUCAUGAAUAUAGGGCUUAGCAUCUGUACGCUGAAUAGCUGCCCUCCCAACUUCGAGGACAAGCUCCUCUUCUCCAACCUAAUACACAAGAAACCCAUACCAUAUCAGUUCUAUCCAUCCAAGCAGAAAAAGAUGCUUUUGCUACUUACUGUUUAUUUCCAAAAGCAAAUAAAUAAAUAUGUAAAUUUAGAUGAUAUGAUUUCUGAAUAAUAAUAAGUUAAAAUUUUAACUUUAUUAAUAACAAAAUGUACAAUUUUAACUUGAUAUGCAAUAAUUACAUUUGAUUAUCUGUUAUACUUGUACAUUUCUAGCCAUUCACUAAUGUUUUAUGAAAGCCUUAGCCUAUUUAAAAUUUUCUUAAACAUAACGAGCAAAUACAAAUUCCCAGGUCUCAUUAGCUUAUUACCUUUUGCACUGCUUCCUCAAAAUUUUAAAGCAAAAGCACAAAAUAGAAUGUGAAAUCAUACUUGUUUUAUAACGACCAAAUGACUAAAAUAUAACACCAAUUCAAACAUAGUGGUAACCAUGAACACUAUUUUCUUAAAUUUAAAAACUUCUAGCACUUACUUUUACAUUCAAAUGCAAAUCGAACAUUAUUUCUCUAAAUGUUCAACAAUAUCACCCAAAUACUCUAAUUAACAAUAUCACCUAAUUAUAAUAACUACAAAUUAGAGAAUCGCACCUCUUGAAGAAGGCAAACAGCAGCAGGCAACCAACGCCAUGGAAUUCGAAGAGAUGAUUUCGGCGGAAUCUUCUCCUUCACAUUUCCAGCGUACUCCGUUUCGAAAAGUAGCUUAUCCCUCACAUCCAUCAGAAUCUCCUACAACAAAGAGUGAAACGACACUGAAACAAUAAAAAAUAUUUAAAAAUACAAAAAAAAAUAAAACGACUUCUUCGAUCGUUUUACCUGACGAGAAACAACAACAUCACUAGUAUAACCAUCAUCAACCUCACUUCCCUUCAAAUUCAUUACCGACUUCACAAUCUCAUCUUUCUCAGCUUGACUCGAAACGCCGAUCAGCUGAUAACAACUAACCGGUAUGUCAACAACCGCGUUUCCAACGACGGAGGAAGAAGGAGAAGACAAAACAGGCGCCGCGUUGUUGUUGUUCUCCACAAUGCCGACGCCACGAGUGUCGAUAGCACCGGACUGAAAUCGGCUUCUCACGGUAGGAAAACGGUAGCCGUUUGAUUUGAUUAGGGUUUCAAAACCUGAAACCUCACAGUAACUAGAGCUACGAAUGAAGAAACAACAAGAAGAAGACGAAGAAGAAGGAGGAACAAUUGGAGCCAACGUCAAAUUACUCAGUGCCAUUUCCCACUCCAAAAAAAAAAAUGAAAAAAAUUGGAAAAAAAAAUUGAAAAUGGAAGCUUAUUUGUUUACAUGAAUUAAAUUUCUAACGGAAUUAUUUGAGUGAAUUGCUGUGAUUUCGUGUUUAUGGAUUUAGAUUGCGUUUGUUUAGCUCAAUGGAAAAAUUGAAAAAAAAAAACACAAAAAAUGAUGGGUAAAGCUAAAAAGUGUUAAUGCCGUCGGUCCGGAUAGCGGUCCGAUCUUUUUUAAAGGUUAAUAUUCGUUCGGUUUGGUUAAUUUAUUAUUUUAGAAAAUGUUUUAUAUUUAGGGAUAAAUUGCAUUCAAAGUCACUAAACUACUAAUAACUUUAAGUUUUAGUCACUCAACUUUAAAAAGUUAUAAAAUUUUCACUAAACUAUUUGAAAGUUUUCAAUUAAAUCAUUCGACUAUUACGAUCGUUGUUUAGUUUAGUUUUUUUUCUUUUACAUAAAACAACUUUAAACAUUAUAAAUCUGUGAACUAAAGCCUAAAAAUCUUUAUUUUUUGAUUUUCAGCACCAACUGUCAAAUCAACUUAAAUCUAAGAAAUAUUUUUCUAUUCGUUAAUAGAUAUUGAUUUACUCCACCUAUCAUUAAAUCAUCCUUUGAAGCUCGCUAAUCAAAUUGUGUGAAUGGCUUGAAUACCAUAGCCAUUAUGUUAAUAUCCCCUCCCAAAUGGUGGGUGCUCGAAUCACUGGUUCCUUCAAGGAAAUAGAAAUGUGUAACAAGAUGGCAGUUGGUGUAGUUCAUUCUCGACAAUGCCAUGGCUUCGCCAACUGCAACCAAUGCCUUUUCAACCUCGAUGUUCAGUGCAGUUCAUUCUCGAACAUUGUUAAACACAAAGCACAUGAGCAUCCCCUUUUUCGGCAAGGUAAACAAAUGCAGUGAUUACACCGGUUAUGGUUUCAGCUACACUUCGUUACCAAGUACAGCAAUGCAUAAGCACCACAAACACCCUCUUGAUCUCACUUACAGAGAUGCCAUGGAUCGGAUAUACAACGACAUUUGUGAAGAGGACAUCAGCCCCAAGCAUUGGUUCUACUACUGCAGAGCAUGCAACUUUCCAGCGCACCCGAAACGUGCUUCGGUGCAAUACCCGUACAUCAGGUUCGGAAAUACAUACACGUAUAAACUAUAUAAAAGGCAAAAAAAUCUAUAGAUAUUUAAACACAGUAGAUAGAAACCGACAUUUAAGAUUAAAAUUGAUUGACGAAAAACUUGAUUGAUAACACCUUACCCUAAGAAACCAUACAUGUAUGCAUGUGUACAAAAAGGAAAAGGACAUUGAUCUGGUUUUUAACCAGUUAGUAUAAAACACUUUCAGUGUUGCAUAUAUAAACUAUAUAUAAAGGCAAAAACAAUAAGAAAAAUUGAAUUGAAAGGAGCAACGGGAGUUGGGUUCUUCAAAAGAAUCAUGUUUAACCUACAAAUCAUCAUAGGGGGGGAUAGAAAUACGAAGAAAGGGAAAAGCCAAGGAAGAGAAAGCCGCCAAUUGCGGCCACUGUUCGCUGCGAGAUCUUGGCCGCCAACAUGCUCCCUCCCACCACGGCCAGUGAUGUACAGAUGGUGUGUCCUAUUAUGGCUCCCACUGCUACCCCCACUGCAUUUUUAUGUGUUGCUAGCUGAAACAACAGAAAGAAAAUUAGUGAUGAAAAGCUUUCUCAUAACUCUUUGCACCGAUUACAGACCAGUUUUUAAAAAAAAAGGCUACAACAGUUUCAGUAGAAUCAAUCAUUACAAGUAUUGAACUGGAUAACUAACUCAACAACUAAUUCAAUUCGAUUGAACUAACUAAUCAACCAGAAUAAAUCUGGAGGAGAACCCACACAUUUACAAAUGGUGAGACAUGAACUUCGGAUCCUAAACUUCUCAAGGCCUCAACCUUACCAUUGAGCCGAUGCUUCAUUGACCUCCUUUACUGAUUACAUACUAUUAUCAAAGGGUUUUCACAUAUCAAAUAAUUUUACUUGUAUCCCUCUAAAUAAGCCAAAAACCUAAGGUUUUAUGGUGUUGUUAACUCUAAAAAAACAUAGGGUUAUCAACAUUCUGGUCUCUGUAUAUUACUUGAGAGAAAAUAAUAAUGAUAUGGCUAUAAAAUUUGUUUUACAACACAAGGUUUAAAUCUAACCCUAGAUUUAAACCAUAAAGAUAAUUAAUAAUCCUAGUCAUCUUUUUAUAUCUAAUAAUAUUAAAUAAGUUCCUGCAUCAUUUUAGACUAGCAUAGGUAACUUUUGACCUAAGUGCCAAGAUCAAGGAGGUUCAUUAUUUUUAUAUAGCAACAGAGGUGAUCUGCGAUUUUUAAGAUAACAUGUUAGCUAUUUUUCCUUAAAAACUUCUACUCAAGAACAAGAACCUGAAAAUAUGAGUAACCAUUGGAAACAAAUGAACAAAUAGGAAUCGUGGUAAUAACUUAAGAUCAAGGGUGGGAAUCAUCUUACAGCAAUUGUGGCAAUUUGGCUUCGAUCCCCCCAUUCGGCUAGAAAUGUUAAAAUAAAUGACUGCAUAGAAAGGAAAAAAGAACAAACACAAUUCAGUGACAAUAGAUGAUUUGAACAAUGAGUGACAAUAAACUACAUGUAAAUAUUUAAGGCGGGGUAAAGUGGAAAUAAAACCUCCAAAAAGAUAGGUGUACAAAAUCUGGUAAGAAAGCGCCGGUAAUAUGUCUUCCCUUGGCCAGUCUCAAGUUUCUCUUCUACCUGCAAAUGCGAGUUAACCAAAUGUGCAUUCAAAAGUUCACAUGCUAUAUGAUGCAAUCUUUAAAUAUAGUACAACUCAUUAAUAUUAGAUAGGUUACAAUCCAAAGAAUACAUAUGUAUAUGAAAGAAUGUGCACCCAUUACACAUGAAUAAGAAAAGCUCAAGAUACUCUAAAAGAAUUUACACACUUCCCCAAAAAGGAACAUGCGCUUUUCCAACCUUCACAGUGUAGAAAACGGAGAAAGGAAACAUUUUGGUAAUCCGACUCACAAAAUUACAAGUAUAAACAUUUAGACUGCCACAAAAUUAAAUGUCACCUUAUUCCGGUUCUUUUAUUGUGAGAAGCAUCUCUUAUACAUGUCAAAAUGGAUGCAUAAAAGGAAAGAUCAAACUGAGAGUUAGAGAGACAUACUUCUUCCAUUUCCUUUUUCUGAGACCCCUUCGUAUCUGCUCUCCAAGCAAUGUAAAGUAACCGAAGCCCAAAAAAUGCAUAGAGAACUGUGUACCAUCACAAAUGGUUAUAACAAAAUGACCAUACAAUGAAGUCAGGAAAACGAUAAAUGCAUGGCGAGCAAAAAACAAAAUGAACACAAGAAACCUAUUAUGAAAAAUUCAUGGUACAUAAACUAGGGGCAAUAACAGUUUGAUUUGGUUUUGAAGAAAAAUUAGGUUGUCUCGGUUUUCUUGCUCAACCCUAACCCUAAGAAUAACGUGAAAAGACGAAGUCAAUAUAUAUACCUGUAGCUGCACUAUUUGUGUGCUUCCUUGAUAUCAAAUUCGGCACAAUCCUACCUAGUCCAGUGGAAAGUACCUAAUUGGCAAGAAAAAUUAAACACUAAUAACAUUAUGACUUUAGCAUAACUAUCUUAGACAGUACCAAAAGCAUUUUCAUCCCACCAUGCAACUGAAUUGUAUUCUAUGGAACAGAAAAAAGGGGCAGGGACUUAAAACAUUUCACAGGUCAAGAAAAAAAAUGGGGACGGCUAACUUACAGUCAUAACAAACAGGGCAGCUAAUGCGCCGGAUAAAACAGUUGACUUUGGGUGUCGCAUAGCCAUAAGAGCGGCUAUUAUAAAAGUUUCAUCUCCAAUCUGUCAUUGUAUCCGUAUAACAUAUCAGUUAUAAAUAUAUAUAUGUGAUGAAUUUAAGUAAAAUAGUUGGCAAUGGAAUAGCCAUUUGACAUGUUUCUUAGUAGAAAAUCUUCCUUUCAAGCACAUGAUAGUAAGAUCAGUGGAAAUCAUUAUCAUUUUUCAAGUAUGUAUAUAUAGGGAGAGAGAGAACUCAAUGCACAAACCUCACUGACAAUUAUCAUGGAAAAACUUGCAACGAAUGCAUCAAGGACGCCGAGACCAGCUGGAUCGAAACCAAGAUUAGUAACUAUGGAAUCGGUACCGACCUUCUCGUCUAGUACACCAUUCUCGGAGUUCUUUGAAACAAUCUGUACUCCCAUAAAUCAAUUCAUCAACAUAAUUCAAAUACCAACACAAAUUACAACAUUUUUAAGAAGAACUCACAAUUCCCAAGGAUGAAGAGGUUGCAUAACAUUGUAAGUUGCAAGUUAAAACAUGAAAAUCUCAAAAUGAAGCUAAAGUUUACGCUUUCAUGUGAAUUAAAUUAGAAACAGUUAAUAACUAAGCAAUUAAAAAACAAGUUAAAUAAAUAAUUCUCCACAAAAUAAGACUAAAUAAACCAUUUGAACUCUAUAAUUUCUAAGUUUCCCAACAAACAACAAACAAACAGCAAAAAAAAGGGGGGGGGGAAGCAAACCAUGCCGCGGCGGCCGAGAUCUUUAAUUGACCCAUCAGAUUCCUCCUUCUCAGCUUGAAAACCUGAAUCCUAGUAAAUUAAACAAACAAGUAAAACCCCAUUUUAAUUAUUUACAUAAAUUUGAAAAAAAAAAGGCUUUAAAAUAUUUUUUUUAAAGUAAAAAGAGGGAUGAAUAAUACCUGAGAAAAAGAAACGGAAGCGAAAACGAAGAAGAAAAAGGAAACAAUGAAGAGAAAGCGAAUUUGGGUGAAACCCAUUACGAAAAAUGAAAGAAAAAAAACUGGGUUUGUGAGAGAAAAUCGAGGGAUCCUGAGAUUUAAUCAAAAGAUUUUUUUUUCUUUCUAAAAACGUCAAAAAAUUGAAUCAAAGAAGAGAGAACUGAAACAUGGGAUAGAGAUCUAAAGGACGGUUUGAUAGAAUGGAAGGAUUCAUUUGUGAGUCAAUGAGAUCGGAGAGAAUGAAAAGAGAGAAGAGAUGACGCGAAUGGGGGAAGAAGAUCUUCUCAUGGAAAAUACACACUAGCUGUUCUUAUUGAUUAGCUAAAUUUUUCUUAGUUUAAAGUUAACUUUUGAUAAAAUUUUAAAUACAUAUUGUAAUCAACACCUUAUUUUAAAAAUAAAUAUUAAUUGCAACUUGCAUCAAGCUUGUAUACAUAUUUUAUUUGUGAGUAGCCUAGAAUUGUUCAUUCAUUGAAUCAUAUGAUUAUUUAUUGAAUUUGAUUAGAUUUGAAUUUGGGUAAAAAAAUUUUGUCGUCCAGCUAGUUUGAUCUAAUUCAAAUUUAAAUUAAAUAAUUUUAAAUAUAUUUUUAUCGGGUGAGUUGAAUUAAGUCAAAUUUAAGAUUGAACUCGAAAUUAAUUUUUUUAAAAAUUUUGAUCGUGAUCUAGUCAAAUUUAUGAAUACCUAUUAUUAUUACGAGUAUUUUUUAUGCCUUGUUUGGUAAUAAAUAACUCGAGGUUUGGUUGAUAGACUGCAAAUAAUGUAAUAACAUAUUUUAAUUAGAUCCUAAUAUUCUGUGACUAGACAUACCAUAAUCCAAUAGCAAAAUCCAUUUUUUAGGCCAUUAAGAUGACUUUUUGGGGACGUUUGGUUCAUCGAAUAUAAUAUUACAACCUGUGUAAAAUUACAUUCCAGAAUGAGAUUAAGAUGUUUUGAUUGUCAACAUUUUGAAUAUUUCGUAAUCUCACAUUAUUCAAUAGUGUUAAAAUGUUAUAAUUUAGGGUGUAAUCUCAUUACGGUCUAUUUAUUAUGUUUACUUUUAUUAUAGGUGUAAUUUUAAAUUUUAAACUAAUUUGCGCUUUGCUUUUAUUAUUUUAUCAAUUUAAGCUUUUUUCUUAAAUAAAGUUUAAGAUUAGUUUAAAACAAAAAGGAUUUUUUUUUCUUAGUAGUGAACCAAUGAAAGUCAUACAUUACAAGUAUAAUUAUUAUAUUUUAUUAAUAAUUUAUUUAUUUAUAUAUUAAUUAUAGUUGUAAUUAUAAUCACGGUUGGUGUUGUAAUGAUUUAUAAAUUUAUUUCAACAUCAUAUAUUUAAUUAUUAAUAUAUAAAUUGUAAUAAAAAGUAAGAAUUCUAAUAAUUUAUCAUAAUUGAAAUUUGAGACUAAAAAAAAUUAAAGCCAAAGGAAUGAACUAAACUUGUUAAGAAAAUAAAUUCUAUAACAAACACAAUUGAGUAAAAUAUGUUUCUAGGUAACCUUACAUUCCGUUAACUAAACACCUAAAUCUUACCUUCCAGCAAAAUGAACUAAAUAAAGUUGUGGUAUGUGUCUCACAUUUAUUGGAUACAUUGCAGACACUUAAGACAAGAAUAGACAAGAAAUAUAAAAGGAGUAGAAAGCUACGAGAUGUCAAAACGAAGAGGUCCUAGACGCCGGGACAAUGCGACGUCCUUGGCAACCAAGCAAGGCUAGGACGUCAUGACAAGUAGGUAGGCCACGUCACGACAAGGUGUUAUUUUCUGCUCAAAUACAACCAUGUUUUUUUACUUUCAACAAGACAUCUUCUCUCAGUUAAACUCUAUUUCCUACAGGGUUAUUUUAGUUAUAUUGGACCCAUGUCCUAAGCCUCUUUAAAUAGCCUUUGAAACCCUAUUUAGAAAUUAAAAAAAUUAGAUUUAGAUAAUCAAAUUUGCGUUAAAUAUCUUUUGUAUGAGAUUUGUUAAAGAGUUUUUUAGGAGAGUUUUUGAGAGAGCUUUUUUUGUAUUUGGGAUAUUUGGGUUUUUUUAUAGUUGCUUUUUGUAUUCGGGUAUUGGAUAUUGUAACACCCCAAAUUCGGGCUAGACGUUAUAGCUGAAUCUAGUGAUGUCACAUGGAAUAGAGUUUGAAAUUGAACUUAUCAAGUUAAAUCGUUCCUGUUUAUUUACCUUUAUUUAACUUUUAUCUAUUUCAAAACUAUUUUUCUUGUUAGUUUGAUUUAUUUAAAUACAUAUUCAGUAGCGGAAGCUUUUAAAACCGUGAAAUUUAAAGGAAAUCAUUCGCUUUUAGGAAAAACAUUAUGUUUAAUAAAAUCGAGUUUUCGUUGCAGUUUGAAAGCUUAUGAAAACGGUUAAAAAUCCCAAAAUAAAGGCAAACCGUCCAAAAGUCCCAAAUUACAUCCAAAAUAACCUAUAAACAUAGAGAGUAAAACCAUUAAUGAAGUUUAAGCAGUGCAAUAAACAUGUGGUCACCGUUGAGUCCUUCGCCGCACCGGUCUAUCUAAGUUUGGGGAUUACUUAUAUAGUUAAAAUAGAAAAGGGUGAGUUUAUGUAAACUCAGUAUGUAAUCCGCACAGAAGACAUGCAUACAGUCAAACAACAGUCAUUAGUUAAAUGCAGUCUGGGCCUAAGCCCAUUUUAGUUUCAGUAGUAGUUCGGGCCUUAGUCCAUUUCAGUUUCAGUAUCAGAUAUGCGUUAGGGUCUAAACCCAUCAUAGUAACAGUACCAAAUAUACAUUAAUCAGUAAACAGAGUCCUACCCAACCAGCCUCUACACACCAUCUCCGUCCAUCCCUACACUCCAUGUGGGGUUUAAAACACCCACCCAUCCUUACACUCCAAUAAGUACCGAAUGCGGCACAUAAUUAAUAAAUUGCAGCUGAGUUUCCAGAUAAUAGGCUUAAGAGCCUUCCAAUACACUUCCUCCAAAUAUCAACAUCUCAACCCAAUGCAGUACAAAUAUACAAUAAAUGACAUGCUAUUACAUGGUAACAGUUACACAUACAGUUCAGUAUACAUGCAUAUAAGCAUCAUGCUAAUACAUACAUCAUGCAGUCAAUUUAUGCAUAUAGGGGUCCAAGUAGUGCUUACCGACCCCAUAGUAGGUUCAUAGUCGACUUAGGUGACCCGUGCAACCUUAAAAAACUUUUCAAUUAAAUGGGCCCACAAGCCCAUAUGGUCUGGCCGUGUGGGCCCACACACCCGUGUGACCCAUAAGGCCUAAUUUGGCCUUAGUCGUGCGGAUCACACAGCCUGGCCCAAAGUCUCACACUCCUAUGUGGACUAUCUGUGUGGACCCACACGUCCGUGCAGCCCACACAGCUCAAAUCAAUCUAACACGUGUGUCGCACACAAUCUACCUAGCUAUUACACGGUCAUGUCUUGCGUGCACGACCUGGCCUCGUCGAUCACACGCCUGUGUUAUGGUACACGACCUACCACACGGAUGACCAUACGCCCGUGCAGUGUCGUCAAUGGGGUUUUCGGCAUUCACUGAAACCCCGUUUUCUGCGUUUACACACCUAGUUUCACCUGAUGCUACACCGAUCCUUGAGCACUCUAGAACCUAUAAUUUUUCAAUUUCACUCAAUUUAUCACAUAAUCAAUCGAACUAAAAUCGAAUUCGAAACGAGAAACGCAUCUCUUAAGCGAUGAAAAGCUUACCCCAGCACCUCGAAGCAGUUGAUUACGCAAUAGCACGAUGAGACCCUUAAUCCACACGAGAUGCUGCUACCAAACGUCAAAAACGCCAGAAUCAAAGUUGGAAAAAUCGUAAGUUAAAGAGAGCAAAAACUCCACUUACCAGAACGUUUAACGAAAAUUGACCCAACAGAACGAAGGUGUGGUAGCCAACAAAAAGAUACGGAAACAGAAAGAAGAAUUCGGGCUUGACCACAGAAAAAUAAAAAGAGAAGAAGAAAGAGAGAAGAGAUGGCGUUACAAAGGUGGAGAGUUUUGGGAAAGAAGAAAUUUUAUAAAGAGAAAAAGAUAAUGCUCAGAAAAUUUGAUAACCCCAAAAUCCACUCCCCUAAAUUCUCUCUACCAAACUUCAACUACUCAGAUCUCCAAUACAACUCAAACUAUCCAACCGACGAGCAAAUAAAAAAAUAUUUGUCUUUACACUCACACAGGGAUUCGAACUCCUAACCCUCUGCUAACCAACACUCCCCUUAACCACCAGACCAGCAGGCUCGUUCUAGUAAGCACUUACAAACUUUUAAUUAAAUGCCUACUAGCUAGAAAUAGGGGUUCAGUCAGAAAAAUACUAGAAUUUUUCAAAGUCAGGGCUUGAACUCAAUACCUUCCAAAAACACCCAGAGCACUUAAACACUAAUGCAGAUAUAUAAUUGUGUCACAUUUUUUACAAUAACCAAAAAUAAGAAUUUUGGGGCGUUACAGAUACUCUCCAUCGUUGUACUCUUUAUUUGUUGCUUAGUGAAAAGUUGAAGCCUCCUUUGCCUGUGGUUUUUAUCCCUCAAUGAGGGUUUUUCACGUAAAUAUUUAUGUUCAUUCUUCUCUACUUCUACUAUCUCAUUGUUUAUACAAAUCGAUCCCUAACAAACUGGUAUCAGAGCCUAAUUCAAGCUUCCACAAAUUAACUCAUUCAGGAUGGCAAUAAUGAGAUUCAACAUUGAGCAAUUUGAUGAGACCACAAUUUUCAAUUUAUGACAAGUUCGGAUGACAACACUUCUAGUUUAGAACGGUCUAAAGAAGGUCAUUACCGAUAAAAAGACCAAAGGUAUGGAAAAAUCGAAAGAGGAAGAGCUUGAUGAAAAAGCUCUAUCUACAAUUUAGUUAUGCCUCACAAAUAAUAUAUUACAUGAAGUACUCAUAGAAAAAAUAGCGGUUGUUUUAUGGAUGAAAUUAGAAACCCUUUAUAUGAAAAAUUGUUGGCCAAUCGGUUGGUAUUGAAGUAGCGCUUGUACACAUUUCGUAUGGAUGAAAGAAUGUUUAUUGAGGCUCAUGUUAGUGAGUUUAUUACACUUCUGAAUAACUUGAAGAAUGUCUAGGUUGACAUAGAUGACAAAGAUUAGGUUAUGUUAUUGUAAUGUUGUUUGCCCUUUUCGUAUAAAUCUUUUAGGGGGACAUUAAUUUAUAGCAGAGAUAAGCUCGCAUUUAAAGAUGUGAAGGAAAAUUUUUUGGGUAAAGAAAAACUCGACAAUGAAUUACGCUCAAGCAAAAAAUCUUAUUAAAGAGCUUUGAUUUUGGUUACCAUAUGUAGGCAACAGUCUAGGUCAAGGUCGAAAUCGAGGAACCAUGACAAAAUAUGCAACUACUGCAAAAAGUUGGGUCACAUAAAGGUAGAAUUUUAUAGUUUGAAAAAUAAAAAUAGGAGGGUUGUAGAGAGCGACGAGGAUGAAGAGCAAAAUACUGAGGUAGCCAAUGCUAAUGUGACUGUAGAAAAAGGUGAUGAUUUCUUAUUGGUGUCAACGAAUGAAAGCUCCAAACUUACAUCCGAGUGGAUCUAAGAUCCGGGAUGUUCUUCUCACAUGUGUCCCAAAAAAGACUGAUUUUCCACAUACAGUUCAGUUGAAGGUAGAGUUGUGCAUAUGGGGAAAGACUUAUCAUGUAAAAUAAUUGGUAUUGCUACCGUUCAAAUUAGGAUGCAUGACAAGACAAUCAAGACACUAUUAGAUGUCAAGCAUGUUCCUGAUUCAAAGAGAAAUCUCAUCUCAUUGAGAAAUUUGGACUCGAUGGGUUGUAGAAUCAACAAAAAGUCAAACGACAUUAAUGUGUCUUGUGGUGCUCUCGUUUUGAUAAGAGGUCAAAAGAUUGAUAGUCUUUAUACUAUCUAAAGAUCAACGAUAAUGGAUAAAACUACAAGCUCCUCGUUGCUUAAAGAGUUAGAUUCGACUCAGUUAAGGCAUAAACGACUUGAUCAUACAAGCAAAAAAGGUAUGAACAUUCUAGAUAAAAGAGGAGCUCUUUCAUAUGCAGAAGUUAUAAAAAUAGAGCAUUGCAUUCGUGGGAAGAAAAAUUAAGUCAAUUUUGAUUUGGCAAUACACAAGAAAAAGACUAGAAGUCUUUCGAUUUCAAAGUUCAAGCAGAACUUGAGUUCAGUUAAAAUCAUGCAAAGUUCAAGAUAGUCACGUAGUAGGCUUUGGCAAAGGAAGCACGAUAAAUACGAGUGAAGGUUGGGAUUUGUGGGAUGUGUCUUGCAUUUACCUGAUACGUUGUAGGCACUUAAAAUGAGAAUCAACGAGAAACUGAAAAUGAUCAGAAAGCCACACGAUGUAAGGACAAUGCGAUGUCAUUGGAAGCCAAGCAAAGAUGCAACGUUGUGACGAGUAGGUAGGCCACAUCAUGAUGAGCCAAUGCUUUUUGCUCAAAUACAGUCACUUUUUUUACUCUCAACAAGACUUCUUCUCCUAGUUAAACUUUAUUUCCUAUGGGGUUGUUUUAGUCAUAUUGGACCCACAUCCCAAGCUUAUUUAAAUGGCCUUUAGAACCUUGUUUAAAAAUAAAUAAAUAAAAAGAUUCAGAGAAUCAUAUUUGCGUUAAAUAUCUCUUGUUUGAGAUUUGUUAAAGAGUUUUUGGUGAGAGUUUUUUUAUAAAGCUUUUAUAUUUGGGAUAUUUGAGUUGCUUUCGAGAUUUGCUCUUGUAUUUGAUUUUUGGAUACUCCCUAUCAUUAUACUCUUUGUUUGUUGUUUAGUGAAAAGUUGAAGACUCCUUUGCCCAUAAUUUUUUAUCCUUCAGUAAGGGUUUUCCACGUAAAUACUCGUGUUUAUUAUUCUCUAUUUUUACUAUCUCAUUGUUCAUACGAGUCAAUCACCAACAAAAGUAAUCUCACGUUUCACUCUUGACAUUACAUUCUCAUAAUUUUAUUACAAAACGUAAUCUAAAGUUUGGCAAACCAACCGAACCAUUAGUACUUCAACCCUAAUUUAGAUAGCUAAACAUAUUAGUACUUGGAUCUUAAUGUUAGAUGGUCAAACAUAUAAAAAAUAAUAGCAAAUUUUAGUUUUUUUUCUUAUGUAUUCAACAAUAUAAACAAUAUAAUAUUGGAAUGAUUCACAAUUGAGGUACAUCUAAAUCCAUUUUAGUUUUUGACGAGCUAAAACAUUAAAACACACAAGCAUAUCUCCAACAUCAUUGGGAUCUUUCUUAAAGCAACCAUAAUUUUAUUUUCGAUUAGCCCUUCAAAUUUGGACAACUUUUUAAACAAGGUUUCAUAUUUUUUUUAAACAACCAUUGUUUUAGUUCCAAAGUUCUUACCUAAACUAUUCAGUGAAGACUCAAACCUAUCACCAAGCUCUUUUACCAUAUCAGCAAGAUCACAUGUUUCAUAGAUUUCCCUUUUCUUGUUAGCCUUAGUAAAACUAGUAGCUUUGUUCCCUUUUACAUAUGUUGACGUAGUUGAGGUCAAGGGCGAAGCUAAAAAUUAUGUGAUGGUGGUAGAAAUAAAACUAAAAAAUUUUGGGAGGCCAAAUUUAAAAAUUUUGUAUUAAAAUGACUUUAAUUGAACUUUUUAACUUGUUGAAAAGGGCCAAAAUUAUAAUUUUUCUAUUUAAAACAAGCUAAAAAAUAUUAAAUAGAACUAUUUGCUUUUAGAAGGCACUUAAAUAAUAAUUAAACCAUUAAUAAUAAUUAAACCAUUCAACUAGGGGGCCAAGGCCUUUGCCUAUCCUAUUAGCUACACCUCUGGCCAAGAUCUUAUUGUCAACAAAUUUUUUGGAGAAUCCAAGUCCUUAUACAUGCAUUUAUUAUUAUCUUCUUUUUUGUUAAUCUUGUCCAAGAUAUUUGUUGAUUAGAUUUGAUUCCUUCAAAAGAAGUUUUUGAAGUGUUAUCCAUUGGACAGUCGAUUAAUCCCUCAACAAUUGAAUAUAUUGUCCCCUGAUAGAGGUUUUGUCUUCUGUUCUCUACCAUAAGUAACUACCCGAUGGACCUGAUUCACAAAGCCAAGAGGGCCUCGAUUGGUGGACCUGCAAGUAUCAGGAGAGGUAUUAGUAUUGCUCAUGAGAAUAAUUAUGAAGUUAGCUAAGCGUGGAGAGACUUGAGCCACCAACUUGAAGCAUAUAGACCAUCUACCUACAACCAUAGUACCACUUAGACAAACAAAUUAACAUAUCAUUUUACAUUUUAUUAGAGCUUGAACCAAACUCGACCCAACCUGAUCCAUGAACAACUCUAAUAUAUAUACAACAAACUUGUGUAUAUAAAAUAAAGGUAUAUACUGCUAAACAUCCAUUUUAAACCCAUGCAUAUGAUAUAUUCAACAAGAUGGUGCCUAAUAAUGUUAUUGAAUUUUGGAAAUCAAGCAUAUAGUAUAAAUUGGAGAGAUUUUGUUAUGCUUUUUAUUUGUACAAAUCAUUACACCAUGUUUCGAUUGAGAUUGAGUAAUGUAUUGCCAUGAUAUUAUUUUAUCAUAAUUUCUAUAAGGUUUAAAGGGCGUUACAAGCACUCAAAUUUUUUUCACAUUUAAUACUUGAACUUGCAAAGUGUAUCAAAAAGGCCCUCAAACUUUUUCAAAAAAAGCAAUUAACUCAUUGUUUUUUUUUGCACUCAAUUGGGUACUUGAAUUGCCAAAAUACAUCAAAAAGACCCUCAAACUUUUUCAAAAAAGCAAUUAAGUCCCUGCUUAUUUUUUGCACUCAAUUAUCAAAAUGCAUAAAAAAGCCAUUUUACCGUUAACUUUAAGGAUUGACAGUUAACUUUAACGGUUGAUCGAUGGUUGACCGUUAAAGCUAACAGGCACUAUUUUUUUUCAAUUAAAGUCACCACGUGUCACAACCACGGCAUGCAUGUGGUAAAAAAACUGGUGAUCGUUAACUUUAAUAGUCAACUGUUGAAGUUAAUGGUUAAAGUACCUUUUUAAUGCAUUUUAUAUAUUUUUAUUAUAAAAAUUUCCAAUUUUUAAUACUUUUUUACGAUUUUUUUCUAUUUUUAGUAAUUUUUUAAUAUUUUUAUUAAAGUUUAAUAAAUUUUAUAACUUUUAUUUAUUUUUAUUUUUUUAUAAUUUUUUUGUCACAUGUGACACCGUGGUUGUGACAUGAGGUGACUUCAAUUGAAAAAAUUAGGGACAGUUAACUUUAAUGGUUAACUGUUAAAGUUUACGGUGCAUUUUGGCAAUUGAGUGCAAAAAAAAGAAAAGAGCAGGGGCUUAAUUGCUUUUUUUGAUAAAUUUUGAAAGUCUUUUUUUAUGCAUUUUGAUAGUUCAAGUAUUCAAUUAAGUGCAAAUUAAGUGCAAAAAAAGGGGGCUUAAUUGUUUCUUUUGAAAAAGUUUGAGGGCCUUUUUUAUUCAUUUUAAAAGUUCAAGUAUCCAAUUUAAUAUAAAAAAACAGAGGCUUAAUUGCUUCUUCUUCUUUUUUUUUUAAGUUUAAGGGCUUUUUACCCCCUUAAGCCUUUCUAUAAAUAUACACCAAAACAUGACAAUUUCAAAAGAAGAAGAAAAAAAACAUGAUAGAAAAUCAAAGGUUUAAUCAUCGAGGCUUAAAUUUUUGAAAAUUUUAAUUAUAUCCUUAAUAUUUUAAUAAAUCUUAAUUAGGUCUUCAAAUUUUUUGAAAAUUCCUAUUAAAUAUUUGGAAAUUUUUAAAAAUUUUAUUUAGACUCUUCAAAAAAUUUCGUAAAUUUCUAUUAAACCUCUAAAAUAUUUGAAAGUUUUAAUUAGAUCUACCAAGAUUUUUUUAAAUUUUUAUUAAAACUCAAUUUUUUUAAAAAUUUUAAUUAGACCAACAAAAACUUAAUAUUAAAAUCUAUCACUGCAAAAGAAUUAUUUUAAUAACAUUUAUUAUAUUUGGCAAUUUCUUUGACAAUUUUGUGUUACGGUUCCACAUUUUCUUUUUUCGAAGAAAAGAGGUUUGGAAUGGUGUAUACUCAUAAACCCAGGCAACCUUACAGCAUGCCUAGCAUUUCUGGGGUUGAGUACAAAAAAACUCACCUCACCAGCUUAUUCUCAACAGCUUCGUUUUGCCCAGACGCCAAGGUCUCCCCUGUCCUAAUGACCUAACAUAACAACAAUCUACCGGUUAUCUUGAGGAAAAUCAGACCUCAAAAACCCAGAAUCCAUCGUUGUAGGAAGCAUUUAAGAGUGCUUACCUUAACUUUUCAAUCCAUAAGUACGAAGGGGUAAGGAAACUUACUAGUUACUAAAUUUCUCCACUAUCAAAUUUCCAUUCACACAACAACCGCAGCAUGCAAAGCUUCCUUCAAUUGAAUUAUCCUCGUUUCAGGGUAGCUAGAGUAGAUGAUGCUACUUGAAGAAGAACGUAUAAAACAAAAUUGAGGAAUCCAGUCUUGACACGUGCCUAUCUAUAUAUAUACUUCUUUGGCAUGAUUUUCAUCGAUUUUUACCACCGUACGUUCUUAAUCAUUUUGUCUCCCACUAUGGAACUAGUCAUUUCCAUCCUAACUGGACCGAAAUUGAGAUCCAACUAUUCACAUUUCAGCCACUAAAUUUUCUAAUAUAGUACUGGAACCCGUAAAUUUCCUAGUUCAUCCAAUUAAAUCCUAGAAAUUCUGAUUAUGAUUACAAUCUAUUCAUGAUACAUGUGAUUCAUGUAAACACGAAGGUAAUUAUAUGAUUAAAUUAUAGAAAUAAAUAAUGAAUUGUGUUUAGUGAUUUGUAUAUUAUUUAGUGAAAAUGCAUGAGUUAAUUAAUAUAUAAAUUGUAUAAAUAACUUGUCAAUUUUUUUUAAUUUAAAUAUUUUAAUUAUGUUUGAAUAAAUGGAUAGUAAGUUUCUGAAUUCAAUUAGGUGUUUAUUCAAAUAACAUAACUUUUCACAAUCAACAACACAAUACCAAGUAAAACUUGCUUAAUAAACUUAAUAUGGAAACAAUAUAGCUAGCACAAAUCGAAAGUUGUUACUCAUCGAUGAUUAUCUCUUUUCUUUGGAAGAUUUGACUACCUCAUUGGUUAAAAGCAUCCUCCAUGCACCUCGCAUAUAAUGCUCAUCGCAUUCACUCGACUCCUUAAGGCUUUACCAACUGACUUUUCCAUAGCUCAAAAUCUACUCGUUUGAAUUCAAUUUUCUCAAUAGAUAUACACUAUAGGGACCUUAAACUAUUCAAAACUCACAUAAAAUUCAAAACCUAACCUUAUCUUCCUCCUUGAUUACCCAAUCACUCAACAAUUGGAAUUCACCCAAUCCUUAACAAAACUUUGUUCUAACUUGAUAUUUGAUUAAUCCAACCUAUUUUAAACUUAUUCUCAUAAAAAAUUAAACCCAAAACAACAAGAAACAUAUGAAUCAAAGCCCUUUUCUUUCAAAAUGAAAAUCUCAUAAAAAUAGAGGAAAAUGUCAAAUAAAUUGAAAUUCAUACUAAAUGAUCAAAAAUUAUAAUUCGAGAGAAACAUUUAUCACUGCAAAAAUUUUGAUAGGAGAAUAAAAGAGUGUUGAAAAAGAACAAAACCCUUCCCUCUCUUUUAUUCUUAAAAAUGGGUAUUUUUCUUAAAUACCCUUGGUAGAAUUAUCACAUAAAGACCUCUUUUGUUUAAAAUCAUAUUUUUCUUUGCAAAUUUUACAUUGACUCCACUAAUUUUACUAACUUCACAAUAUAGUCCUUAAGCUUCAAUUACUAACUCUACUAAUUUAAUCUCUCCCUAAUUCUAAUUAAGCCAAAUUUCCCACUAAUAAUUUCUAACUAUAUUGCCAUAACCAUUCCAAGAAUAACUUGAUUUAAGAAGUCGACCCAAAACCAAAUUUUUCGAGCCAACGAAAAAUGGGUCGUUACAUUUAUUUAGCUAAAAAAUAAAUUUUAAAUUCGUGAGUACUUGAGUUAGUGUUUUUUAGUUUUGGUUACCUUAGAGAAAUUAAACUUUCCCAACUGAAAAGUUACAGUUUUUAUUCUAUGUUCAGUUCAAAUUAAGAGCCCAUUCUCUUAGAAAUUGAGGGUUCGAUGAUAGCAGAGAAAAUCAUUUGAUUGAAAGUUAAGAACCAGCAAGUCUCGCUAGUUCAAAAACUCAUAUGCUAUGUUUGGUAAAAUUUACUGUUACAGACAAUACAACAAAGGUUCGAUUUUAUGAGAAUUUUUAAAUUUUUGUUGUGCAACAAAACUAUUUUCAUAAAUAAAAUUUCCAACAAUAAAUUGCUUUAAUACAUUCUCAUUUGUUCUCAAUGAACCAAAUUCACCGCAUAUAUAUAAUUGGCCCCUUAGAACUUAAUGCCAAGAUUCACCACUGAAACUAAUACCUAUUAUAUACUUUCAUUGAAUGGAAUGCAUGUAUCUUUUUUUCUCAAUUAACGUUUGGUAUUAGUAUUUUUAUUUUAAAAACGUCAUGGGUUUAGUCCCUAUACUUUUAAUUGGUUUCGUCCUUGUACUAUUCAAAUUUUAAAAUUUCACUCAUUGCACGAUAAUUAUUAAAUUCAUUAAGUUUUAUUUUUCAAAAUUUGAUGCAACAAACAUAUUAUCAUAUAUGUAAUGUCAUUUCAACUUGUUAUUCACUAAAAAUCCAGUUAAUGGAUUAAUGAUUGUUAUUUACGCCAGACUGAAAUUUCAAAAAUAAAAAGUUACAACGACUUAAAAUGAUUCAAUUAGACAAUAUGGACUAAGUUUACAACCAUACACAAAGUAUAAGACUAGUAAUAGAAUUUAACCAAGGAGAUUUAACUGUUAUCGUUUGGGUCAAGAUUAAAAUUUUAAAUUUUGAAAAGCGAAGGGACUAAGAUUAAACAAAUUAAAGCAUAGGUCUAAAUCAACAAUUUUGUAAAGUACAGGGACAAAUAACAAAAUUUAACCUUUUUCACGAAUAGUCAAAUGUUGUUUCCUUUUCUUAACAAAUGCCUUAAGCCGUUGGUCAGUGGAAUAAACUAUUUGUUUGUGUCAAAUUAUGAAGUAAAAAUUUGAAGUUUAAAAUAUUCUCUAAAUCUCUAGAUAGCUUGUACAUUAGAAUUCAGUCUCCUACUUCUAUUUUCAGAAUUUUAGCCCUCUACUUUUGAAACUUAAAAAUUCAAGUUCAAUUGUUGUCAUUGUUAAAAUUUUUUUAUUAAAUUUACUAGAGUGAUAUUUUGAUUUGACAUUUUUAACUUUUUGAAAUAAUUAAUAACAUUAUAAAAAUAUAGAAAUCAAAUUUUGUUAGAAAUUAAAGUAUAGCGAUUAAAUUAUAACUUUAGGAAUAAUAAAAGAACCAAAUUUGAAGUUUAACCAUUAAUCUAUAAUAAGAAAGAAAAAAAAACAUCGUAGCAUGAGAUGCCACGUGUCGAUAGACUUUCGUUUGAUAUAUAGUUUAUAGAUGGCCAAGUGCUCCUAUUAAAAUCUUUAUUAACGUUAUCAUUUUUUCCAUUGUUAGUAAUUUUUUUUAACUCUACAAAAAGAAUUAAAUAAAUAACAUGUAGAGGUGAGCAUGGGUCAGGCCACCGGCCCGGUUCGAAGGCUCGUCCGAAAUGUGGGAGGGUUUGGACAAAAAUAUAAGCUCGAAAAAUAGGCUUGGAUAAAAAAAUAAGGCCCAUAUAAAAAAUGGGUCAGGCCUCAGAUAAGGUAUUUUUUGCUCGGGCCCGGCCCGAAUUUAUUAAAGGACAAAAAAAUCUAAUUUUUUUAAUAUUAUUUUCUUGUUAUUUUCUCUCUAUUUUGCUACCAUUAAACUAUUAUGUUGUUACUAUUUUGUUGUUACUGUUCUGAUAUUGUAUAAAACUUAUAUUAUUGUUAAUUUUGUUAUUAUUUUAAAGACAUUUGCUUGUUAAGUUGCAUCUAUCUUAAUGUUAUUUAAGUAUACAUAUUUUUUAAAAUUUAUUUUUAAUUUAUUGGAAAAUAUUUAUUUUGAUGUUUUUAGUAUUUUUGAUUUAUUAUAUAUAUUUUAAAAUUAUAUAAAAAAUAAUAUGGGCGGGUCGGGUCGAGCCCGGGUUUUAGCAUUUUUAUUUGGGUCAGGCUUGGGCAAAAUUUUAGGCCCACCUAAAUUUUUAAUUGGGCCCGACUCGAACCCGGCCCAUGCUCACCUCUAAUAACAUGUAUCUAUUUUGAUUUUUUAAAAUUUUUUAAAUAUUAUUUAAAAACACAUGGUAGUAAUUUAUAAUUGCUUGGGGCGUUUUUUUAAACUUUACUAAUGGAUCAAAUGAUUUCUUUUUUUUUUAGUCCUUAACAGAUUGUAAAAUGAAAGCAAGUCUUUCUGUUUUUAGUUUAAUAGUGUCAUUUACCACAAAAACUUAUGAAGAUAAUGUUAAGGUGUUGAGGCUAAGGCUAUAGAGAAGGAAAAGGUUAGUGGUUCACACAAAGCUAUACAAAGAAAGAGCCACUUGUGGAAGAGUUUAAGCUAAAUCCUUGGCGUUAGGGUUAGAAGUUUGUCCUAAUGGUGAAGGAAAAGGGUUUAUAUAGGUAAGGUUGGUCACCCAUUUCCAUCUAGCCUUGACAUGUUUUCAUACAAGUCUUAUCUUGGUUUGCUCUAUAAAGGACGUGACAGCCUUCUAGCUCUGCGACAAUAAGAUUAUUGUAUCUGGUGAUCAAAUUGUGAUUUGACUUCCAUUGCCUCAAUGAAUCUUCAUGUUCCAUUCAUUUUGCAGGGAGGCUCAAUACUUGUCUAAGCGAGGUAGACUGAAGGUACUUUAUGUGUAAUACCUGUUACCCGGUCUAGUCGUUGAACUCGAGUAAUAGGAUGCUACAAACAAAUAUAGAAUAAUUACAUACCAUUCAUAUUUCAAAAUCUCAAUAAAAUGUCAUUUCACCAUAUAUGAUCAUGAAUACAUGCAAUUCAGUCGAUUUCGGGUUUAAAUCGAGCUUGUGAAAGCUUUAAGGUAACCCAGAAUCAAUCAGGAAUCAAUUUGAAACAAAUACAAAAAGUUGAGAAAAUUUGUAAACAGGGAUCACACAGUCGUGUCCCUAACCAUGUGAAAGGUUGAGGCUGUGUGGGGAUGGGACACACAGCCAUGUGGGCAAGCCAUGUAACAGCCUGAUGCCGUAUGAAGUUGGAGUCACACAAUCAUGCGAACAAACCAUGUAACUCACUGAUGUCGUGUAGGUUAAAAAUGCAAUUUUUCAAAAGAUGUCACACAACCGUAUCGUCGAGCCGUGUACCAAAUUAUGGCCAUGUGCACCAAUUCUUACCCAAAACAUACAGACCGCAUGACCAUGCCAUAUGCCCGUGUAUGGCACACGAUCGUGUAUCAAACCGUGUAUACCUGGAGAAACCUUUCAAAACAAGCUUCUAGUCCUAAUCCACUUAAGCCCUAAGGAAACACUAUACCAUUUCUCAACCAAUUCAAAAGCAUCAAAAUCAUGUCAAAAACAUCACUUAUAACAAUAAUCCUAAGUGUCUAACCAAUAUGCCACAAUUGACAUUUCAAAAAAACAAUUCAAAAUCAACCAAAUUAUUAUAUUCAACCCAUUCCAAUAUGCCUUCAAAGACACUUCAAUACAAUCGAAAAAUUUUAUUCUAUUUAGCCAUUCAAGCAACCUUAAUUCAACCUUAUAAGCAUGCACUCUUCUAUACCUAUUGCACAGCACAUUAUUUAAUCAAUUUUUAAUUAUAAGUACCAAACCAUUCAAUAAGAUGACAUUGCCAUCACACACGUAUAUACAUAAACAUGAUUCUCAAAAUGCCAACAAAACUCAAGAUAGAACAUUGUAUAACAAAUGACACCUUAGGUACAUGCCAUGACCAAAAUAAAAACAUCACCAACACUUAAGUCCAGGAUUGCCACUGAUUGUUGAAGUUGACGAUUGGAUCGAAAAGUACCUAGCCUGCGCACGUAAAACAAAAUUGUACGCUGAGCAUAACUCAGUGGUAUUCCUAUAAUCCAAACAUUAAUAUAACAUAAGUCAUCUAAAAUGCCUAAGUUAAAAAUAAAAAAUUAUAUGCAAUUAUCAUGUCAAUUAUGCCAAUUCACACAUUCUUUGUUCAAAUUUAACACAUUUUACGAAUAUUAAGACAUGACAAAUCCACUUCAUAUAUCAUUUGAUAUCUCAAUUCAUAUGGUGGCACAUUCCAUCUCAAUUUUCAAAUUCAUGAGUUCAAUGAACAUAACUAUCAAUGUUCCAAAUCAUUUCACAAUUGAAUAUUUCAUUUCACAUUUCACAUUUCACAUUUCACUGUUAUCUUUUAUUCAUUUGUCAAUUCAAUAUAAAAUAUUACAUCUCAUAUAGAUUUUUUGAUCUAAUGUAUUGGAAGACUUGUUCAUCAACAUUAAUUCAAUUAUGAAUAUUUCGUUUUUACCUAUCCCCCUAUUAACACGACUUGGACUCAGACAGAUACACAGAUCCAACCAACACAAUAGUUUGGAACCCAAUGCCUCAUCGGAUAAAUUCGAAGCAAAUAGUUGCGCCUAACGUUUAUCAUUAAAUUUGACACCCAAUGCUUUAUCGACUCGUAGUCGAAGUAACUCUGAACUUUUCAUAGCCUAUGACAUACCAACUAUAUCCGACUCUACUCGAACAGUUAAUAAAAUAUUUAUACCACCAAUCUUUAUUAACCAAUGCCUCAAAUCAUACUGUAAUAUCAUAAUCAAAUCACUAGUUUAAGCAUAUGAUAGCAUAAUUCAUCUCAAUAUGAAUACAAUUCCACAUUUAUAAUAAUAUACAAUAUUGUCACCUUUGAAUUUAGUCCUUGUAAUUAUCAAUCAAUUCAAACAAUUCAUAUUAUCAAUACAACUCACCCCAUGAUCGUACCAUGCAAAACAAUCCAGUAUACAACAUUUCAAAUGUAGUUCGGACUAUAGAAACACAAACCGUAAACUCCGAGCUAUUCGUCGACGACUUUGUCUUUUCCUCUCUCUUUCAAGAAAUUCGGGUUGAUGUUAGCUAUGGAUUAAUACAAACUUAUAAAAUUAUCAAUACACAAAUAAUUUCACAUUCAGUUGCUAAUUUAUGUAACUUUUGUAUUUUAUUCAAUUUAGCCCUUAAAAUCGAGAUUAACAUAACUUUCAAAUUUAGCCUCCAAUUUUUAUGCACUCUAGUCCUAAUUAAACCCUAUUUUCUCAUUUCUACCACAAAUUUCAAAAUUUAUGCAAUUUAGUCCCUAUUGAACAAAAUCAUUAAUUGAAUUUAUAAUUUAAUCCUUUUUCAAUUUCAAUAUUAAAAUUUAUCAAAUUGACACCUAAAACUUCAACUAUUCAAUAGUGGUAACAUCCUCAAUCUUUAAUAGUACCGAAAAAUAUAACAUGAGUCAGCUAGCUUAAUCUCCUAAGAUUCUGAAAUCAUAAAAAUUACAAGGACUAAAUUUCACUAACCAAUUUUUGAAUUGAAAUUGAAAACCCCUAAGCCAAACGUCCUCCUCCCUUUUAGGUUUUGGUUUCUUUUGCAUGCAAAUAUGGAAGAAAAUGUUUUGUGUUUCUUUCCACCAAUUAAGUUUAUUCUUAUUCUUAUUUAUUUAUUUAAUAAUUUUAUAACAUUUUCAACAUUUAAAACCCAUGUUAUCGUCCACUCUUAUUAAUACAUUGGUUUAAUUACUUCAUAAGUUCCUUUGGGUGAGUUUGGAUGGGCAGUGCGUUUACCUUCGGUUAGUGUAAAAACAACGGUGGCAGUGAGAUUAGAUACUGUAGCGACACUGUAGCGUGAGACAAUAAGUAAGCUAAACGCACCGCACCGUACCCAAUCGCCCAUCCAAACUAAGCCUUAGUCUUAUUCUAAUUAAAGAUACCUUAAGAAUUGAAUUUUUAACACUUUUACGAUUUAGUUCUUAUACCCUAAUUAAGCACUAAUUUAACAAAAUUACCUCUUCGAAAUUCAAAUCAUUCUAAUAUAACUCUGCAAAUUUUUAAUAAUAAUAUUUACGAGUCCGAUUUACGAAAACGGGGUCUUAAAUCACAUUUUCUAAUACCACGACUUUCAGAUCGUUACACCAUGUCUCAUGCACACCAUACACUAACAAGGUUCGUAAUCGAGGUAAUCGAGGUACAAAUGGUGGAUGGUAUGUACCACGAAAGGAAAGUAAAAGUGAAAGAUUGAAUAAUAAGUUAACCGUUAAAUUGAAUAGUAAGGAAUUCGAUGCGUGUUAAACAAAUAUAUCUUAUUUGAGUCUUGUAGAUAAAGAAAAUAUCAGUAAGAGAACUUUACUUUUCAUUUCAUUUCAUAAUGGCCCAAUAUGGAUCAAUUCUAAAUUUAAUCCAAACUUCGAUAUCCAAAGAUCAAAAACAAAAAACAAGAUGGGGUUUUACAACAAAAAGGAGAGUUGAUCAUAGAAAUCAGAUAUUGAGUAUUUCAGUUUGACCAGCCAAGAACAUGUGUCCAAAUGCGACCAAAUCUGCAUAAUGAUUAUAGCCCACGCACCACUAUUUCCCGUUCAAAGCUUUCUUCAUUGUGAAAAAGAAAGGAUAUAAGGAGUUUCAUACGUGGAAUCAUAUCCACCAUAGAUCUUCAACUAUUGCAAACAAAUAUAUCUCCCAAAUGCUACCAAAUUCAUAAUAAUUAUCACCAAGCAACUCCUGCACCGUUGAUUAGACUUGUCCAUGCAACAAAAUCCCAGUUUCAAUUUUAAGAUAAAUUGCACUACUAGUAACUCAAUUAUUAAUACAUUUUCUUUUUAAUUAUCUAAUUGUAAAAAGUUACAAAAUGAUCACUCAAUUAGUAGUAUUUCUUUGACCACUCAACUAUUCAAUUUUGUAUUUUUUAUCAGUCAACUAUCUUAAAUUUUUAGUUGUUUUCAUUUUUACGUUAGUUAGCUGAUAAAAAAAAAGAUAAAAUUGAAUAAUUAUGUGACAAUUUUAUAAUUUUUAUAGUUGAAUGAAAAAAAAAUACUAAUAAUUGAUGAUCAUUUUAUAACUUAUCAUAAUUAAAUGAAUAAAAAUAAAUUUACAAAUAAUCAAAUGAUUACUAGACGAAUUUACCUUUUACUUUAAAUAAAAGUCCAAAAAUUUUAAAUUAAAGAAAUAUUUUAACUUAUUAGAUUGGAUUAAAUUCGAAUUCAUAUAUCAUAAUAUAUUUUAUAAGAAAUAUUGAGAACAAUGUUUUAUUCGCAUGUAUUGUAAUAAAUGUAUUAUAUUGUUACAUCAUUAUUUAAUAAUUUCGUCCAUUAAAUGGUCCAUGUAAAUAUGUUAAUAAUUUUAAAUUUGAAAAAUAUAAAAAAUUAGAGGAUUAAUUCUAUAUUUUUUAAAGGAAUAAUUUCUACAAAGUAUAAAUAUAAUUUAAGUAUUAAGUACAUCUUCUAACAACUAUAAAAUAGAAUUAAAUCAAUGCAACAUAAAGGUGGAUAGAAAAUUAAAAAUGAUAUGAACUGAAAUCGACGCAGCACAAUCAUGUAUGAUGGGAUUGAAGACUUACGUACAUAUGUAUAAUUGUGCACGAUGAGAUUCAAAUCUGGACACUCUGAACUGAAGGUCUUAGCUUUUGCCUAUGAUAUCGAGGCUUUAUUGGUAGGACGCCCUCAAACUAUGACAUAAAUUUUAAUUUGGUCAUCAAAUUUUAAUUUUUAAAACAUUCUAACUAAUCUUAAAGUAUCCCGAUCAUAUAGAUGAGAUCCUUUCAUUAAAUUUGAGUAUUAAGUAUCAUCUAAAAUAUGAUGUGAAGCGUAACUAAAAUAAUUAAAUUAAUGAUGAUUGAGUCUUGGCUCAGUUGGUAUCGGUAUUCUUGUUAAUGCAAGGGGGAUGUGGGCGAGUGUGUUAAAAUGUAUUAUUAUCUAAUUUUAGAGUUAAGAAGGGAGAUGUUAUGGGUAAUUCUAGGCAUUGUAUCGAAAAAUAAAUACUAAAAAAUAAAUAAAAAGUGCAAAUAAUUUAAAAUUAAAUUAAUAAUUUUGUUUACUAUGGGAAUUAUAUUAUCUCAUAUAAAAGUUGUAAUUCGGAAACUCUUUACAUUGUUUUAAGGAUCAAAAUCCAUUGAGAUAUCGAUUUAAAAUAAAAGUUUAAACUUAUUGAUUGACAAAUUAGUUAAAUUAUUUUUUUAAAAUUUUUAUAUUUUAAUUAAAUUAAAUUAAUCGGACUAAAAAUUGAUGAUUUAAUUAACUCAAAAUCAGUUUCUGAAAAUCUUGACUUUUUUUUGUUAAUAAUUUGACCAUUGAAAAAGUAAGUAGGUGGGUGGGUAAACACAAGAAGAGAGACACAUGCACAACCUGAAAGACUAAUAAAAACCAUAAAAACAAAUAAGAAAAGAAGAGAUGGUACAAACAAAAAGCAGUAUACAGAGAAAGAAAAGAGAGGAAGGGUCAUGUCACAGCAACCCAACAUGCCCCAAAAAUCUCUGAUAUGUCUCAGUAAUUAUAAGAAAAAGCAAACAGCUACCCAUUGCUAUUUAAUAGAAAGAGAAAAUCUAGAAAGAAUGCAGUCAAAUUCCAUAAAAGGUCCUUCUACUAUACCUUUUUAUUUUUUUAGACCUCCGUUUAUAUUUUGAUGUUUUUGAAAAGGUAUAUUUUUCAGUCUAGAAAUUUAUUUUUUUAAUUAAUUUUACAUUGUUUCUUUAGAGUUUAUAAAUGUAAAUACAAUUAUAAAUACAUGUAUGAGCACCUACAAAAUAAAAUUAAACUAAUGUAAAACAUAAACAGAUUAAGAAAUCAAAAUAUAAUCGAACAAAAUUCAUACGUGACAAUUGCGUAAAAUGAGACUAAAGACCCCACACGUAGUAGUUUUGGAUAUUCAAAAACUCAAGGUUUCUACCUUUAUUGAUAAUGCUAACGCCUCGUUGGCUUAAUGUUUUCUCUUUUUUAUCUUAUAUACAUAUAACAAUUAAUUCAAUUUUUAGAUCAUGAUACACCUACGAUGUGAGUUAAAAAUUUAUAUAAUAAAUUUAUAAAAAAGACUAUAAAAAACGGAAUGUGACUUUUAUUGAAGUGAUGAAAUUGAGAUAGUAAAAAAAUACAAUGCAUUGUGUUCAAAUCUCAUGAUUUUUAUUAUUUGUUUAUAUUUUUUUAGAUUUAACAAAACAUAAAAAAGAUAUAAAUAUACUCGAUAAUUUUACAAUUGAAUUGAAGACCCGAUUAAUGGGUGGGAGCCAAUUGAUAGAUAAGAUUAACUUCAUUAAGCUCUUAAUAAUAGUAAGUAUAGAUACAAAAAUAUCUCAAAAUAAAAUAAAAAAUACUCAUUUCCAUCCGGGUUUGAGCCUCUAGGGGAGCAAGUAGUAGACCUUUAUUUGGUCAACUCUCUUUGGACUUAGUAUAUGCAUGUAUGGCAUGGGUAUGUCCCUAGCUUGUGUGUAUGAGUAUUAACCUUCUAAUUUUACAAUACCAAAAAUUAAAGAGACUAAACGCUACAAACUACAAAUACAAAGGACCUUUUUGUAGAACUAGAACCUACUCGAGUUCAAUCCUCUAAGGAAGCAAGUGGUAGACCUUUAUUUAACCAGCAUUUUCUAGACGUAACGUGUGAAUAUGUGGUGUGAGUAUAUUUUUACCGUGUGUAUAUAAGUACUAAUCUUCUAAUAAGGGACUAAAUUCUCCAAAUCAAGAAAUACAAAGGACCCCAUCGUAGAAUUUAACCAAAGAAACCCCCUUCUUCACCACCCUAAAAAAACUCACUCAUUGCAAAAUUGCCUGCUUGCUUUCUCCCCGUCCCCUUAGCCUUUGCUCAUGGGGGACUUUCCCUCAUAAACCCCUUUGUUUCUUUCUUUCUUUCUCUCUCAUCCCUAUUUUACCUUAUAGCUUCCCUAGUUCUUUUUUUUCUUUUUUUACUCUACAUUCAUCAUCCAUCAUCAUCAUCAUCCUCUUUAUAUGCACCUUUUCAUUCCCCACCCCCCCUGGUUUUUUUCCGGCCAAACUUAUAGCCCCCAUCAAACACACAACACCCACACACUCUUUCAAUAUUUACAUAUUUAUAUUAUAUAUAUUCCCAACGCCAUAAAAAGGAGUUGCAGUAAAAAGGGUUUGCGGGAAAGUAAUCAAAAAAAAAAUAAAGAAAAAUAAAUAAAUAUAAGGGUUUGACUGAAGAAACCGAGGCCACCCACGCUCGUCUAGUACUAGUAUCACACACCCUAUACCCAAUCUUCUUUUUUUAAGUUUUAAUUUAUUAUUUAUUUAUUUUAUUAAACUCCCAAGACAAAAAGAAUAAGAAUAAUAGGCAAAAUUCUUCAUCCCAAGAUCUUCUUCCUCAUAGUCAGAGUCAGACACCCUUUCUUUCUCCAUCUUUUCCCAUCUCUCCUUUUCACUAUAUUUUUAAUUAUUAUAUUUUUUCAUUAUUUAAAAAUAAAAAUUAUUCAACUUCUAUUAAAUUCGAAAUCGAAUUAAAUUAAAUCUUUUUAAACGCCCAAAAUUAAAUUAUUUUUAAAAAAUAAAAUAUACGUAAACUUUAAAAUAUUAAAUAUAUAUUAUCACUGCAUCUAAUACACAAUAAUAAUAAGACCUUAUUUAAUAUGGCAUCAUUCGAAAAAUCAGUGAAUGAAAUAUAAACCCAAUUUAAUUAUUUUUCGUUAUAAUAAAGUUUCAUUACUUCUACACCUUUUAACAAAGGCUGAAUGAAGCUGCAGCUAGUAACACAAUAUAGUAUUUUUCUAUGAAAUUCAAGCAAGAUCUGUUCCCCAAAAGCUUCUCUCCCUCACCAUCGAAAGUUGUGAAGUAAAAAAGGUCUUCCUUUUGCGAGAUCCAAUCCCACCAUUAACAUACUGGUAAAAAGAUGUCAACUACCCCCCAUUUUCAUCAUCUUCUUCCUCAAAAACCCUAAAAUAUUUUUACAGUUCUAUUUAAAUCCUUCAUAUAGUCCACAAAAAUGGAUUCGUUUGGUUCUAUGCAAGUAAAUAUUUGAUAUAAAUUCUGGGUUUUUUGCCGAGAAAAUAUUUUCUCAAGAUUUCCAUAAAUAAGCUUCGUUUUAUACACGUAAAGUUGUAAAAAAAUAUCCGUCAACUUUCCUUUUUUUGUUUGAUAUAUUGUGUUUUUUUUCUUAAAGAUUGUGAAGAAAAAGUUAAUGUUUUGUUUUUGUGGAUGAUUUUAUUAUGGUUUUGCAGAGAAAAAAGUGGAAUAUGGCUUCAUCGUCUUCAUCGUCGUCGAAUUCUCCGUGUGCGGCUUGUAAGUUUUUAAGGCGGAAAUGUCAGCCGGAGUGUGUUUUCGCGCCGUAUUUUCCUCCAGACCAGCCACAAAAGUUCGUGAAUGUUCACAAGGUGUUCGGUGCUAGCAACGUUACGAAGCUACUCAACGAGCUGCACCCGUCGCAACGGGAGGACGCGGUUAAUUCGCUGGCGUAUGAGGCGGAUAUGCGGUUGAGGGACCCCGUUUACGGUUGCGUUGGGGUUAUAUCCCUCCUCCAGCACCAACUCCGGCAACUGCAAAUGGAUCUCAGCUGUGCUAAGUCGGAACUCUCAAAGUACCAGAGCUUGGGUAUAACGGGACACGCUGGUCUCAUAGCGGCAGCAGCGGCUGCUACGGCUACGACCCAUCAGAACUUAGGGAUCAAUCUGAUCGGUAACGGCGGCGGUGGUGGAGGAGGAGGACGGGAACAUCAUUUCCACCACCAUCAAUUCUUCCCCAGGGAUCAUCACCAUCACCAUCAACAACAGAUGUUAAUGAGCUUCGAUGCUAGCAGUAACUGCGACGCAAAUCUCCUCGCCAUGAACGUCUCUUCAGGGAUCGGUCAACUCAGUCAGUUCCAAUCACCUCGUGCUGCUGCCGGUGAUGACCGCCGUACCAUUCACCCCUCUUAGGGUUAGGGUUUCAUUACUCCUAAAUCAUCAUAGCCACCCACAGGUACACUUGGUCCUUCUCUUCUAUUAUUAUUAUUAUUUGGUCCGUUAUUUACGAUAAUCACUUUGUACUUCCAUUUUCGAUUAUAUUUACAUAUUAUUAUUAUUAUUAUUAUUAUAAAAGGGUAUUGAAAACCAUGGCUAUUUAUUCACUGUCACAAUCACAAACUAGGGUUUAUAUCCAAUUUUGCUUUCUGGGGAAAUACUAAAUGUUAAAAAUUAGGGUUUUUAAUGGAAAACUUUAAAUUUAGCAAUAAUUUCUCUCUCUCUCUCUCUAUUUUUUAUUUCCAUAAAUUUUCUUUUUUUAUUAUCAUCUAAACACCAAUUAUUUUCAAAACUUUGAAAAUCACAUAUGAUCUUAAAUUUUCAGAAUUAUUUCCAAACUAUGAUUUAAUUUCUUUAGAUUAUUUGAAUAGGAGCAUUAAAUAGCAUAAGACUUGCAUUCUAAUUUACAUCUAAUUUUUCUUUUCUUUUUUCUCAUAGGGAAAUCAAGCAAAAUUACAAUUUUUAGGGGUUUUUUUUUAUCCAUAAUGAAUAGACAAAGUAAUAUCAUUCUAAACCCUAAUGCAUAAAAUAAUAAGUAAUUACCUAUAAGUUGAUGAAAAUAAUGUAUUAAAUAAAAUCUAUUACUUUGGACCAACAAUUUAAGUUUAUUUUUAAAGAAAUAAUAAUUUAAUUAACUUAACAACUUUGUUAACGAAGGCACACACUCUUUAAGUUGCUAUAUAAAAUAAUAUUUUUUACCCUAUUUAUUAGAAUAUAAAUAAAUAACCUUAAAUGGAACACUUAAAACAUGGGGUUACCUAAAAAUCCCUUCUUCUUUUUUGAACUUCUUUCAAGGGAAACUCAAAAACAUUCCUGACCAGGUCACUGUGAAACCCUAGUUUUAAAUUUUACCAUAAAUAAAAACAAAGGUUGAUUAUAACUGGAAAUUAUUUUGCCAAUUUUCAAAGUCUUGAUUGGUUAAUCGAAUGAAGUGUAGGGAGGGUUAUCGUGGUGGUACCCUUACCAUAAGAAAAUUUAAAAUAAAAUAGUCACAAAGGAGGGUGAGACACAGUUCCCAUUGUUGUUGACCAAACAGCCUACUUAAAAUUAUAUAUGGAAAAGGCAAAUGGGCAUAAAAGAUGAAGUAUAAUUGAAGCAGAAGCUGCUGCACAGUGAUGACUUGAUCAUGCAUGCAGAAUUAUUGAUUUUUAUAUUUAUGUUAUGUAUUUGUUUACUCAUUUAUCAUACUUAAUAUUUUCAAACAUAUUUAUAUAUUUCGUAUCGUGUUUUAUUAAUCAAGCAAUCGACUUAUUUCAGUUUAAAUUAAUUAGAGUUCCAAAUCUUUUAUAUCUUGUAUCAUUUUAAGUUCAUUCCAGUUAUUUCGACUAUAUCGUAUUGUCUCACCCAAUAAUCUCGUCUUAAUCAGAGAAUAUUUCUUUAAUUAAUAAACUUGUUGCUUGUAAUGCAGGUUAGGGUGUUGAAUUUCUACCAAAGAUUCAGCGUUGAGAGACUGCCGUUUUAUUUUAAUUAUUAUUAAAAUUAAUAAUAAUUAAAAUAGGGUUUCCUCUCUCUCUUCUGUUUUGCUUUUGGUAGACAUAAAUAUAUAUUAUUGAAUAGACUCUUUUUUUUCUUAAUUUAGCUUUAAAUUUUAAUUUAUCAUCAUCAUCAUCAUAAUGUUAUAUAUAUAUAUUUGAGCUGCUAAAAAUUGUACCCCAAGACUUACAGUAUAACACCAUUGGGGCUUUUGCCUCUUAAAAUGUGCCAAUUGCCUUCUAUUCCUUUUAUUUUGUUUUCUUUCUUUUGAUUUUUUUCUCUUUAAAUUGUUCAUUCUCUUGUUUUUUUCUCUCUUGUAUUGUUGGUGUGUAUAUAUAUAUAUAUAUUAUUAAGUAUAUAUGUAUUAUUUUAGCUUUGUUAUUUAGGUUCAUAGAGUUUAAAAAGCACUAAAAAUUAAUUAAAUUCAAAUAAAAAAAAGAAUUAAAUUAUGAGAUAUUUCGUGAAUAAUUAUGUAAUAAAUUUAUAUAAAUUUGAUAUAAAAAUUAAAUAUAAUUUUGAUUGAAAUGAGAAAAUUGAGGAACGAAUGUUAUGGUAUUUUUGAUUUUAUAUAAAUAUAUAAAAAGAUAAAAAAAUACCAUACGAAAAUAAUAGAUUUUUGGUAAUUUAAGAAUUGAGUUGGAUGUAACUCCCUUUCAAAAAUGGUUAAAUUGUUGCAUGGCCCCUCUAGAAAUUGUAAGAUUAAAAAUUAAUAUUGUAAUAAAAUUACAUUUUAAUUUUGAUUUUUUUUACUUAUAUUGAAUUGAUGAAUUUGAUAUAUUUAUACCACUUAUAAAAUUGCUAAUUGCAUUAACGCCAUAAAUUAAUUAAACACCAAUUCAAUUUUAAAAGAAAUUAAAAUUAUUUAAAAAAUAUUAUAAUAAUAUUUAUAUUUUUCUAUAAUUUUUAAUAAAAAAUAACUUAAAAUAAUUCUCAAAUAGAUAAUGAUUAAAUUAAAAGAUUCUAGGCUAAAUUAGGGUUAUAUGCUGAAAAUUAAAAAUAUUUGGUCAAAUAGGCCAAUUUUAGAGAGAGAAUGUGAAAGCAUGUCUAGUUGAAUGCGCUUUCUACACAGUUAGCAGGAAAACACAUCUACACUUCUUUAGCCAAGGAGAGAGAAAAAAAAUUGGACGCGCUUUCACAGAUUUUCUUCAAAAUUGAUUUAAUUCCUUAAAUUUAAAAUAAAUCGACGUAUAUGUCUAAUUCAGUGAAAAUUCUAUAGACAGGGGCGAAGCCAGGGGGCUAGCAUGGGCCCCGGCCCCCUUAAAAUGUAAAAUUGUAUUUUAGGCUCUUAAAAUUUUAAAUUAGUAAAGGUAAAAUUGUACUUUAGCCCCCCUAAAUUUAUAAAAAUUUAAUUUAAUCAUUUACGAAUUAUAAAGAUAUAAAUUAUAAAAAAUUAAAAUUUCAUCCGGCUCCCUUUAAAAAAAUUUUCUAGCUUCGCCCUUAUCUAUAGAUAUAUAUAUUUUCUUUUACAUGAUCUAUAACAACCUAAAUAUAAAACAUGAUUGAAUCUUCACCAAUACUUAUGUAUCAAACUAGGUUAUAUAUAAUAUAAUCCUUUACAAAAACUACAACAUAUUGUAACUACAUUCUAAUUUAGUCCAAACAUAGUUUAGUUUUGGGUUAAAUUGAAAACAUGAUAAUAAUGAAUUAAAAAAUAUAUAUACAUAUAUAUAUAUAUAUGCUAAACAGAAGCCAACAGUUUAGAACAUGAACUAGAGAGAGAAAGGGAAAAAGAAAACCCUUAAUAAACACUUACUGUCAAUGCAUUGAAUGAAAAGGCCAUCAUUGCAAAAGUACGUCAUCAUUAUAAUGCAUGCAAAUGCAAAGAGCAGUGUGCUUGUUUUUUAUUUUUAUUUUUUAUUUUAUUUUUAUUACAUUAAUGAAUAUGGCAUUGGCCUGCCAUUUGCAUUGGCAUAAUAGAUAUUUCAAAAUUAUUAUUAUUAUUAUUUUUGCUUUGGAUUUAGGGAUUGGAGUCUUAAAUGCUUCAAUUUUAUUUUUAUUUUUAUUUUUAUUGUUACAUAUUUCUUUGUGUCAAUGACAAUUGACAAUUGACAUUUCCUCUGCAACAGCAUUUUUGUGAGCUUAAAUUCCCACCCACCCUCCCGGUUUUGUCUUCUUUGUCUUAUUCUCUUGUCUUUCUGUUUUCUUAUUCAAAAUUACCUAACCUAUCUAUGCAAUUUAAUGCUAAUAUGUGAAUUUGAAUCUUAAAAUUAUUAGUGUUGGGAAAAUUUUCAUCUCAAUAUACCUUUAAUUUGAGUAAGAUUAAUCGGUAAAACGGGCAAGAACACUUGUGAUUAUGUUAAAAUACACUCAUGUUUUGGAAACGUCUGAUUUGAGUAUAGAAGGUUAACUAUUUGAAUUCUAAACGAUUUAAAUUCAAAUGAACUUAACCUAAAACAACUAAACACCGUAUUAUUCAAAUAAUAAUACAAAAGUGGAUUUUCAUUAAAUUAGUUGAGAUUGAAAUUUAUUAAUUUGCCUUUGGACUAAUAACUGAGUCGAUAUAGAAAUGGAGGGUUUUAUAAAACAAUUGUACCAAGGAUCCCUUUUGCUAAUAACCCUGUCGAAACCCUUUUUUUUCCCUUACUGAGAUCGACUUUUAAAUUGACUUUUUAUUUUAAAAUGAAAAUGGGAGUCGUCACCAAUUUUUUUAUGAGUUGUGAUCAGAUCACCUCGUAAUUUGAUUGUUUUAAUAAAAGGCUUGAUUUACUAAAACAAUGAUUUUUGGUCUACAAAUUUCGGAAAAUGAGUUCGGGAUUCGGUUACACAUGAGAAAGAAUUAGCACCCUCAUUACGCCCAAAAUUGGUACCUAAUUUAUUACUCGAUAUCUUAUUAUUGAAAAUAAAAAAUUUGAAAAGAAUUUAAAACGCGAUCCCACUUUAAAUAAUGUUAUUUUAAAUUAAAAUCACUUGAAUAAAUCAAAAUGCAUGUAAAUGGCUCUUUUAUCUCGAGGUAACAAAAUGUCAUAUCCCACACAACAUCUCGAAUCCUCGAAAAUAAGCUUGCUCUUUAUUUUAAUUACUAUUUAAAUCUCAUGUGUUUUAAUUUUGAAAUGAUGUUUUGUUAUUUAGGUUCAAAGAGAAAAUCAAACCCCAUAAGUUAGGGCUGAUUUCUCGAAUCUCUAAAUAAGAACGUUGCCUUGCUUUUGAAACUCUCCUUUUUACACACCGAGUAAAAAAUUAAUAUGACACUUAAAGUAACGUGUUUAGUUUAUUCGGGUACAAUAUAAAACGGGCAAAUAUGUCUAAAGAUAAUGUAUGACAUGGUAAUAAAUAAAACAAUGCAAAGAGGCUAUGUGGGUAGAAUACUAAAAUAACAAAUAAUAAAUAAAUGAAUGCAAUAAUAAUAACAAUAUAAUUUCAUUAAUGAUAAGAAAAAAAAUAAUAGCUAUGGCAAUAAUCAUAUUAGUUAUUGUUCUAAUACUAACUAAAUAAUAAAGUGACAUUACAACAAAACAGGUUUUUAACGACGUUUUUCAAAAAGCGCCGCUAUAGAUUGAGAAUUAGCGGCGCUUUUUGAAAAAUGCCACUAUAGAUCAAGCAUUAGCGGCACUUUUUUAAAAAACGCCGCUAUAGGUCCACCAUUAGCGGCGCUUUCUGCAAAAAGCAGUAAAAAAAUUAAGUACAACGCCGUCGUUUUAUGUUGAGCUUUAGUGGCAUUAGCGGUGCUUUUUGAAAAACGCAGUUAUAGAUCGAGCAUUAGCGGCGCUUUUUAAAAAACGCCGCUAUAGGUCGACUAUUAGUGGGUCUUUUUGAAAAAUGCCGCUAUAGAUCGAGCUUUAGCAGCACUUUAUCAAAAACGCCGCAAAAACAUUUUAUCUUUCUAUUUAUUAUUUAACUGGCUUAUUUAUAUUAAUUAAAAUAUAAUUUAUUUUUAAUUGAAUAUUUAAAUUCUUCAAAAAAAUAAUGACACGUAGAAAAAAUUUAAAAGUAAAAACAUAGAAAAAUAUUUGUUAAAAAUGAAAAAAGUUAAAAUGCUAUUAUUUAAAAUAAAUUUAAAGUUUUUUGGGUAUAUGACUAAUUGUUUUUUAAUUUAUAUAUUAAAUAAUUUCUUAUUUAAUUGUAAAAGUGAUAUUAUUAAUUUUAAAAUAUUGAAUUAAUUAUCAUUUUAAUUUAGGGUUUAUGGUUUAGGGUAUAUGGUUUUGGUUUUAAGCUUUAAGAGUUACUAUUUUAAGGUUUAUGUAUUAUGAGUUUAGGGAUUAUGGUUUAUGGUUUAAGGACUAGGGGUUUGGGGUUUAUGAUUUAUGUUUUAUGAUUUAAGGUUUAGGGGAUAAGAGUUAGGGGUUUAGGGUUUAAAUUAAUUAGUAUUUUUUAAUUUAUAUAUUAAAUAAUUUCUUAUAUAAUUGUAAAAGAGAUGAUAUUAAUUUUAAUAUAUUAAAAUUAUGAUUAUCGUUAAAUUUAUUUAAGAGAUAAUAGAUAAACUUUAUAUAUAUUAAAUGGUUUAGGAUUUAAGGUUUACUUGAGAUUGUUAAUGAUGAAAUUUUAUACAAUCAAUUAAUGCUUUUUUAUUUAAAAGUUUUAAUCUAAACCAUUUCAUAUAUAUUUUAAAAGUGAAAAAAAUUAAAAUACUAUUAUUUAAAAUAAUUUUAAAGUUUUUUUGGGUAUAUGACUGAUUGUUUUGAAUUUUACAUAUUAAAUAAUUUCACUUUAGCGGCUUUCAUGGGAAAAGCACCGCUAAAGGUCAUGUUCUAUAGCAGCGUUUGUGGUAAAAGUGACGCUAAAUGUCAUGUUCUUUAGUGGCGUUUGUGAGAACAACGCCGCUAAAGGUCAUGUUUUUUAGCGGCGUUUAUGAGAAAAGCGCCACUAAAGGUCAUGUUCUUUAGCGACGUUUGUGGAAAAAGCACCGCUAAAGGUCAUGUUCUAUAGCGGCGUUGUAACAACCCAAUUUUUAGUGGUGUCGAAAACAGUAAUUUGAGGAUCACUAAAUCCAACAAGUAAGUUUGAUAUUUUUUAUAAAUUAAUAAUUAUGGGUCAAGUGUGAAUUUAGAAAAAUUUUUGAAUUAGUGAAUUUUUAUGAUUUAAAAAAAGAAGAAGAAGAAGAAUUUAAUAAGUAAAUUGGAUCUAAAACGAGGUAUCGAGACCUCAAUUUCAUAAUCCGAGUCAUAAACAUUUUUAUAAAUAUUUAUGGAAUGUCAUUGAGUUAGUAUUAAAGUUUUGUUAGAAAAUUUUAACAUUUGGAUAGUCAAUUAAUUAAAAAGGACUAAAUUAAAAGAGGUGCAAAACUUGCUAAAAUGAUUAAAUAGCUCAAGUGUUAAAUGAAGGAGGAAUUAAAAGGCAAAUUAGCCUAAACGGAAUGGAUGAGGCGGCAUAAGCAAGAAAAAAAUCUGAAAUUAGGUGAACUAAAGGUAAAAUGUUAAAUUUUACAAAAUUAAACAAAUAAAUAGAAAUUGAAAAAGAUUUCUAGGCCAUUCUUCUCAUAAUAUCGGCUAGACAGCCAUGGGAGAGAGCUUUUAAGCUGGUUUUUCACAAUUUUACUGCAUGUGAGUUUAUUUCUUGCCCUUUUCUUAUAACUUUUGUAUUUUUAAGACUUUUGCAAUUAGCUCCAACUAUCUAAUUCAUUAGUUUUUUAUUUUAUGGGUGACUUUAAAAGUUACCAUGAAUAAUUGUUGUAUGAUUAUAGUGAAUUAUUAUGGAAUUGAAGUUCUUAUUUUAUUAUAUGAUGAUUUUAUUAAGUGAUUUUGAUAGAAAUUGAUUUUAGGACCUAAUUGUGAAAAAGUUGAGAAUUAAGGUUUGGUACUGAAAUUAUGAUUUUCAAAGGUUGUGUAGUAGCUUGGAAUGAAUAAAUAAAGUGUUAAUUGAGAAAAAAAUUAGCUCAAUUGAUGGGUUAAUUGAGCAGAGACUAAAUUGUAAAAACUGUAAAAUUUGGGGAAAAAGUGAAAUUUCAAGAAUUAAAGGGUAUAAACUGUAAAUUAGAGUAAAAUUGAAAUUAAUGCUAAUAAAUUAAUGAUUUUACAAUUAUAGAUCAAGAACCCGAAGUGAAUCGUGGAAAAGAGAAAAUAGCCGAUUAGUCCCUGAACUUGUAUGACUUUUGCGAAUUUGCCCAGGUAAGUUCAUAUGGCUAAAUUCAAUGUUUUGUUAUGAAAAUUUCAUGAAUAUUAUGGUAUAUUAUUGUAUAUGAACGUUAUAAAAUUUUGAUAAUUGUAAAAUAAUGAUUGAGUAAAAGUACAAAUUAGAUAGAACAAUGGAUUUGAGUACUUUCGUUCAGUGGCUAAGACGAAUUGACAGAAAAGACCAUGGUUGAACCAUGGCAACAUGUGAUAUGUGAUUUUCGUAUAAGACCAUAGCUGGGCUAUAGCAUCAGUGUGAUAUGAGCUUCUGUAUAAGACCAUAUCUGAGAUAUGUCAUCGGUGUGAUAUGUGCUUCUGUGUAAGACCAUAUCUGGGAUAUGGCAUCAGUGUGAUAUGUGAUCUGUGUAAGACCAUGGCUGGGCUAUGGCUUCAGUGUGUGAUAUGUGACUAUGUGCAAGACCAUAGUUUUAUUAUGGCAUUGUAAUAACGAAGUACUCAAUUCUGUAAUCGUUCCCUAAUUUGAUUAAGAAAGGUAAAUGAUAAGGGGGCCCAAGAGAUUAAAAGUUGGUUAAUAAGUGGCAUUGAAUUCAAGCAAGUGAACUUAUCACUAAUUUUGUGAUUGACAGAAGGAGUUAGUGAAUUUAGAUAUUGUAUAAUUGUUAUAAGAUUUUCGAUAAGAAUUAUUUUCUAUGCCCAUGAACUUACUAAGCUUUUAUAAGCUUACUCCUGUGUGUCAAAUGUUCUUUGUAGAUUGACGUGAAAUUGGUGGAUUGGAUCAACACAUCAGGGCACAUUAUCCAUAUUACUUCGGUAAAUUUUAUUGUACAUUUUAAGGUUUAUAUGGCAUGUAUAGGGCUUAAUUGAAAGUAAGUGAAGGUGUUAUAAACUUAGUUAUCAACAUUUUUCACUAAAAUAGUUUUAGAUAGCAGCAGUAGUCCAACUUUGAAAAAUCACCAAAAAUUUUGGAAAUCAACGUAGAGGUUGAAUAAAAUAUGAAAUUAAAUCCUAUUGAGUCUAGUUUUACAUAGAAGAAACAGUGUAAGCAAAAGAAUCUUAUUUUAUGAGAUAUUUGAAUUUUUGUGAGAUAAAGUCAGAAUGAUUUUAGAAUCCCCUGUAAUGAUUUGGGGAAAUCAUUAAAAAUUGUAAAAAAAUAAUUAUGGGUUAUAAUUUAUAUGGUUAAAUUUAUUAAUGAGUCUAUUUUCAAAAUAAAUAAACGGGAACAUUAUCCAAAUUUCUUAUGAGGAGAUAAUUAAUUUUUAGUAAAGAAAGGUCGAAGCUGUCAAAACAGCAGAAUAGGGGUAACUUUGAAGAAUAAACUGUACUUAUUGGCCAAUCCACAAAAUUUUGAAAAUCUUAUGGUAAAAAGAUAUGUGAGUCUAGUUUCAGGUAAAAUUAGCAGAUCUUAAUUUUGAGUUCCGUAGCUCUAGAUAUAAAUAAUUUAGUAACUAUGACUCGAGAAGACAGCUUGACUGGAAUAUGAGCAAAUAGUGGAAUUAUAUGUAAUUAUUCUGUAAACCCCGGUAACAUCCUGUAACCCCUUUCUAGGGACGAUUGUGGGUUAGGGGCGUUACAGGCGUUUAUUGCGGCACUUAUAAAAACGCAGCAAGUUGUUUUAGCGACGCUUAUAGGCUUAAAGAAACGCCGCUAAAAGUCUGUUUUGCUGUAGUGGGAAAAAAUAAUAAUAACAAUAAUAAAUAAAUAAAUAAAUAGAUAGAUAGUGUAAAGAAUCUAUUUUUAAAGGUAUAAAGAGUAAAAAAUAAAAGAAUAAACAAAUAAAUAAAUAAAAGGCUUGUGAAAGGUUAAUGUUAAAUAGACGAUGGACUAAAUUGGAAUUUAAAUGAAAUUAUAAGUAUAAAUCAUAAUAAAAUGAAUAAAUUAAAUAAGGAAACAUAUGAGGACCCAAAUAAAUUGCGCAUAAAAGGGGGGACCAAUUGGGAAAUUAUUCCCUGGCCCUCUGAACGCAUCGUUCCAUCGGGGAUGAAAAUGAAAUAAAAUAAAAGUUUCGUGGUAAAAUUAAAAAGAAAAAAGAAGUGGGACUGGAUUGAAAUGCCAUUAAAAAGCAGAAGGGCCGAAAACAUAAAUAGACCACUUCUUAAGAAAACACGCGGAUCCUGUUACUAUCCGGGUCGGGUUUCGGGUCAUGUUUCAAAACAAUGCCGUUUUGGCGUUUAGAAAUGAAGCCCAAAAUGACGCCGUUUUAUGAGACUAUAAAAGUAAAAAUUUUAAGAAAAAAAUCAUUUGCUUCAUUUUUAAAUUUUUUUUGAAAGCCUGUUUUUUCCCUCAACCAGCCCUUAGGCCAGUCUUCAAAUCCAGUGACCCACCCCACGACGGCCACCGGUCGCCGGUGACGGGCUCCACCAUACCCGAUGGUCGAAAAAUACUAAUAGACUCGAUUUUGAAUGCUUUGACCUCUCGAGUCCAAAUCUAGGGGAAUAUUUCCCAAAAAUCUCUCAAAAAUCACGAAAAACUCCAAAAACUUUCAAUUGUUUUCUUUUUGGGGGGUUUCGAAAACCCUAAAUAUCACAAAAUCCUCCACCUAAGGCGGCGGAGUACAAGCAUUCUGUAAGUUUUCUUUUAAAACCCCUCUUUUUCAUUUUUGUAUUUUUGUAAAAAUAACAACAAUAAAAAAUCACUUUUCUUGAAGCUUUUGUAUUCUUUUUUAUUGUUCUCUCCUUGUAAAAAUUACACUGAUUUAUUGUGGCAUUUAUAGCCAAUAUUAAUUGUUUAUUAUUUCUGUUUUGCUGCUAUUUUGUGUCUAUUCUUGCACGUUGUCUCUGUCCCUUUUUUGCUCUUUUCUUCCAGGUAGAGGAGUCAACGGAAGCGACGGGAGUCGCGCCUUGCUAUUUUGGUGCAAAAGAGGCAGACCUCGGGCGGUGAGCAUGCUGACGCAGCACGUGGAGCGGCGGCGCGGCUGAAAGGGGCUAGGGUUUUGUUUUAGUUUGCUAAAAAGUUUAGGUUGUGGGCUUAGGGUUUUUUCAUUUGGGCCAAAUUGGGCCAUAUUGGAUUAUUUGUUGUAAUGGACUUGGACUUUAAUUAUUAUUAUUAUUAUUUUUGGUUUGUUUUUUGUUUUGUUUUGUUUUUUUGGUUUUGUCUGGCCCGGUCAAAUUUGGGCAUUUACAAACCCAAAAGAGAAAUGACAAUAUUGUUUUUUACUCUCUUCUCUUCAACCACCGCUAGAAAAAGUUUUUUUCUCUCUUAAUAAUCUUUUCACUCAAAGUGUCUAAAUUUAUUUAGCAAUUAGAUCUAUUUUGAUACUUUAAUAAUCUUAAAAUGUCACAUCAUCGUCUAAAAAUUAAAAAUUAAGUGAUGAUGUAGAAUAAUGCCAGAGUACCAUGUAUUCACUCUUUUACAAUAUCCAUGUUUAAAGACUAAAAUGGGAAAACAUAUCAAAUUUAGGUACCAAAGUAGACUAGAAACGUACCAAAGUGAACUUAAUUUCUAAGUUUAGAGGGUAAAAAUUACAUUAAUCCCUAAAUAUAAAAUACGGAAAGCAUUAUAUCAAAUCAAAAAAAGAAAUGUAAGAGAGAAAAUGUGUUACAUAAAUCAUUGAACAAUGACUCUGCAAAUAUAUUCAUAAUAUGAUUGUUUGAAAGCUUCAAAAUUCAAGUUACUUAUAAGUUUUGAAAGAUAAAAAAGGAAAAAAAGAAAAGAAAAGACUACAAAAUAGAAAAUCCUAAAUUAUUUACAAGAAGAGGAGAAUAAAGAAACAUAAUUAUUUUUUGAGUUAAAUGAUCAUUUUGCCCCUUGAAGGUUUUAGAAUUUGAUGACUCGAAGCUUUUUGCUAUGAUGCACAUAUGCUUGUGUCACGACACGAUGCAUCAAGGUUAACAACAAAUAUCCUUAACCAUAUUUGAGUGCUUAUAUCGCGACACACCAUGUCAUUGGCAUGUAGCAUGGCCUCGUUUGUGUCUAUUUCCUCUUCGGCUUCAAUCCAAUAUACAAGAAAAGCAUUGAAUAAGUCCACAAAAUUAUGGUUAUUCCAAAAACAUAAAAUGCAUGAAAGCACUAAAAACAAGGAAAAGACUGUUUUCAAGAUAAAUUACUAAAAUCAAGGUAAAAGACUCUGAAAACAUUUUACUUAAGAGGAUGUCAAAUUAAGCUUGAAAUGAAGGUAAAAUUGAUGUAUUCCUAGAGAGUGAUUAGAAAACCCUAAAGCUCUCCAAAAUCUAGUUGCAUUAACAUAAAGGAGAUAAAAUUCAUUUUUCAAGAUCAAGUCUCGAUGAUCCCUGAAACAAAUCUCAUUAACCUAAAAUUAAGGCUCAAAGACCAAUGGAUCAAAAUGUAAUAUCAUUAACACCCCUUGAGAUGAAAAUAAUCUUAUUUCGGGAUUUGCACGUGUUAUAAUCUUUGAAGUAAAUAAAAUAGGAAUUAUUAGUGUUUGUAGUGAAGGUAGUUGGAUACCAUAAGAAAUUAAAAGGACUUUUGAAUUAAGAGAAAUUAAUUUGAGAUAUUGACUAAAUCGCAACAGUGUGAAAAGUGUUGGGGUGAAAGUGUGAAAAUUAAAAGUAAGAAUGAUUAAACUGAAGUAAAGGGGAAAAGAGGAAGGAUUAAAAGUUCAAUUUAACCAAGAAAGUGUUAUGAAUUGUGGAUGAAAUUGAAAUUAAUUGUGGGCCAUGUAUAUGAUGAUGUUUAGAUUUUUUUAGUUAAAUAUUAUUAUUAAUAAUUUAAAUGUUUAAAUUCAAUAGAUUUUUGUUAUAGAAGACUUUAAAAAUCUCCUUUAUCAUCAUUCAUCUUUAUAUCACCCUCCAUCUCCUUUUUUAGACAUUUUUUAUUAUGUUUCAUUUUAGUCCUUUUCAUUAGUUACAACCACCUCAAGUUUAAAAACUUCAAAUUCUUCCAUGGAUUCUUAGUGAAAUUAAUAGAGAAACCUCAUAGCGAACUUAAUUUCUUAUAAAGUUAAUUGGUGUUCACAUUGGAAGAGAGAGAAAAAUGAAGUUAAGGAUUUGGGUAAAUGUUCAAGGUAAGGAUGGUUAGAUUUCUUUAAGAAAUUCAUGUUUAUUUCAUUAAAAGUACAUGGAAAUGAUGUGUGAUUAUUGUUUUGAUAUUAAAUCUCCUAUACGUGUGAUAUGUUAAUAAAAAGAAAGAGAAGAGAAGUGAUUAACAAUGACUUGAUAAUGGAAAGAAGUAACAAAAGAGGGAAGGAGGAAGCAAGCAAGUCAUCCAAGCAUUUGAUUGUAAGUACUUCAAGAAUUUUACUUUACCUAAUAAAACCUAAGUGAAAACUUGUUAAAUUGGUUAUGAUAAUACUUAUGGGAUUAACCCAUAUAAGAAAAUGUUGAUUUUUAUUAUGGAAUUUAUUUAAAAUUAAAGGGGAUAAAAGGUGAAUUUACAUAACAGAGUGAAUAGCUUAUGUGUAGUGUAUUUGAAGUAAAAAUGAUUAAAUUGCAAAGUGCAUAAAAUUAGAUAAGUGAAAUAAAAUAAUUAGAUAUAGAGCUUAAAUGAAGUGAUAAAUAAUAGUAAAUUAAAUGUCAAGUGAUAUUUUGAUGAUUGUUGAGUUUUAAAUAAUAAAGGACUAAAUUGUAAAAAGUGUCAAGUUUGAAUUGCCUUUAAUUGUUGAGUGAAUAUAAAGAAAUUAAUGUAUAAAAUGCUCAUGUAAACAAGAUGUGAACUAGUAUGAUAUAGAUGACAUGCCAUUAGAAAAUUUGAAUGCGCGUUAGUGAUAGUAGCAUUACGGUACAAUUUAGUGAUUUUGCACUUUGGUGCUAGUGAUAGUGGCACUUCGGUGUAUUUCUUUAACUCUACACAUCAGUGUAAGAUAGUGUAUACAGACUUGUGCUAAUGAUUCAGUAUUCAUUCCUCAUAUCCUAGGUAUUCUAUUGAGUCUAAAAUUUGGCUAAUAAUUUAAAUGGUAAGUGGUCAUAUUAAUGAAAUUGGUAAAUAAUUUAUAGGAUGCUAGUUUAAGAAUUCACUAUGAUUACUUUCUAUUAAAUUUCAUUGUAUAUUAUUAUUAAUCAUGUAUUUAAAUGUUAACAUUGGUUGUUUUAAAUUGAUAAGUUUAAUUCUUGAUGUACUUACUAAGCUUUUAUGUAACACCCCAUACCCUAAUUUUAUACUAGUCUUCCGAAAUGAAGAAUUUACUAUUGACACUCAUUGAUACGAUCGACACCCAGUGCCUCAUCAGAAAAUUAAAAGUAAUCCAAUUGCGCUUAAUGCUCAUUAAUUUAAUUGGCACCUAGUGCCUCAUUCGGGUAAAUUGAAACAUUAAUUGUACAUUCACUAAGUAACGAAUUUUUCAAUAGAAUUUUCAAUUAUUGCAUCAAAUACACUAUUUUCCAUCCUAUACAGUUUAUUCCUUCAUCGCGAGAAUCAACAUUUCACAACAACUUGAUUCCAUCAAUUAUUUUCAAAUUACUUUUACCUUUGAUCAUACUAAGAAAUGAAAGAACAUAUAAAAUUGAAUGAAUUAAUUUAUGAAGUUACAAACCUUAAGCUUCAAACUAUGCAUAUACAUUUAACUAUGUAAUAUCAUUAUAUACGUAUCUAUUUCAUAAUCAAGUUCAACAUCCACUAAUUUCCAUUCAAUUCCAUCCUAAUUACUUUAUACUAUUAAUCAAUUGCUACUUAACCAAUACCUAUUUCACAUAUAGAUAUUUCAUAUUUUUCGAUUUAAUCCUUUUGAUGCAAAAAAUAUUAUAUAAUAACAAUUCAACUAUAAAACAAAACAAUAUAAUACAAAUAUAUCAUCAAUUAAUAAAUUAAGUCCCAUAUGAACUUACUACGAACAAAUAGAAAGGCUAGAAGUGUUAGGGACUACUCUGAAAUUUUUUUCAUUUCCCCGAUUUUCUUCAGUUUGGUCCAAUUUUUGAUCAAUCGAAGCUCAAAGCUUGAAUGUUGGAACCUUCAUAUUCUUCCUUGGAUUUUUUUUUGGGAAAGAAAAGAUGGAGAAAAAGGAUGUGUUUUCUUUCGUUUACUUUUAACUUUUAUGUUAUAACAUAUUUUUAAUACUUUUAAUUAUAAUAUAAUAUAAUUUUAACAUAUAAUUCAUCCAAAUCUAUGCACUUACCGUCCAAUAACUUUAAAAGUGGGAUUAUUACCAUUUAAAUCCUUAAUUUUUACUAUUUGUCCUUUUUAGCUAAUAAAAUCAAUAAUAGUUAACUUUCACCACUUUUACGAUUUAGUCCUUAUUCUUUAAUUAACCACUAAUUUGACUACAUUACUUAUCCAAAAUUCAAUUAACUUAUAAAUUACUUUGUAAAUAUUUAAUAAUAAUACUUAAGGGCUCAAUUUGUGAAAAUGAGGUCCCGAUACCUCAUUUCCCAAUACUACUGACUUUCAGUACGCACCACUUGUACCUUGAAAAACUAACCAAUUAAUAAAAUAUAUCUAAUCAAAAUUCACAAUAACACUACAUUUAUCUCGUAAAUAUUAUUUAAUAAUAUUUACAGACUUGAUCAUUGAAGAACGAGAUUUUAAAACCACCGUUUUCGGCACAAUUGAAAAACGAGUGGUACAAUUUUUAAGCUUAACGCGUUAUUUUUCAACGCGUAAGUAGAAACACGAGUUGAAGCUCUAAAGUGAAUAUAACAUCUCAACUCAUCACAUCUCAAAGAUUGAAAGAAAGUAUAGUUUUGAUAUUUUGGAAAUAGGUUAUGACAUGUACAUAGCUUAGAACAAAACAUGUGCACAAGAUUUCUAGUGUUGAAAUAUAUGAUGUUUUGAUGGAGAUUUAUGUUUUAUAAUGUUUAGAAGUGUUAUGGAAUGACUUAUGAUAGUUUAAACUUGGUUUUAGAUGUUUCAGACAUGGUUUGGGUAAUCAAUCCUCAGUGUUGCGACAUCAAAAAUCAAUGUUCCUUAAAUGUCAUGACAUCAAAAGCCAACAUCUUGACAUUGCAGUGUUUUGCCCUCAGUGUCAUGACACCCAUUUCUCAGUCUUGCGAUGUUGACAUUUUUUUAACCCAAAUAAGCCCCAAAUGGUCCUCGUUUAUAACUAAACUUUAAAGGAAGCCUAGAAAUGACUUGAAUAGUUUCAAAUGAUUCUAUUUAUGUUAAAAAAAAGUUUUGAAAUUGAUGUUCAAGUUAAGUAGUCUUAGUGUCCAAAUGUGAGAUCCCUUCCUUGUGAUGUGUCGAUUCAUUCCAGGUGAGGGGUAUUACAAAUUCUCAAGCAAUCUCAAGCAAACAAUUCUUCAAACAUGUUUUUAAGGUCAAGUCCCAGCGACUCUUGAAAAAGGUAACAUCCAUUCAAGAUGAAGUUUUUACAACUAUCUUGACUUUUAUGGAGUGGGUUAAAGCUCUUGUUUUACACUUGUCACACACAAUUUCUCUUUAAGUACUAAAAUUAGGAAUAAUUUGAGGUUAAAUUAAAAGAGAUAGUAAGUUGUCGACUUCUACUGAAAAAUCAAGAAAAAAUUAGUGGCUGAUUUGGACAUAGUUAAGUUCUAAUUCUGGUUCAGUUGGAUGAGAACUAACUGGUUCUUUACUGAGAAACAAAAUAAUUACCAAUGGAUGAUUUUUAUAAGGUUGAUAAUCGUGCAUGAAGGGCUAUAAAUAGUUGAGAAGUGAAUUCCCAGGGUGAAUUAUUCUAAAUUUUGUUUAACUUUAUUGAUGUGAUAAAUGGAGUAGGAUUUGGCGUAUGGUGGAAUGAGAGAAUGGAUAGGGAAAUAGAAUUUUCAUUAGAUUCCGCAACCCGAUAUUACUGGGUGCAAACCGUGAUGUGCGAAGUUCUAGGCCUUGUAAAGGGGACACUAUGGUGUUCGAGCAUCAAGGUUAGAAGUAAGACAAAAUGAAUAAGCUGUAAUGGGGAAUAAUGUGUAAAACCAUAGCUCAACUAUGGCAAUAUAGAGAGAGUUUGUCAUGACAUUAAACAUGAGGAAUAAUGUGUAAGACCAUAGCUCGGCUAUGGCAACAUAGAGAGAGUCCCCCAGGUCAUUAACAUGGGGAAUAAUGUCUAAGACCAAAACUCAACUAUGGCAACAUAAAGAGACUCUGUCAGGACAUUAAACAUGAAACAUGAUGUGUAAAACCAUAGCUUGGCUAUGGCAAUAUAUGGAGUUCACCGGGACAAUAAACAUGGGGUAGUCCGCCAACACUGUAAACAUGGGAUAGUUUGGGUUUUAUAAUAUUGAAUCGAAAAACAUGAGGUAGUCUUUAUUACUGAAAUCAAAGACUCCAAAAUUUCUCUAUAAUUAUUUUUAUAUUUUUAUAAAUUAUUAGUAAUUUUUAACAAUAUUCUAUAAUAUCUAAUACUCUUUUAGAUUUAUAUAUAUAUUUAUAAAUUUUCUAAAGUUUUAUAAUAUUGAAUAAUAUUUUAAUAAUUUUUAAGCUUAAAUAAUUAAAAGUUGAUUAAGUUAUCGUAAAAUAAUUAAAAACUCAGUUUAUGCUAUGUACUUCAACUACCACGCCAUUUGCCACGUCAUCAUAGACUUAAUGAUUGUCGGGGCUUACAUGAAAGUUGUUUUUCAAGGGCUUGAUGAAUUGCUUGUAUUCAAUUAGGAGCUCAAUUGAGUGUUUUUUUCAAUUGAGGGCACAAUUGAUUAUCGAAUUAUUUUACAAAGGUUUUUCGUUAUAUUAAGCCUAUAUUUAACAAUUUCUAAAUUUAAGCAUCAAAGUGAACCAAAACAAAAUGUAUAUACUAAAGUGAAUCUAAUUACUAAGUUUAAGAACAAAAAAAUAUAUUAUCCCACCAACCAUUGACCAAACCUUUCACACUUUAUUAGGGAUGACAAAAAAUUCUAAACCUGACAGGUUCCUUACAACGCCCUAAAAUUUUCAGAAUUUAACUGUAAGAUUCUAUAGUAAUUAAGUUUAUGUAUCUGUGGUUCUGUGUUCUACUAUCGUGUUAAAGAUCUGGAGUUUGAGUUGCAUCGUUAAAAGUUUUAUUAUUUUAAAGCAAUCCCUAGCCAUGCGUUACAUAGUUAAAUUUAAUUCAGUUUAAACUUGUGUCAAAAAUGAGCCUGUUGGUUCAUUAUUUAAGCCUCUUAAUUCUGCCUGGUCUCGUGUUCAAGUCUCAACGUAUGCAUUUGGAAUAUUUUUGUCAAAUGCUAGAAACCCACUUAGAAGUUAAUUUAUAAUUAACGUUAAUUCUAUAUUGUUUUUUUUUAGUUUUCUCUUCUCCUUCCUUUCUCCUUUUUAUUUCUUCGUUCUUUUCUUUUUCUUUUUAAUUUUUAAUUUGCUGAUCGUGGUGGUAAGAAUACAUGAUUAGUUGAAAUUUACACUAUUAGUUGGCGGUCGAAAGGCUAUUUAGUAAGUCACAAUCAAUUCGUUGUUUGCACAGUUUUUCUUUGUUCUUCGUAAUUUGCUCUAAGUUAAGUAUUGAGUGUUCUAUGAGAAUCAUAGAUAGAUGAUUUUUAUUUUUCUAUUUAGGAAACAAUAUUGAAAGUGGUGAACAAAAACACGCUAAUUCCAACAAUUGCCAUUAAAUUUUCGGUAGGUAUUGGGUCAGUUGAAGGUUUCAUGUCAAAACUUUUGACUUAUCCAUUAGGCGUGUACUUAGGAAUGGUUGUCAAUAAAAUGAAUUAAUUGUGUAAUUGAAUGAUUUUUUAGGCUUUAGAGAUUCUCUACGUUGUUAUUGCUUCAAAAUCUCUUCAGGUGCAUACUAAAAACCCUUAAUUUUACAAAUUUUAGACGCCAAAAAAUGUAGCUGUUGACGCCACACGGCAAGGGACAUGAAUGUGUGCUAGUUCCAGGCCGUGUGUAGCCAUGUUAGUGCAGGUUUCACACGAGAAACGGACAUGGGCAUGUGUCUAGGCCGUGUAGCUAAUUGUUUAUGUUUUAGGACCACGCGGCUAGGAACAUAGGCGUGUGCCUAGGCCGUGUAAACCACACGACCAAGGACAUGGGCGUGUCCAAGCUGUGUAACUCACUGUUUGUGAUUUAGUGCCACAUGGGCAAGGACAUGGGUGUGUGUCCUGGUCAUGUGGCAUAUAAAUAAGACGUGAGUGUUGUUCGACAUGAGCAUUGACCUCCACUACCUAUGCAUGAUUUGAAUUUGAUUAUAUGAGGACUCUCUGAUGCUCUAAGACUGAUAUAUGAAUGAUAUAAAUGUAUGUGUAUUGUGAUGGCUAUUUCUGAUACUGAUCUGUAUUAUAUAUUGUGAAAUAAAUUGGAAUAACUGAACACAUGUUAUGGAUAUUUGUAAUCUGCAUUUGUAUGGGUUGGGAUAUUGUGAAGAAGGAAGUAAUCUACUUUGAAUCAUUGGCUAAGCCAUGAUAAAUAUAGAUAUGAAUCUGGCACUUUGUCGCAUUUCGAUCAAGCAACUAGGUUGCGUCUCUGUAAACGUGUCAGACAGACACUCUAUGGUGUGUGCAGGGUUGGUUGGGCAUUAAACGCCCUUAACGGUGUGUUGGGAUGGCCGAAGAUGAUGUGUAGCGGAUAAGGGUAGGAAUAACUGCAUAUGAAUCUGAUCUGUUCCAUAAAUGAAACUGAAAUUGCUUCUGUGUAUAUAACUGAUCUUUUUGUAUCUGAGAUGAAAUUGGUUCUAUUAUCUAACCGAAUCUUGGAAUCCAGGAACCAUCUUCUACAUGUGUUUUAGUUGAACGAACAUCUUUUACGCACUAGGUUCACAACUCUUUUCGUUCUUGACUGGAUUUCAGGUGGCUUUCAGACUUGAACGGGUCAGUGCUGCGGGAGCUCGAUCAAACCUUUUUAUCCUUCCUUUAAAUUCUACUAUUAGUAAUUUCAGUAUUCUAUGCUAUUGUGAUGUUGGGAAGAUUAUGUAGUGAGUUAGUUGCUAUAAUGAAUAUAAUAUGUUGAAUGGUUUCAUUUUGACUGCGUUAUAAAUGUGGUUUCCUAAUAUCGAUGAUAUAACUCCCUGGACUUGGUCUGGAUGCCUAAGCCGGGUUUAGGGUGUUACAUUCCUACUGGACCUGAUUCAAUAGGGUUAAAAAUUUUUCUUUGAAAUUAGGUUUUGGUGCUAGUUAGUGUGGGAUUAAUUUUUCUAAUUGGUAGGAAAAAUUGACCACCCGAUAUAAUUUCUAAAAUGCCCUUUACAUAUAAACUAGUUUAAAUAUAUAAUAAAUUUUAUAUUAAUAUUUGACCUAUAUAAUUAUACCCAGAAAAUAAUUGACAGCUUCAAUAAAAAAUUUUGUUCUACUUUGAUAAUUUUAUAAAUAAAUGAAAAUUAUGACAUAUUAGGUCAAAAUCAUGUAUAACUUUAAUUUUCUUGAUCGGGUUUGACGCAAAUAAUUUCAUAUUUAAUUUUGGGUCAGAUUAGGAUCAAGUUAUAUUAGAGGAUAUAUCGGGUCAGAAUUAGGACAAGCAAAAAAUUAACCAGCCAAGUUGCCAUCUCUACACUCUUCAAGAAACUCUUUCCCACAAGUGUUCCCAAAAGAGCAAUAAUAAAAGAUGUCAAGCAAAAAGGUGGCUUGUCAUGUUAGUAUACUAUCACGUGGUAACUUUUGGUGGCUUUUAUCGACCACAUCAGCGCAGUUAAUGAUAAAACCGUUCAACUAACAAUUUUUGUUAACGAAAGGGGCAAGUUAAUUUUUUUAAGGUCACCGAGAGCUCAAUUGGAUGCAUAUUUUUCAUAAGGGCUUAGUUGUUUUUUUUUCAAUGAGGACUUUUUUGACUUUUUAACCUUAAAAGUAAUUUAAAAAAUAGUUUAUUUUAUUUUUAUAAAAUUAAAAAAAAUGACAUAUCGAGUUGAAGUCAAGUAUAACUUUAAAUUUUCGGAUCAAACUUGAAACAAAUAAAUUAAAUUUUAGUUUAGAUCAGAUAAGGUGUUAUUGAAAGACAUAAGGGGUCGAGAUCAAGUGUAACGCCCCAAGUUUUUAAAUAUAUUUUUGUAAUUUAGUGACACAAGUGUGUAUUUGCUUCAGUGGUUAAGUGUUCUGGGGGUGUGUGAGAGGUCGUAAGUUCAAGCUUUAUCUUGGGCAAAUUUUGACUUUUGAUGAAUAAGGCCUUACACUUGUUCAAUAGGCUUAUAUUUGAUUGUGUGUAAAAUUAUACUAGAAUGGGUUUGUUGGUUUGGUGGUUAAGUGGAGUGAAUUUAAGCUAGAGGUCCUGUGCUCGAAUUAAGGUGUAAGCAAGGGUUUAUAUUUUUACCCCGGUGUUUGAGUGGAGUCGAAAUUCUGAUGAUGGUUGGGGUGUUGGGCGGUUUUGGAGAAGUGAAGGAUUGGGGGAGUAAUUAGAGGGAUUUGGUGAGCAAUCAAAAUCCCAUUGUGAUCUUUUUAUUUUUUUUUUGAAAUUUCAAUUGUUUUCCCAAUUUUGUCAACCCCUUUUCCCCUUACUCUCUGCCGAAAUUCUGUGUAACGGCCCAAAUUUUAGUGAUAUCGAAACAGUGAUUCGAGAUCACUAAAUCUGACGUGUGAGUUUAGAUAUUAGUAAGUAAAUGCUAAGUGUGGUUUUAGAAAUAAUUUUUAAUUAGUGAAAUUAUGAAUUAAAAGAAAUUUGUAGAUUAAAUGAGAUAAAAAUGAGGUAUUGAGACCUCAAAUUCAUAAACCAAACCAUAAAUAUUUUUAUAAAUAUUUAUGGAGUGUUAAUAAGUUAGAAUUAAAGUUUCGUCAAGAAAUUUUAAGGUUUCGGUAGUCAAUCGGGUAAAAAGCACUAAAUUGAAUUAAGUGCAAAAUUGUGAAAUGUGAUUAAAUAGCUCUAGUAAUUAUUAAAGGAAGACUAAAUAUGCAAUUAAACACCUAUUAUUGGGCUGGACGACAGGUGUGUGCUGGAAAAAUAAAAAUCAAGUGUGAACAAGGGGCAAAAUUGGAAUUGGGUAAAUAUUAAAUUGUAAAAUAUGAUAUAUUAGGUAAAAAUCUAGAGUUUUCUUCAAUUUUCAUCUUCUCUAGAAAAAACACCAUUGAAGGGUUCUUUUAAGCUGGUCUCUCAUAUUUCUAUUAAAUGUAAGCUCAAUUCUUGAUUAUUUCUUGUGAUUUUUGUGAUUUUGGGACUUUUGCAACUAGGUCCUAAUAUCUAAUUCAUUAGUUUUUGAUUUCAUGGGUAAUUUUGAAAGUUUCCAUGAAUAAGUGCUGAAAUUUUAUGAUGAUUUAUCAUGGAAUUAAGGUUUUAAUUUCAUUAUAUGAUGAUUUUAUGAAGAGAUUUGCAUAGAAAUUUAAUUUCUGGACUUAAUUGUGAAAGUUGUUGAAAUUGGGGUUUUGUGUUGAAGUUUGGAAUGUCAAAGGCUGUGAAGUAGUUUGUAGUGUUUAGAUAAAAUGAUAUUUGAAAGGAAUUAGCUUAAUUGAUGAAUGAAUUGAUUAGGGAUUAAAUUGUAAAAAUUUAAAAGUUUGGGGUAAUUGUGUAAUUUUGAAAAUUAAUGGCAUAAAUUUUGAAAUAGAAUGGAAUUGAAAUAGAUGAUAAUGGAGGAAUGAUUUUAUAAUUAUAGAUCAAGAGAACGAAGUGAAUCGUGGAAAGGAGAAAAUUCAAGCAUAGUCCUUGAAUUGCUACGAUUUUUUGCAAAUUAGCCCAGGUAAGUUCAUAUGGCAAAGUUCAAUGUUUGAUAUGAAAAUCUUAUGAUUGUUAAAGUAUUUUAUUAUAGAUGAAUAUUAUCAAAUUGUAUUAACUAAUGAAUAAUGUGUAACUAAAAAACAAAUUAGUUGGAACAAUGGUUUGAGCGCUUUCAUUUUAUGACCAUAAUGAAUUGACGGAAAAGAUGUGAUAUAUGCUUCCGUAUAAGACCAUAGCUGAGCUAUGGCAUCGGUGUGAUGUGAAAAUUUGAUUCCGUAUAAGACCAUAUCUGGGAUAUGGCUUCGGUAUGAUAUGUGAUCCGUGUAAGACCAUGGAAGGGCUAUGGCUUCGGUGUGUGAUGUGUGACAAUGUGAAAGUCCAUAGAUUACUAUGGCAUUGUGAUAAUGAAGCACUCAAUUCCAUUGUGGUUCCCUAAUUUGACAAUAGAAAUAAAUAAGAAAUGGGCCCAAAAGAAUUAAGUUCGUGAAUUACAUCAUGAAAAUUACUCAAAUGAGAUUAUUAGUGAAGUUGUGAUUUGAAGGAUGAAUUAGUUUAACUAAUAGAUAUAUGAUUGUGUACAGUGUUCGGUAAGAUUCAUGUUCUUAUGCCAAUGAGCUUACUAAGCUUCUAUAAGCUUACUUGUGUAUGUGAUUUGUUUUGUAGAUUGACUUAUAUACAUACGGAGGAUCGGAUCUACAACAAGGAUCACAUUAUCCAGAUUUACUCCGGUAGAUUUUGUUAAAUAACUUUUUGGUUUAUAUGGCAUGUAUAUGAUUUGAUUUAGUAAUGUAAUUAUAUGAAUAAUUAAGUAUGCAAACUAUGUUGAAUGUAAUGUUUUCUGAUUGGAAAAUGAAAUAUACUUGUUUUGGCUUGAAAUAAUUCUUUGGUUGAAAAUUUUUAAGUAUAAAUGUUAUAUAAUAUGGCUUGUGAAAAUUACCUCUAAAAGGGGUGGCAAAUUGGCUUAAAUCAAGCCUAUAUGGUGCCACACGGUCAGAGGACACGGGCGUGCCUUAUGGCCAUGUAAGAAACUGAGUAACCUCCUAAAUAUUACACGGCCUUGACACACGGGCGUGUCAUUUGGCCGUGGUAUUAAGUCAGUAGCUAGCUAUGUAUCACACGGCUACAGCACACAGGUAUGUUCCAGGCCACACGGGCGUGUCCCAAGCCACACGGGCGUGUGCCUCUAUCUUCAAGGAAAAUUUUCCAAAGUUCCCGAUUUAGUCUCAAAUCACUUCUAAAACAUAUAUAAGGCCCUGUAGGCCCAUAUUAAGGACUUUAAGAUGAAAUUUGAUAAGAAUCGAUCUAAAGUGUAAAGUUUAUGACUCGGUUUUGUAUAAAUGUUAGUGUAUAAGUCCGGUAAUGCCUCGUAGCCCUAUUCUGGUGACAGCUUGGGGUUAAGGGUAUUACAUUCUGUGCUUCCUCACCUUUUUUUCACGAUUUCUUCUCCAUACCAUUUUUAUUGUGAUAGGAGACGUUCGUGGUUCGUAAGGUAAGGGCUUUUCCGCUCGAAAGCUGUUUAGCCUAUUUUGGGGUAUAGUGUAAUUCGAUUGAUUGAAUGUCUGAUUGCGUGAAAUAUGGUUAAUUUUAGGUUCUGGAUUGCUCGGGGUUACGUUAGCUUCGAAUCGAUACCAAGUGUGUACCUGAAAACACAAAAAAAAAGAAUCAGUAAAAGCCGAAAAAUGAUUCUGUCGACGCCACACGGGUGUGUGGUCGCCAGUAUGGUAGGCCGUGUGGUAGCACACGACUGUGCGAAUAAUAGAUCAGGCCGUGCGCACGUGACACGGGUGCAUGACAAGGCCGUAUAAUGGCUGGCGAGGCUGUGUGCGAGACUCGGACUCGACCAUUUGGGUUGUGUGGGCCACACGAGCGUAUGGGCCUACACGGGUAUGUGGAAUUUUUUGGCCAAGCCGUGUGGGCCACACGGGCAGGCCACAUGGGCGUAUGAGCCUAUUUUUCUGAAAUAAUCUGUAAGGUUGCACGGGUCGCCCAAGUCGACUGUGACCUACCGUAGGGUCGAUAAGCCUUACUUAGACCCCUGAUUCUAUGAUCUGAAUGUGUGAUGUAUGUAUUAAGCAUGUUACUCUUAGCAUGCGUGUAUGACCAAUUGUAUGAUCUGUUAAGUUGCAUUAUCGCAUGCAUAUUUGUAUAAUGCAUUGCAUCGGGGUGGGGUUAGUGUUAUGAUGGAGGAAGCAUUCUGAAACGCUCUUAAGCCUGAUAUCUGAUGGCACAGCUGCAAUUAUCUGAUUAUGAGCCGCAUUUUGGUACAGCACAGUUGUAAUACCCCUACCCGUAUUCAUUACCGGAAUAGGGUACGAAGUAUUACCAGAGUUUACGAAUUAAAUUUUUUUUUAACUCAAUAUAACCCCUUUAUAGAUAUCUAACCUUCCCUGAAAUUUUAAACCAAAAAUAAUCCACAUCAACCAAUCCAAUUCAACAUAUUUUCAAGAUAAAUUCAUGCAUAUUUAUAAAAUAACAUCAUCACAUACCCAAAACCAGGUUUGUUAACCAUACCAAUGGCUAACUCUACAUUCAUUUCACAGAAUCAUUUACUUUAUUAGCUUAUACAUGCCAUUGAUUUCCAAAAUAAAGUUUCUUUAUAUACCGAAAUCCUGAGGUUGAUAGUGUGAUGUGUCUCCGACCAAAUCCGACCUCCGAGCUCUUAACACUUGAUACUUGUUUGUAAACAAAAAAAAAAUCUACUAAUCCCGAACUUUUUCCUUUCCUCGAUCUAGCUUCGUAUUUGAAUCUUCUGGAUUUGGUGCAAAAAUUAUGAAAUACCAGCUUAGAGAACCCUCCUAUGGUGUUUUUAGCUACUGGAAUUGAAGAGAAAUGAAGAGAAAUAUAGAUAUUUCCUAUUUAGUCCUAGCUUUAUUUAGUUAAUUUUGCAAUAUUUCAAUUUUGCCCUUAAUUUAUCAAUUUUCCUGUUGAUUUCAUGCCCUUGCCGUCCAGCCAUAAUAAAUUUUGGGUCUAAUUGCCUUUUAAAUCCUUUCUCAUUAGACUCUUAAGCUGUUUAAUCAUUCUAGCAACUUUUACACCUAUUAGAAUUUAGUCCUUUUCAUUUAAUUGACUACCCAAACAUUAAAAUUUCCUAACGAAAUUUUAAUACCACAUUACUAACAUUUCAUAAAUAUUUAUAAAAUUAUUUUUAACUCGGUUUUACGAGAUAGAGGUCCCGAUACCUUGUUUUUACCCAAUUUCUUCAAUAAUUUCUUUUUCUAACUAACCAUUAAAUCGAUAAAAUUUUUCUAUCAAUAUUUUCAUACGAUUUUCCUAUCAUAUCAAUUUUCAUGCAAAAAUAUUGAAAUAAAUUUCUCUUUGAAUCGGAUUUGUGGUUACGAAACCACUGUUCUGAUAACUUUGAAUUUAGGCCAUUACAAUAGUGUUUUGGGAUGGGUGGGUCGAUUUUAUCCCCACAUGGUGUGUUGGGUUGGAUGGAGUUGGUGCGUAGGGCUGGUGGGCAUGAUUCUAUUAUUCUGCUCUGUUAUGCAUAUGAUAUCUGAGAUGGGCUAAGGACCAGUUUGUAUCUAAUUCUGUAUUUGAGUGGACUAAGGUCCACACCGAUUCUGUAAAAGGCUUAGGCUGAAUUAUCUGUUAUUUGGAUAUAUGACUGACUUUUGCUCCUGUGUAUAUUUUUCUGUGGGGAUUACACACUGAGUUUGCAAAAAUUCACCCUUUUCUGUUUAAUCUGUGUAGGUAAUCCCUAGACUUGACGGAUUGGUACAGCGGAGGGCUCAACGGUGACUACCACUAUCAAACUGCUUAUUUACAGUUUUUUCGGUUACAUCGCUUAUUUCUUGUUGGUAUUUUAUGCAUAAUGGACUUUGGGACUGUUUGGUUUUUAAUUUGAGAUUUUGAACUGUUGAUUAUGGAUUUCUAAAUUGCAAUGCAACAAAAUAUGGUUUUCCUAAAAUAAACUAAGAUUUUUCGUAAAUGAAACGGUUUUCAAAAAUUUAUUUGGAUUUCAAAAGCUUUCGCGUAAAAGAAAUGUUUUAAAUCAAAUCAUUUAGAACACGGUUUCCCAAACUAAGUAAAAGUUAAUAAUUUGAAAUGAUUUGAAGGUCAAUGCAUUUUUCAAAAACACUUUCAUGUGACAUCGCCAGAUUCGGCCAUAGUGUCCAAGUUAGGUUUGGGGUGUUACAUCAAGGUAGACAAAAAACCUCCACCUCCUGCUCUGUUGCCAUUUUUACACUCUCAUUGAAGUCUCAAAAAUCAAACCUAGUUACCCAACAUCAUCCUUGAAAUCUCAACCUUCUCCAUAAGCCACCUCCUCACUAUUCAAAUCUCACUACAGGAAAACAGACUUUUACCGGCGCUUUUUUAGCCUUUAACGGUGCUUUUAGGCGCCACUAAAACUUUUAGCGGCGCUUUCUAAAACGCCGCAAAAAACGCUGCUAUAGGUAACGCCACAAAAAUUUGUGGCGUUUAUUGGAAAAAAACGUCGCUAAAGGUCAAGGCUUUUAGCGGCGCUUUUUUUACAAACGCCGCUAAAUUUGGCAGAUUUGUAAUAUUUUUUUCACCAAUAUCCAGCCCUUCCUGCAUUAAAAUCCAACCAAAUAAAACAAAUAUAAUAUAAAAUGCAGCCAAAAAUAGCAAAUUUAACAUAAAAAAUACAACCAAAAACAUUAAUUCUAAAUGAUACUUCAAAUUUAACUAAAGAUAUAUGAUAUAAUUAAUAAAUAAAGUAUAAUUUAAAAUAUUUUUACAAUAAUGUUAAACGUGACAAAACUUAAAAACAUUCUUACAAUAAGAAAACUAAUGUCUAAGACGGCGGCUUUUGCGAUUGUUGAAACAUAUGCAUCAUCUGCUGAAGUUGUAGCUGGAGGUCAUUGUACUUUUUGCUCUGUUCUGCUACCAUCGCUCGUGCCUCUGCCUCUCUCGCUGCAGCCGCUGCCUCCCUCUCUACUGCCUCCGCUCUAAGUUGUUGCUGGAGUUCUUCAUAUUUUCGUUGAACCUCGGCAAUUUGCACAACCGUGUUCGCUUGCAUCUGAGCUAUCUGGUCUCUUAACCUCUUAACUUCAGCUUGAGCUUGACUUCCGGAAGGCAUGUAUUGCUGGGAGCCGGAUCCAAAAUAUUGGGUCGGGUUAACACCAGAUCCUUGAAAUCGAACCCGACCGUACCUUUCAGGACCCAAAACUUCAGUGAUAAUUCUGUUAUCAAUGUUCUCAAGAUUAACAGAACUAUCGCUUGAAGCAAUCGCUUCAUAUUCCGCCUUCUUCUCCUUUAGUUUCUCCUAAAAAAUCAAUUAAAGAGUUAGAAAUGAAAUAUAUAAUAAAAAGAAAUGUAACAUAACUUAACAUUUUUUAAAACUACUAAUGAUGAAUUGAAUUAAACAAUUAUAAUUAAAGAUUAUAAAUAUUUAGAAUAAAUCAAAUAUUAUUAAGUGAAUAUACCAUAAUUUCUCCAGCUUCGGAUGUCAUAGGAGAUCCAUCUUUCUUCCUAUGCGUAAUCUCAAAAAGUUGAAGGCGUCCAAAUUUUUGUCCGGAUUUUACUUCCUACAAUAUAGUAGUAAGAAUAUUAUUUAAUAAUAGAAAGUUAUUAAUAUUUGAAAGAAUUAAUAAAUUCAUAAUACCUCGGCCUCAGCUACAGAAGCAAAACUUCUCGACCCUGCCGUGUGCGUGAAUUUUUGUUUUUGCCUGCUGCUUGUUCCAACUCGCUCACGGUCCUACAUAAUAAAAUUAUUAUUACGUAUAUAGUAAACACUAUAUAUAAGAGUUUGGAAAUACGCAAUACCUCUCCUUUCUUUGAAUUCCAAAAUCUAACCGCAUCUUCCCAUUGAUACCUCAGCAUUCCUGGCGGAACAUUUCUCAGUUUUUCCUCGAGGCUUAUGUCUUUCUUAAAAUAUUGUUUCUUUAAAGUGCUUUUAUUGUCUCUCCAUCUUUUACCUAAUGCCUUCUUGAUAUAAUCAUCGGAGACUUCUAAAGCAAAUAUCUCCUAAAAAAACAUAAGUUUAGAAUGUAAAUAUAAAUGAAACUUAAACCAAAGUAUUAUAAAUUACAUUCACAUUUUGUUACCUUACUAUUAGCGAGAGCCUGAUUUUUGUUGCUAUCAGGCAUGUGAUGCCAUGAUUUGUAGUUGAUGGGCAACAUAUUUGCAUUUCGUGCUAAAAUGCCCAAAUAGCCUGCUAAAAGUCGAGCUUCAGAUCCAACAGGCUGACCAUGAGUAUUUCUACUUACUUUAACACGCUCGACAGGAUCUAAGUCGUAUAAAUCUCUAAGUAGCGUACGUCCUCGAACUCUGCGUGUCCCACCACUUUCAGCUAAAAAAUGAUAUACUAUUAUUAUAUUAAAAUUGACAAAUAAUUCAAUAAUAAAAGUCAACACAUGUAAAAUGAACAUAAUAUUACUUUGAAAUUCUUCAGGCUCAUCAAGUGUCUCCGGCACAUUCGAAGAUCCAACAACUGUCUGCUAUUCACUAUUUCUUUCUUUCGAAUUUGGAGUAUUCUGGACAAUACUUAAAUCUCGUACUCUUCUUCUACGCAUUUUUCCUGCAAUACACAUAAAAUAAUUAAAGUUUUAGUAACAAAUUUAGCACAAUAGUAGUACAUAUAAAAUAGUUAAAUUAUAUAACAUGACAAAGAUUAAAAUUAUAAUAUAAGAUUAAAAUUAUAAUAUUACAUAUAAUUAAAAAAUUGUAAAAUCUUACUACAUCAUUAUUCGUAAAUAUCUUCAUCCACAUCAUGUCGAACCCAUUGAUGUUGUGUAUUAGUACUAGGGAUAUUUUCAUCUAAGUUUUGUUCUGGAAAAGGUAAUGUUUCUGAUCUUUCGACGAUGUCAUCUCUACUUCCAUUACCCAUUUCAAACAAGUCGCUAGGGGUGUUCCGGAGUACAACAUACCAACCCUCAACAGUUGGAUCUUUCGAAUAAAAAACUUGUUUCACUUGAGAGGAAAAUACAUAUGGCUCGUCCAUCAAUUGUUGUCCAAUGUGAAUCAAGCGAGAGAAAUUCAACAUUGUAAAACCAAAUUGAUCUUCUUUAAUUCCUCGAGUAGUAUUAACAUCAGGCCAAUCACACCGAAAUAAGACAACUUUCCAUCUGCCAGAGUAAUCCAACUCAAUAAUGUCGGUAAUAAGUCCGUAAUACUCCACAUUACCCUCAACCGGAUUACUGUCCCUAGCACUAGCAUAACUUGUAAUUGAAGAAUUAACAACAACUCCACAAUUUUGACUUCUCCUCAUUCUCUCACGAUACUUUGUAUGAAAUCUGUAUCCAUUGAUGAGGAAGACACUAUAUCUUUUUAUUAUUCUGUUCGGACCUUGGGAAAGCCAUUUAACUUCGUCAUUGACGUCUUUUCCACUCCAAACCUAUUGAAUCGAAAGUAAAUUGAAUAAUUAACUAAAUAUCGGGAUUAUAUGUAACUUAUUAACUUUAGUUACAUACCGUUUGACUUAACCAUUCAUGAAAAGAUUCUAUGAAUAACUUAUUAAUCUCUCGAUGUUGCAAUCUUCGAAAGCGUGCACGAGAUCUCAAAAUUUGUUUGUACUCACUAUGUUAAAAACAAGUGUAUUUGGUUAGAAGAUAAACAAAUCAAAACGACAAAUAUGUGAGGAAAUUUUAGAACUUACUUGUGUAACGGUUCAACUAAAUCGUGGUGAAAAAGUACAUAUCGAUGUGCUUGUAUCCACGAUAUAUCAUCUAAUUCUGCAAUUUCAACUUUGCCGAUUGGUUCUCCAUAACUUUGGAAUAAAUAAGUUUCGGCCAAGUUAUGAUCAUUGAGCCCAGCAUUUCUAUUUGGUCUAUUCAAUUGUGUUUCAACAUCUUCUAAAUAUCUAGAACAGAAUGUCAUGCACUCCUCUGCCAAGUAGCCUUCAGUAAUUGAUCCUUCUGGAUAACGCUUAUUGCGACAAUAAGAUUUCAAUUUACUUAGGAACCUAAACACGAUAUACAAUAUUUAUCAAAAGUUGUAACUAAAUGUAUAGACGCGAAUAAAUAAAUACUUGACAAAUAAAUUAGCACCUUUCUAUUGGAUACAUCCAUCGAUAAAAAACCGGUCCACCAAGUAUUGCUUCGUGAGGGAGAUGGAUUACCAAGUGCACCAUAAUAGUGAAGAAGGAAGGUGGAAAGAUCUUCUCCAAAUUGCAUAAAGUCAAAGUAGUUCGAUCCUGUACUUUCUUAAGUUCUUCAACAUCCAAAACUUUGCCACAAAUAGCUUUCAUUAUAUUGGAUAGUUCAAUUAUACAGGACGUCACAUUUUUUGACAUGCAGCACCGUAAAGCAACUGGGAGUAAAUCUUGCAUCAAGAUGUGGUAAUCAUGUGAUUUUAAUGAAUAUAAUCUUCGAUCUUUAAGACUCACACAUCGAGAUAUAUUUGACGCAUACGCAUCUGGGACCUUUAUAUCCUUCAACACCAUACAAAACACCUCUUUCUCUUCCUUUGACAUUGAAAAAAUAGAAGGCGGCAACCGAUAUUUCCUAUUCGGAAGUACUUGAGGAUGAAGAUCAUGCCAAAUUCUCAUGUCAACUAAAUCAAGUCGACUCUGAAGAUUGUCUUUUGAUUUUCCAUCGACAUUCAAAAUUGUCCCAAUUAUGUUCUCACAGACAUUCUUCUCAAUAUGCAUGACAUCAAGAUUGUGACGUAAAAUAUUAUGCUCCCAAUAAGGUAACUCAAAAAAAAUACUUCUUUUUUUUCCACAAGUGUGCCUCAUUAGGAUCAUCCUCUUCGUCAGAUUCAUCAUCAGAUUCAUCCCUCGAUAUUCUCUUUGAUCUCGUGUUAGGUGGUUGAUUCAUCUUCCCAUAACUAAAGUUGAUAUCUUUUAACAUAAACAAGAUUUCAGAUCCAACGGUCUGCUGAGGAGCUCCUCUGUACUCUUCAGUACCGUCAAAUAGAGUCCUCUGAAAUCUAAAUUUAUGAUUUCCAUCUAACCAUCGACAAUGGCCCAUGUAAGAGAACUUCUUCCCAUUGUACAACCACUUCGAACAAGUUUGCGCAGCACAACAAGGACAAGCAUAACGUCCUUUAGUACUCCAACCCGAUAAAUUAGCAUAAGCCGGGAAAUUAUUAAUUGUCCAUAAUAAAGCGGCACGUAAAUUAAAGUUCUCCUUUCUCAAUACAUCAUAUGUCUCAACACCCGCCCAUAAUUGUUUUAACUCUUCAAUAAGUGGCUGCAAAUAAAUAUCAAUAUCAUUUCCGGGACCUUUCUCUCCAGGGAUAAUCAUUGAUAAAAUAAAUGAAGAUUGCUUCAUGCAAAUCCAUGGAGGCAAAUUGUAAGGAACAAGCACUACAGGCCAAGUACUGUACGAAGUACUCAUGAUUUUAAAUAGAUUAAAGCCAUCAGCUGCUAGCCCAAGCCUCACAUUCCGAGGAUCGCUUGUAAAGCUUGGAAAUUUACUGUCAAAUGAUUUCCAAGCUAAAGAAUCCGCAGGAUGUCUUAAUAAUCCAUCAUCGGUCCGUUGAUGAUUAUGCCACCUCAUAGAUUCGGCUGUCUUUGAGGACAUGAAAAGCCUUUGAAGUCUUGGUAUCAGGGGAAAAUAUCGCAAGACCUUGACUGGCUUCUUUCUUAACUGUGCCCCACCUUUAUCCGUAUUCACAUCUUCUGUAUUACUAUUCAUCCAACGAGACUUACCGCAAACAUGACAAGAUUGUUGGUUUUUCUGAUCACCCCAGUACAACAUGCAGUCAUUUGGGCAACUAUGAAUUUUAUCGUACCCAAGGCCCAAAUCUUUUAUUAUUCUCUUCAUGUCUUGACAAGACUGGGGAAUUUUUGCAAACGGAAACAUCUCUCUUAGAAACUCUAGCAGUAUUGUAAAAGAGUUUCCGGUCCACCCUCCCAAACAUUUUAAGUGAAAUAGACGAAUGCAGAAGGACAAUUUCGAAUAUUUUGAUCCCUCGUAAAGUUCUUCAUUCAUUUCAUUAAGUAAAUUGUAAAACUUAGCCGCUUCUUCAUUUGGCUCCUCAUUAGGUGCACUUGUUCCCGUUUCGCAGAAAACAUUUCCAGUAAUAUUACAAUCCUCAGAUAUAAUAAAGUCAGGUGGAAACGAUUGCUCACCAUGACUACGCAUAUUAAAUGCAUCCCGCAACAUAUCUUCCAUGUCAUCUCGUCUAACAUACUGAUGGUAAUCAGUAUCAGGAUAAGUCGGAUUAAUCGUUGAAGAAGUUCCACUAGAUGUACACUCUCUAUGGAAAAUCCAUUUUUUAUACCCCCGAAUAAAGCCAUCAACAAUUAGAUAUUCGUAGACAACUUCACGAAAAUGCCAGUAAAUGUUGCCACACUUCUUACACGGGCAAAGAAUCAUAUUCUCUUGGCUUCCAUUUUGAAAUGCAAAAUUUAGAAAAGUUUGUACUCCAUUUUGAUAGGCAUUGCUUACCCUUGACAAUUUCAUCCAACUCCUAUCCAUUUUGUAGUUCUUGAAAUCUAAAGUUGACAACAUAUAAGUUAUGUAAGUUAUAUAAGUUAUGUAAGUUAUGUAAGUUAUAUAAGUUAUGUAAGUUAUGUAAGUUAUAUAAGUUAUGUAAGUUAUGUAUGUUAUAUGAGUUAUGUAAGUUAUAUAAGUUAUAUAUUUAUCUAAGUUAUAUAAGUUAUGUAUGUUUUGUAAGUUAUAUAAAUUAUGAUAUCAAAUAUAUUUAUGUAUUAUGUAAGUUUUUUAUUUCACGAUGUGGAAAAUCACAUGGAUAAUACAUAUCAAGUAUCAAGUAUCUACAGGUAAGUAGCGGGAUUAAAUAAUAUUUAAUUAAAUAAUAUUUAUAAAAAUUAUUUUAAUUAAGUAAUAUACAUGUCGUUCGUUUUUAUUUGACAAAUCACAUGUGCAGUUAAAAUAGUCCACACUUAAUUUAAUUUAUGUUUUACAAGUCGUCUUUUCUUAACUACAUAUUAAAGCAUUGUGUGGACAUCCGUAUUUAGCUUAAAAGCUAUGAUUUAGUUGGAAUAAAAAGUUUAACUUAAAUGGUAAAACGGACGAUAAUAUUUAUGAUAAAAAGUCUUUUUGAAUUUUUUAAGAUUCAUCAUAAGUGGCGUUGUUACACCUAGGGAGGAUCCAUUAUAUCUUGCAGCUCGAUAUAAGGCAACCCGUUAGGUUUCCAGCCUAUAUACUUUGAAUCUUUAAAAUAUUUAAAUAUUAAAAUCAAACAUUAUUAAUAUAAAAAAAUAGUAAUUUGAAUAUAAUAAUAUCAAAAAAGAAUCGUAGUUUAAUUUUUAUAAGUAAAUUGGAAAUAAAUUAAUGUUAUAUAAAUAUUCAAUAGUAAAUGAGCUCGAUAGAACUUUUUUCAAGUCUUUUUGAAUUUUUUAAGAUUCAUCAUACGUGGCGUUGUUUCACCUAGGGAGGAUCCAUUAUAUCUUGCAGCUCGAUAUAAGGCAACCCGUCAGGUUUCCAGCCUAUAUACUUUGAAUCUUUAAAAUAUUUAAAUAUUAAAAUCAAACAUUAUUAAUAUAAAAAAAUAGUAAUUUGAAUAUAAUAAUAUCAAAAAAGAAUCGUAGUUUAAUUUUUAUAAGUAAAUUGGAAAUAAAUUAAUGUUAUAUAAAUAUUCAAUAGUAAAUGAGCUCGAUAAAACUUUUUUCAAGUCUUUUUGAAUUUUUUAAGAUUCAUUAUACGUGGCGUUGUUACACCUAGGGAGGAUCCAUUAUAUCUUGCAGCUCGAUAUAAGGCAACCCGUCAGGUUUCCAGCCUAUAUACUUUGAAUCUUUAAAAUAUUUAAAUAUUAAAAUCAAACAUUAUUAAUAUAAAAAAAUAGUAAUUUGAAUAUAAUAAUAUCAAAAAAGAAUCGUAGUUUAAUUUUUAUAAGUAAAUUGGAAAUAAAUUAAUGUUAUAUAAAUAUUCAAUAGUAAAUGAGCUCGAUAGAACUUUUUUCAAGUCUUUUUGAAUUUUUUAAGAUUCAUCAUACGUGGCGUUGUUACACCUAGGGAGGAUCCAUUAUAUCUUGCAGCUCGAUAUAAGGCAACCCGUCAGGUUUCCAGCCUAUAUACUUUGAAUCUUUAAAAUAUUUAAAAUAAGGUUGGAGAGAAGGUCGGCUAUUGUUGUAAUUCUAAUGGACAAGCAAGCUACACGGUAAUAAAAUUAAUUCAUACCUAUUCAUACUUAAGUUGAAUCAAAUAAUAAUUAAGUUGAACCAAAUAUUUAAAAUUAAUUUGGAAACAAAAUAGUUCUACUCCAAACAGAACCAGCAAUUAAAUCUUUACAAUAUCGCAACCCCAAAAUAUUAAUUUUUCCAAAAUCAUCAUGAUAAAACUAUUAUUGAUUAGAAUUUUGAAAUAAAGCCUACCUUAAUAAAACGUACCUGGUCUACUCCACUCUCACCAGCAAGCAGAGGCUGGAGUCAAAAAAGUAAUAUUUGUUAAGUAAUUUAAAGUGAAAAUGCAUAGAAAUAAAGAUCAAAAUUUAGCAACGAAACCUGUACGUACCUAGAACAAAUGCCAAUGGCUGUGGUGUAUUUAGUUGCACCAAAUAUUAAUUCAAGUGCUCGAUAGUACCUAGAACAAAUGUAAGAUUAUAAGAGUAGCACCAAAUAUAUUUCAGUUUAAGCAAAUAUAAAAACUUUAUCUAUAUCAGUUUUGCAAGUGCCCACUUGUACCAGGAUCAAAGACACUGCCAAUGAAGCUGUACACCUCAGCAAAAUCUGGCAAAACUGCACAGUAAAUACAUAAGUUGGAUAAAAACAUGAAAACAGACCAAAAGAACAUCUAAAAAACCAAAAUGGAAUCACCAUUAUUAUGUAAACAUGAAAAUGCACAGUUUUAAACAAACCAACUUUGCAUGUGCAGAAUCAUACUCCACAAAACUCAUAAACAUUAACUUCUCCUAACCAGAAUACCAACUUUAUGUGUACAGAGGCCUUGAUGAAAACUAACAUAACUAUCGUCCAACUAAAUUCAAAUUAAACUCUAGCUGAGAGGUUAAACCUGGUGCAUCCGAGUCCUAAACUCCUUUUGCGGUGAUAGACCAUUGAAAAUGGCAAGCCCACACAUUACCACGUUUUGUUUGAUGAAAAUGGCUUCACUACUGACAUCUUGCAAGUGCUCACAAACAGUUUAUGUUACAUGUAUGUGUCUACUUCUUUCUCUAUAAUCUUGAAAUGGGGUGAGUAAAUAAUGCUUUAGAUCAGCACCUAGUAAUUAUAUAAUAAUAAUUUUACUUUUUGGACAGGUAUGCGAGGUGUACCAAGUCUGUUUCCAUAGGUUUGUGAUGAUGUUUUUUGUCUUGUUAAAAUUGUUGACUAAGGUUGGUUUUGACAGUGAAUAUUUGGAUUAUAUGUUUGCAGUGCCUCCGGCAUACUAUGCUCACCUCGCUGCUCUUAGGGCACGCUAUUAUAUUGAGGAUGAAAUGUCGGAUAGUGGGUCUACUGGGGGAGGCCGAAAGCCGAAAGACAAGGUUGUAGAGGUUAGGCAGCUCCCCAGCAUAAAGGAUAAUGUGAAGGAAGUGAUGUUCUACAUCUGAUAAAUUAUAUGUUUGGUUGAUGGUGGAAAGUUGCUCAGGUAUAGUUGCAGUUUGUGGAUAUUGGUUGGUACAGUUGUUUUGUUAGCAAAUAGCUUUUUGUUGGAGGGUACAGCAGAUGUUUUUACCAGAGACUGAAAAACAAUUAUCCCAAUCAUAUAUAAAAUAAAUUUACCUUUUCUAAUUGAAACUUGAGGAGUUUCGUACCUCAAUGGGUGCCAACGCUGUUAUAUGCUUCUUACUCCGAUGCCACCUUUGAUAAUAUAACAAUAAUUCAUUGAUGUUAAAAAUUGAUGAAAGGAGCGAUUUAUAAAUAAUUAAAUAAAAAGGAGCGAUUGAGGAAAAUCUUUAAAAAUGUUAGUAAAAACUGUCAACAUAUAAACCUGCAUUAAAAGGAGACUAUACAAAAUCAAAGAAAUUAGUGAUUCAGUAGCACUCACUGGUAGAGAAUUCAGAUCAGAAGAAAUCAUUGAGCCAAAAACAGUAAAAAAGCACAAACUAGUUUUUCCAUUUCAGAACAAAAAAUCCAAACAACAGACAUAAAACUGACAAAAAAGAAAUGAAUUUUCCAUUUCAGAACAAAAAAUCGAAACAACAGACAUAAAACUGACAAAAAAGAAAUGAAUUUUCCAUUUCAGAACAAAAAUAUCCAAACAACAGACAUAAAACUGACAAAAAAGAAAUCAAAUUUUGGAUCAAGUAAUUAAAGAAACCUACGUUAAAAGGGAAACUAUACAAAAUCAGAGUAAUCAGUGAUUCAAUAGCACUGAUUGGUACAGAACUCAGACCAGAAGAAAUCUUUGAACUGAAAACAGUAAAAAAGAACUAACUAGUUUUCCCAAUUCCAAACAAAAAUAUUCAAACAACAGAUAUAAAACUGACAAAAAGAAAAAAGAAACGAAAUUUUGCUCAAGUAAUUAAAAGGAAAACAGUAUGCAAAAUCAAAUCAAGAUACCAUCAUCGAUUAGUAAUUCAGUAGUACUCACUAGUAAAGAACUCAGAUCAAAAGAAAUUUUUGAGCCGAAACCUAUAAAAGACACUAACUAGUUUUUCGAACUCAGAACAAUAAAUAGAAAAAAAACCGACAAUUUCCAUAUUCAAUAUUUUUAUAUUACUUAAAACAAGGGUAUAAUCAUCGAGAUCAACAUCAACAUCAGUAUCAACAUCAUCAUCAUUAAGAUCAUCAAAAUCAUCAAUAACCUUGGGAUGAUUUACCCGGUUCCCAUCAUCUGCAAGGAGCGAUUUUUGUUGGGAUCUAAAGUCAAGUAAUACAGUAACUACAUAUUAAUCUGAAGGGGACUCAAAAACUAACCAUUUCAAACCCAUGAAGCAUCUGACCGUCGACGAGAGGAAAGGGAGAAUAAUUAGGGAUUUCGGGUAUGGGGGAACAGAUUAAGGGAAAAAAAGGGGACUUGGGGAAAAUGUUAGGGAUUUCGGGUUUGGGGAAUUAGGGGAUGAUUUGGGGAAAAAGAAGGAGGUGUUUGUUUUAGGGAUUUGGGGUAGGAAGACGAAAUGGGGGAAAUGACUUAGCAAAAAAAUGAAACCGAUUUCGGGUAAAGGGCAUAAACAUCAGGAGAGAAAAAACGACGCCGUUUCAAAUAAGGAAAAUUUGUGCGUUUUCAGCAACGCGCUGCUAAUAAGAUCUUUUGCGGCGUUUUUAGCAAAGCGCCACUAACACCUAUUUUAUCUACACUAUAAAACGACGCCGUUCUAAUACGCGUUGUGGCGUUUAUUAUAGAAACGCCGCUAAAGCCACUACUAUUUAGAAGAAACGACGCCGUUUUACUCUAAUGUAAAAUGAAAUUUUGUGGCGUUUUCUAAAAAAACGUCGCUAUUUUCUAUCUUUUGCGGCGUUUUAUGUAUAAACGCCGCUAACACCUGAAUAUUUUAUAGAAAUUGAUCAAAAUUUAAAACUAUAUAUAUAUUUAGAAUUUAUUUUAAAUUAUAUAUAAACCCGAAAACCCUAACUAUAGUUGAAACUUUAAUUUUGAUUUAAUACACAUUUUAAAAUACAUAUUAUGUAUGCAUAUAAAUUAAUUAAAUUAAAACAUGAUGCUAUUUAUUAUAUCAAUAACGUGUAAAUAUUUUACAAGAUCUAGAUCAAAUUACAUUUAUUAUAUCAAAUUGCACACUAACCACUUUUCAUAUGUAUAUUUAUAUAUAUUUUAAAAUAAUAUUUUAUAUAUAUUUAUCUCAUAUACAUUUAUCUUCUAAAUUAAAAUUCAAAAUUAUACUCUAAAUUUAAAACACUAGACCUGAUACUCUAAACCCUAAACCAACUUAGACCACAAACACAAAACCCCUAACCCCAAACUUUAAACCCCAAAAUCAUUCGAUAACCCCUAAACCAACCAUAUAACUCCUAGACCAUAAAGCCCAAACUAUAAAGUACUCUAAAAACUGUUAACCCUAAACCAUAAUAAACAUAUAUAUUUUGGGGAAUUAAUUCAUGUGGCCAAUGUUAGUGUAGUACAAAUUAAAACACACAUAUAUAUGUUUAUAUUCUUAAUUAUAUUAAAUAAUAUGAGUACGUAUAUAUAUAUAAAAUACAUGAAUCUUAGUAAAAUCCAAAUGUCGUUCUUCAGUUAAUUUCUACCUAAUAGUAUCAUUUCUUUAAACCCUUAACCUAAACUUAAUUUUUAUAACAUAUUUUAUUUCAGACAUUCUAUUUAAUAUUCUAAAUAUAUUUAAACAAAAAAAAUAGAUAAUUAAAAAUACACAAUAGCAUUAUUAUUUAUACAAAGUUACAUAACUUUAAUAAAAUAAUUAAUUCUCUACUGGAACACUCUAGUUAUAAUGUCCGGUCUGUAAGAUAUUUCCAUGUUAUAUAAGCUUGGAAAUUAUACAUAGUUCAACAAAUGCUAAAUCCAUGCCACAUUCAAAAUCACCCUUUCUUAAUAGCAUCCCAGGCUAGGUAAGAAUCUGGAAAGGAAAUUAUCUCUUAAGAAGUUAAUAAUUGUCCCAUUAAUUGUAAACUUAAUUUAACCCUAACCUUUAAACCCUAAGUCAUAAUCCCUAAACCCUGAAUUAAUCAUAAACCUUCAAAUACUAGUUAACUCCUAAACUUUAAACCAUAGUUAACUCAUAAUUAAUUAAACAUGCUUAAACCAUAUAUCUUAAAUUAACCAUAAACCUUAAACUAUAAUGAUAAUUAAUUCAAUAUUUUAAAUUCAAUACUAUCUCUUUUAUGAUUAUAUAAGAAAAUAUUUAAUAUAUUGUAUAAUCAUAAAUUUUAAUAAUUAUUGUUUUAGGAGUUAUAGAUUAGUGUUUAUGAUUUUUUUGAGGUUUAGGGGUUAUGAGAUUUUUAGCGGCGUUUUACGAAAAGCGCCGCUGAUGCUCUGGUGUUUAGCGGCGUUUUACGAAAAGUGCCUCUAAUGCUCUGGUUUUUUGCGGCGUUUUAGGAAAAGCGAUGCUAAUGCUCUGGUUUUAGCAGCGUUUUUUCUAGAACGCCGCUAUUACUCAGAAUUUUAAAAUUUUUACGGCAUUUUUUAAUAAAACGCCGCCAAAAGUCUGUUUUCCUGUAGUGUCUAUAAAAAUCUACUUUGAUACCCUUGAACCAGCUUAAGCCCAAAACUUAUAUUCGAUUAGAAGCUCAAUUGAGUGAUUUUUCAAUUAAGAGCUAAUUGAUUAUUGAAUUAUUUUAGAGGGACUUUUUGUUAUAUUAAUUCUUUAUCUAACAAUUUCUAAAUUUAAGCAUGAAAGUCAACGAAAACAAAAUGUAUAUACUAAAUUAAACUUAAUUACCAAGUUCUAAAUAAUUACAUUAUUCUACCAAGCAAGAACCAAAAUCUUUCACACUCUACUGGGAUGGUAAGAAAUUCUAAACUCGAUGGAUUUCGACUUGAUCUAAUUCAACAAGAUCCAGAUUUUUUUUAAAAAAAAAAUUACGUUUUGGGAUGAAUUUAAUUUUUUUUAAUUAUUUAAGUAAAAGUUUAUGAAAAACCCACCACCUUGAGAUAAUUAUCAUAAUACUCUUAUAUAUAAUAUUAAUUUAAAUAUAUAAAAUACAAUUUACAUUAAUAUUAGUCCUAACAUAACUAUACCUAGAAAGCAAUGAACAAUAUCUUUAAAAUAACAAAAAAAAAUUAAAAAUAUUUUCGUAUUUUGAUAAAAUUAUUAAAAAAAAAACUUUAAUUUUCUAGAUCGGGUUUGACCCAGAUAAAUCUUGUCCGAAUAGAGAGGAGAAAAAAACCGCCCGGCUUGCCAUCUCUACACUCAACAGGAAACUCUUUCCCACACGCGAUCGCUAAGAAAGCAAUGGUAAAAGACGGCAAGCAAAAAAAGGUGGCUUGAUUGAAGGGUCCAACCCACGUGGUCUAAUCACUAAUGGCCAGCUUUGGGUCCUUGUCACCCUAGCGUGGUCUGACCAACAACACCCACCAAUGACCCCCAAACCCUUCUUCUAACACGUUAUAGCUGCUCUUUAUAUAUAGCAAUCGACCAUUCUCUUUUGCCAUAUUUGUUGCUCAAAGUCCAAAACCAUUGGAAGAAGAGGGGAAAAAUGGCCUUUUCAACUAGGUGCUGCCUCAACAUGUCCCCUCCAACCCCAAAUCCACAGUUAGACAACUCUUGUUCCAACAUCAAAGGAUCCCAAGUUGCAUGGUGAGUCCACAUAAAACUUUAUAGAAUAUACUUUUCGCGAAUCGUAUUCAAGUUUCGUGGUUAUCAUUCUCAAAUGUAUAUUACCAUUGCUCUCAAGAUUUUGACAUUGAAAAAGUUAUUUUUUAUUAUCAAGCCAAGGAACGAUAAAUGGAAAACGGGAUGUGUAGUAGGGUUAGCCUGCAUGAUAAUUGGAUUAGAAGCAAGUGACGUAAGUAAGACAAGCGAGGUCGCUGAAGAGAUUCCAACGGUUAUUGUUUCGGAAUCGAAUUCAAGAGUAGCGAGGUGGAGUGACAAAAGAAUGUGCCCUCCGUGGCAGGCUAAUUCUUUGGAAACGAUUGUGCCGGAGAAUCUCCCGAGGCCAUCGGCUCGUCGGAAAUGGGAGGAUAUCGGUUUCUCAAACAAUGCCCCAGCAACCAAAGUGACAAUAGCUAGGGAAACAAGAGCUGGUUGCUUCUCUAUGUAAUCUACAUUGUUGUAUACAUCAAAUCAAAUACCUUUUAAAUUGUGACAUUAAUGGUAUAAAUGGUUAAAUACCAAAAUUUCAUAAUUUGGUAUUGUUGUUUUCAAUAGGAAUUUGGGAAUUGCAGUACUCGUUUGGUGUUAUUUGAGUUUGGUUUAGUAGUACACAUGCAGUACAAAUUGAAUGAAAUAUGCCUCAAGUCCUUAUACUUUUCAUACAUUUGAAUAUAGGCCCUCUAUUUAUAUUUUUAGAAAAAUUUAGUCUAUCUACUUUUCAAAUUUAAAAAUUCAAUUUCAAUUGUUAAUAACAUUAAAAUUUUUCUAUUAAUUUCAUAUCUGUUACAACCUCAAUUUUAUUCAUUUGUAGGCUACCAAGUUUUUUUUUUUUAAUUUCAAAAUAUGAUACAAAUGAAUUUAAUAGAAUACUUUUAACGUUAUUAACAAUUGAACUAGAACUACUCAUGGGUUGGGCCACUUGUCCCAACUUGAAGGCCCACUCGAAAAGUGGGCGGGUUUGGGCAAAAAUAUAGGCCUAAAAAAUGGGCUUCGGCAAAAAAAAUAAGAUCCAUUUUUAAAAAUGGGUCAGGCCUCAAGUAAGAAAUUUUUUGCCCUGAACCUGACCUGGCCCGGCCCGAAUUCACUAAAUGACAAAAAAAACUGCUAUUUUUUAUUUUUAUUUUAAUGAUUUUUUUGUUGUUUUCUCUCUAUUUUGCUACCAUUUCAUUACUAUGGUGCUACUAUUUUAUUGUUAUUAUUUGGAUAUUCUAUAACUCUUGUUUUAAUUUUAAUUUUGUUAUUAUUUUGGAGACAUUUUCUUGUUAAGUUGCAUCUAUCUUAAUUUUAUUUGAGUAUACAUAUUUUUUAAAAUUUAUUUUCAAUUUGUUCGGAAAUAUUUAUUUUAAUAUUUUUAGUAUUUUUGAUGUAUUAUAUAUAUACAUUUAAAAAUUAUGUAAAAAUAAUAUAAUAUAAAAAAAUUAAUAUGGGCGGACCGAGUCAGGCCCAGGUUUUAGCAUUUUUAUCUGAGUUGGGCUUGGAAAAUUUUUAAGCCCAUUUUUUGGGCCGGCCUAGGCUCGAGCCUAGCAAACAGGCCUAAAAUUUUUACUUAGGCCAGACCCAAACUUGGCCCGGCCCGGCUCAUAAUCACAUCUAAAUUGGAUCUUAAUUUUUAAAUUUGAAAAUUAAAGGGACAAAAUUCCUAGAAAUAAAAUAUAAGAACUAAAUUACAAAUAUUUAAAUAGUACAAGGACUUGGAGCAUAUUUUAACAAAAUAUCUUAAUAUCUAUGGAGCAGCUGUGGUGGACUCAUAUUCUUGAGUUCUUUGGCCCAUGGCUUGAGAUUUCAAUUUUUGGGUUUUACUAUUAAGCCGAAACUGAUAUUUUUAAGCUAAUUAUUUUUUUUAGAAAUUAACAUAAUUAAAAAUUUUAAAACUUUAUUAUUUUAUUUACAUGUAUUUAAAUUUUUAUUAGUUUUUUAUCCAUGAAUGAUUAGGUUAAUUUUAAUUAUUUAAUAUAUUUUUAAAUAAAAAUAUUUAUUAAUUUUAAAAGUUAUAAUUAAGUUGUUUUAAAAUAAAGAUUAAAAAAUAUUGUCUUAAAUUAUUGUUAAAAGUUUUAAUAUAAAAGAGUAUGUUAUGGAUAUUAUAUAUGAUAUUAUAAUAGUUAAAAAAAUAAGAUAAAUUAUUAAAAUAGUCACUUUUGUUUAUCUCAGGUUACAUUUUAGUCACUUAUGUUUGAAAUGUUACUUUUUAGUCACUUACGUUAUCAUGUUGUGACAUUUUAGUCAUUGAGCCGUUAAUUAUUAUUAAUGGUGUAACAGUAAGCUGACGUGGCAUGUUAAAUCAUUAUUUCAAACAAAAAAUUUAGGUUAAAUUCUACAAUUGGUCCUUAUAUUUUUUUCAUUUUGAGUAAUUUAAUUUUUUCUUUUAUGUUCUUUUAACUUUCUUUUUUUUUUCCUCAUUCUCUUCUGCUUCUCUCUAUGUUUUCCUCCCUUCUCCAUUUCUUUUAACGUAAUUUUUUUAUGUUUUUCAUUUGUUAAAACUAGUCCCUAUACGUUUUUUUGAACAGUUUAAUUUUUUAGAGUGAGGCAAGCUUGUGGAUUAGUUUUAACAAACGGAAAAUAUAAAAAGACUAUGUUAACUUUAAAAAAAAACCUAUAUCUUCUCCAUAACCCUGUUAACGCAAGCCCUACACAUCAUCUCCUUCACAUUUUUUGUCACAAUCAUCACCAACCGUAGUCUAAUCACCUUCAAGCCUCUCACCACCAUUGUGCCAACCAAGCUCUCAUCAACCUCCAAUAUAAUCACAAUCAUCAUCUUUCCUCGUAUUCAACCUUUACUAACUAAAUGCACACACCACCACAUCUCAUACUUAGGUUUUGCUUGGUAAAAUGAAAAGAAAAUUGAAAAUAUUAAAAUUUGAAGGAAUGGAAAAAUAGAAAGAAAAUAUAAUUUUUCUUUCCAUACCAUAGGCGUACUUGGUAGGUAAGUUAAAAAAAUUGAAAGAAAAAGUAAUUUUUUUUCUAUUAAUUACUUGGCAAAGUUGAAAAAUAGAAGGAAAUGAAAUAAAACAUUUGAAAAAUAUAUAAUUUUGAACUAGCAUACACCCCUCUCUCAUUUUCUCUCCUCUUAUCAUUCCAAUUUGAAAGGAUUGGUUUUUAUGCAUUAGGAUGGGAAAUUAUCGUCUCUCCUAUUUUCGUUUCUCACUUUUCUUCUCUACCGAGCACACUCAAUUUUUUUCUUUCCAUUUUUUGAUUCUCUCCUUCCAUCUCUCAACUUCUCCACCCAACCAAGCACACUCUUAGUUCGAAUCAUCACAAUAAUCAAAUAAAAGAAAAAAAGUCAACAUAUAAAAAUAUAUAUGAUGAAAAAAGACGUUAAGGUCAAAUACCACAUUGAUAAAUGGAAUUAAACUUCAAGUACCGAAUUUUAUAUUUUGAAAGUAGAUGUACCACAUUAAAACAAACCCUAAAGUAUGAGGGUCAUUUGUGUCAUUAUCCCUAAAUUAAUUAUAAAUGUGUAAAAAUAUUUUUUUAAUGUUCUAUAACGAGUAACGACCCACUUACACUAAUAUAAAACUAUGGUUGUUUUACAUAUUUUUCUAAUAUUUUUUUUGUAUGAUUAAUAGCUUUUAACGAUUUGACUAUCAUAUUUUAUCUUUUGCUGGCGUAAAUCAUAUAUGUCGAAUUUUAAUUAAAUUAAUAUUGCCCAACUAUUUAUUUGAUAUAAAAUAUUUUAAACUGUUAAAUAUAUAUUAAUAAAAUCAAUAUUCUCAAUUGAUAUAAUAAAGAUAUCAAAUCGGUUUGAACUUUUACAUACAUAAUAAUAACAAUUAUAUUAAUAAACUCAAUAAUUCUAAACAUUAAAAAAAAUUGAAAUCAAUUUACAGAUUAUAUUAAGAUAAGUAAAAAUGAAUCAUUAUAUCAAGUCGAACCAAAUCCGAUUCUCAAUAUUAAAAAGAUUUGAAAUAAAAUCUCAACCUAACUCAACCUCACUCAUGAUGUGUUACUAGACCUGUCCAUGCUCGGCUUGUCCGAAAAUUGUGAGGGUUUUGGUAAAAAUAUAAGUAAAAAAAUGGGCUUUGGUAAAAAACUAAGGCCCGUUUAAAAAACGGGUUAGACCUUGGGUAAUACUUUUUUGGCAUGGGCUAGGCCCAAUCCAAAUUUACAAAAAAAAAAUUGUUGUUUUCUUGCUAUUUUCUCACUGUCUUGCUACUAUUUUACUAUUAUAUUGCUAAUUUUUGUUAUUGUUUGGAUAUUGUAUAACUUUUAUUUUAUUGUUAAUUUUACUACAAUUUUAGAGACAUUUGCUUAUCAAGUUGCACCUAUGCUAGUGUUAUUUAAGUAUAAAGAUUUGUUAAAUUUAUUGAAAAAUAUUUAUUUUAAUAUUUUUAGUAUUUUUUAUGCAAUAUAUUUUUUAAAAAAUUAUAUAAAAAAUAACACGGACAAAUUGGACCCGAAUUUUAACAUUUUUGUCUGAUUCGAAUUUGGAUAAAAUUUUAAGUCUAUUUUUUGAAUCGAUCCAAACCUAUUAAAAGAGCCUAAAAUUUGACAAGACUCAACUCGAACCCGACUCCACUUAACCAUGAAGAAAUCUUCGUGUUACCCCCAAUAGAUAAUGUGGUGAGAUUGAAAUUUGAAGAACAGUUAGUAGCCUUUAAAUCCACGUGCACCUCUACCCAACUUAGCCAUUUUGUAGUGUGCUGCUAGCCAUUCAAGGUCAAAGCUCAAUAUCCACCGUCCGAUCCUUAAAUUAUCAUCAAACCCAUCUCUAUAAUAGAAAUAGAUACUAAUAUGGUCUACUUUAUAAUGGAAGUAAAUUAAAACAGCUAAUAAAUGGGGGCAGUAAGUAUCUCCUGCAGCCGCAUCUAUUCUACGAUUUGUUAGGAUCUGAUCAAAUACCGUUCGAUCUUUCCUUAACCGGAAAGAGUCAGUAGUUGAUCGAGUACGCUUGCGGUGGGUCCCCCUUUUAUCAACACCUUCCUAGCUGUCCUCUUUUAUCUUUUGAAAAAAUCAGUUUCACUCGCAUUUUGGAGAGAACGUCAACUCACGCUCAUCUGAAAUUAUUUUUCAACAUAAUCACAAAUUUAGCCCUUACCAUUUAUCUAUUCUAUCACUUUGGUCCUAAUUCUUUUUUCAAAUUACCAUAACUCUCAACUUGCAAAGUUUAGUCAAAUUUCUUUUUAUUGGAUUAAAAAUCUGGAUGAAUUAUUGAUGUAAUAUAUUUAAUAAAAAUUCAACAAAAUAAAAAAAUUUACCGACAUUAACUAUGUAUACGUAUGCUACCACAUAAGCUACUAUGUUAGUGCUAUUAAAAUAUUAACAGUUUACUCAAUUUUUCCAUCCGAAAAAAAAUCAAUUUGACUAAAAUUUGAAGGUUAAAAGCCAAAGUGAUCCAAAGAAAAAAAUUAUGACCAAAUUAAUCAAAUUAAUAAAUAUUAAGGGUUAAAAUUGUCAUUAUACUAUUUUUCUUAACUUAAAGGGAAGUUACUUUUAAAUUUAGAUUUUUAUUCUACUUUUUGAAUAUAGAUUUUAUUAUAGUUAUUUGAAUGUAAUAUUAUAAUUGCUAUUUUGUUAGUAUUUUUUUUAACAAUCUCAUGAUUGUUAGAUUUUGAUUAUAUCUGUUUUUUUUAAUAUAAUGCCUAGAACUACCCAUUUAAACUCAUAUUCUCCUACAUUGAUAAUAAUACCUAUGUCAAUUGAGUUAAAACUCAAUCGACAUUUUGACAGUAACUAAAAUAACUUUUAUCUCCAAUUGUUUUCAGGGGCAUAAAUACAAUUACAAAUAUUAAUUUAAACCCGAUUUCAAUCAUUAUAAAAAAGCAUAAUUAAAUUGGAAUUGGAAUAUUUUCAAGAUUAAAUCAAAAUAAAUCAUUGGAAAAACUUAAAUUUGUAUUUAUGAUAUAUAAUUAAAAUUAAUGGAAUAACUAUUCCUUUUUCCUAACAAAUUGUCCAGCGCAGUAGUUGUCCAAUAAAUUUGAAUUGGUACCCAAUAAUUGAAUAAUUUUGAAAUAAUUUGGAAUUAUUUUUCUGACACUUGCCUUUGCCUACACAACUUGACCAUCCAUGACCAUAAAAUAAAGUUCUAAUUAUGCCACAGAUCCCUGCAUUUCAAUUAAAUUUGAGAUGUAAUCCCUAUAUUUUUUUAAUAUAACAUUUAGAACUACUCACAAUCUCUUCUCAAUCCUUAAAUAGAACGAUAAACCUAUCAUAUUAAAUAUCAAUUCUGUCCAGAUUUAUACUGAUAUUGGUCCAAUUAUAUUCCAAUUUUUUGAUUGUACUUAGUACUAAGCUAACUUUAGCUAUUCCAAUCACAUAUUUCAAUGGAAUAAAGCAACAUUUAGUCACUGAAUUUGGUAACUCUUUCCAAUUCAGUCUUGAAACUUGUUAAUUUUUUUUUCAAUUUGGUCUCUGAACUUAGAUUUCAUUAAAGUGUAACCUUAUAACACUUUGAAAUCGCAUCAUAUCUUCAGUUGGAAUUUCAAAAUAAAUAAUCUAAAAAAAUAAAAAUAAAAAUUGUAAAGAAAUUAUAAUUUUUUUAAAAAAAAUCUUUAAGUGAUAACGUGGUACAAUCUUAAAGUAUCAUGUUAUCAUACAUUAAAGAAAUGCAAAUUCAAGGAUCAAAUUGAGAAAAUCUUCCAAGUUUCAAGACUAAUGUGCACGAAAAAUGUUCAGAACUCUAGGUGAAAUAAGUUUCUAAGUUGAAGGACUAAAUGUUAGUUUAUCCCUAUUUUAGCAUAGCCUUCAUAAAUCUAUUGGGAUCCGCGCGUGUCUUUCACAAUAAAUGGUAAGCAAGUGAAGAUUCAAAAUCCAAACAGCCACGACAGUACUUCCAAAACAGUGUAAGAAAAAUUAAAUGACAAAAAAGAAAUAGAAGCUAUUGCUAAUAUCAAAUCGCCGAUCAUCAAAAUAGUUAUCUCUCUAAGCUAAAAAAAAAAACCAUGAGAAACCCUACGAAAAAAGACAACGUUGGAACCAAGACGACGCCGUGUUGCAGCAAAGUAGGGUUGAAAAGAGGGCCAUGGACGCCGGAAGAAGACGAGUUAUUAUCUAAUUACAUCAACAAAGAAGGCGAAGGACGGUGGCGGACUUUACCUAAACGGGCUGGUCUUCUCCGAUGCGGAAAAAGCUGUCGUCUCCGAUGGAUGAAUUAUCUCCGACCUUCUGUUAAACGUGGCCAGAUUGCUCCCGAUGAAGAAGAUCUCAUCCUCCGCCUUCACCGCCUUUUAGGGAAUCGGUAACUUUUUCCUCUCUUUUUUUCUAUGAAUUUCAUUUUAGGGUUUUGGAUUAGAUAUCUGGAUAUCUCAAGAUAAACUGUCUAACUUAAUUCGACUUCAAAUCUAAUUAGAUUCAAUGCAGAAACCUCGAAUCUUAUACAAAAAAGUUGUAGGUCUAGGGUUUCAGUGUUUUAGGGUUCUAAAUGGAUUCAUUUUGUAAUCAUUUUUUGCAUACGGUUUCUAUAUAUAUAUACAUGUAUGCGUGUGUACGUAUAUGCAACAUGAAUGAAUGAAUUUGCUGGGUUUGUUAUGUAGGUGGUCACUAAUAGCUGGAAGAAUACCAGGGCGUACAGAUAACGAAAUAAAGAACUACUGGAAUACUCACCUGAGUAAGAAAUUGAUAAGUCAAGGGAUCGAUCCUCGAACGCACAAGCCUUUAAACCCUCAACAACUCUCACCAUCACCACCAUCACUCAAACCUUCACCUUCUUCAUCAUCAUCCAUGGCGAAACCAAACAAUCCUCCUUCCCCUCUUCCUGUUCAUGUCGUCAACGCUAACAAGCAAAAUGAUUAUGACGAUGGGAGCAAUGAAGACCAUCAAGGGAUGAUCAUGAACAAUGACCAUUAUCAGCAACAACAAGAUCAUGAUGAUGAUGUGUUCUCUUCUUUUCUGAAUUCAUUGAUAAAUGAAGAUGAUGAUGCAUUGGUUUCGAAUUUGGGACUCUCACAAGGAUGGGAAUCUACUCCCUUCGAUCAACCAAAAUGACCCAAUAGAGGGUUUGAUGAUGAAUGUUAUUUAUAUAGUUUUUUUUCAAAGUGUGUUGAUUGUAUGUUUAAAUCAUGUUGUUGCCAAACUUAAUUCAUCAAACCUGAUGGUUCUUUUUAUGUUUGUUGUGUUUGAAAGAAACAUAUGAAUGUAUUGUUUCAAACAAAGAUAUAUAUAUAUGGAACACUACUUUGAUAUAUAAACUUGUAUUUGGAUGCAUUUUCUUAAUCAAAGUUGAGUUUAUAUUUAAUGUACUGAUAGUGUAUAAUUCAGUCAAAUAUCAAAUAAUGAUAGUGUCGUUUAAAAUGAAGUUAGUUGAAUUUUCUUUGAAGAAACUUUCGAAGAACACUAUUAACACAUCAAAGUAUAAACUUUUAAAAUAUUUCUAAGGUAAAGUUUGGAAUUUUGUUUUUUGAAAUGCGGAUUUGGGUUUCAAAUUUAGUGUAAAGCAAGUAAAAACGCACCUAGAAAUAUAACCUUAAUAAACUAUUAAAUACUUAUUUAGUAAUGGAUUUGAAAUUCAAGGAGGAAUUCAUGAACUUGAGAAUUCCUAUUUUUUUAUAAUUUUUAAAUACAUAGUUAUUUAUAAUAUAUGCAUUUCAUAACUUCAUGUUCCCAAAUGCUAAUUUCGUCAAAUACAUUUCAUUUGCUAACCUUAGCUCUAAUACAUAUUUUUAGGCAUUUUGAUAAUUAGAUUUUAGGGAUUAAUGGGUGUUUUACUUGGUUUAUGAAGAGUUUUUCAAGUAUUAGAUUUUUUUUUUAAAAAAAAGGCAUUCUACACUCAAAUAAUUGAAAUAAUUAAACAUUUUAACAAUUAAUUAAAUACAUUAUCAGUACAUUAAAUAUAUAUUAUUUGGAUUAAAUUUAUAUAUAUAAUGAGAUUUUAUUUUUAAUAUAUAUUUUCAUCUUCCCUUCAAUAAUUGAAACCCUAAACCCUAUUUUUUUAAAUAAUUAAAUGAUUAUCAAAUAGUUUCUCUACAUUAAGUUUUUACAACACUUUAAUCCAUCCAAAUUAUCGUUUACUCAUGCAAAAUGGUGUAGAACAUUGUUGAGUAACAAUGAAAACAAAGACAACAAGCAAAGGCCAAAGGACUAAAUUAAAACAGCAAGCAAAGCAAAGGGAUUGAUAAAUAAAGGUAAAUAUCAGUAAAUCUUCAAAAAAAUAAACCCUAAUUGUAGGUCUACUUUACUCUCAGUAUUAAACUACCGGUCCUUUUAAUUGGUAGCUGGUUUCAUUUUGUGCUACCUAAAUUUUCAUAGCUUCUACGUACCCGCUCUUCCAUGCAAAAAUAGAUUUUUAAAAUCGCCUAACGGUCAACGCUAUAUCUACAAAAAAUAAAUUUUUUUUAGAAAUAAUAACUAGUAAUUAAAUUAAAGCGUAAUUUGUCGAUUGAGUCUUAACUCGAUUGGUAUUAGUAUUAUUGCCAAUACAAGAGAACUUGGGUUCAAAUGUGCUGAAAUGCAUUAUUUUCUUAUUUAUAGGUUGGGUGAGGUUAUGAGUAGUUUUAAGUAUUGUGUCAAAAAGAAAAGAUAUAAUCAGAACAUAUAAUGAGAUUGUUCAAAAAAAUUAAAAUGCAAUUUUUUAGAUUAAUAAUAAUUUCGUAACAAGUCAAUUGGGCACCAACUCAAUUAAGGGAGUUUAUAAAAUCAACAAAUUUAUACUUUUCAAAUAUAUAAUUAUUCAUAAUGUCUACAUUUUAUUCCUACAAUUCAUAUAUCAGAAAAAAUUUAAAUCUAAAAUUUCAAAUUCAUGUUCCUGAACACAACAUGAGUUAAUUGAUCAAAACCAUUAAUUUCAUUUGUUAAUCUUAGCUAAUAUAUAUACACACAUUUGAAGAACAUCUGAAGGUAAUGGGAUUAAUGGUUGUUUUGAUUAGUUUAUGACGAGUUUUUCAAGUAUUAGAAGUAAUUGAUUUUAACACUAUAUUAUUAUUAUUUUUUUAAUUACAAGAGGAGAGUAAAACCCUAACAACAAAGCGACUAGCGCGACUCAAACCCAUAUUACACUUGGGAUAAUAAAUACCCCAACUUUCAGACCAACACGUGGAAUUCUAAAACUAUAUUAUUAAAUUUGUUAAAAUAUACAUAAUUCAUUUUUUGGAUUAAGUUCUUAUAUAUAGUUACAAGUCAAAACUUCUUAAAUGAAAGUACUAGAAUAAGCAUAUUUAAUGAAAUUUUGUUUUGUAAUAUAUAUUUUAACUUUCCCUUCAAUAAUUCAUAAAUAUAUAAAGAGGAGAAUUAUUGUUCUUUUCCCAUUUUUAUGUUAAAAUUAAUGAUAUGGUUUAAUAAAGUUGAGUCUUUAAAAAGAUUUAAAAAAAUAAUUAAAUUAGUAUCCUAUAGUUUAUCUAAGAUAAACCUUAAAUCCUAACCUAAACGGGCCGAUCAAAUCAGUUGGACCCACGACCAGUUGUCUGAUCAGUUUAAUCAUCGGUAUAAUUUUAAAAACCUUAAAAAUUAUAUAAUUACUCUAUUUUUCUAAGAGAAAUUGAAUAAAAAAAAUUUUCAAAGGACUAAAUUAAAAACAACAAGCAAAGCAAAAGGAUUAAUAACAGGGGUUGAUCUAAGGGGGGCUGGCAAGGGCCUCGGCCCCCCUAAAAUGAAAAAAAUUCCAUUUUAACUCUUUAUAGUUUAUAAAAUUUAAAUUAGUAAUGGUAAAAUUAUACUUUGCCCCCACAAAAAUGAUAAAAAUUUGAUUCAAUCCUCUAAAAAUUAUAAAAAUAUAGACUAUUAAAAUUGUGAAAUUAUAUUUUUACUAUCAUAAAAUAUAUAAUUUAAUUCUGCCCAAAAAAAUUUCUAAUUUCAUCCUUGACCCUUAAAUCAUAUUUCUAGAUCUGCCACGAGUUAAUAAAUAAAGGUAAAUAAUUUUUAAUUACUUCAAAAAGAAAAAAAGAACCCUUAAUUUUAGGUCUACUUUAGGCUCAAAAUUAAACUACCAGUCUUUUCAAUCGGUAGCUGGCUUCAUUUUGUGCUUACCUAAAUUUUUUGUAGUUUCUACGUACCACCUGUUCUUCCAUGCAAAACACAAUUUUCUAAACCGCCUAACGGUCAACCGUUUUAUCUACGUAAAAUAAAGUUUUUUAUUUUAGAAAUAUAUUAUUAGUAAUUAAAUUAAAGUAGAAUUUUUAGGUAAAUAAUAAUGUUACUUAUGUUAACAGGUUAGUUAAGUUGGAGAUCCCGAGUCAAGUUUGAGUUUUAUUAUGCUUAAUUGCAAUGUGUGGAUUCAGGAAUGAAUCUAAUUUUUUUUUUAAGAAGAGCCAAAAUUUAAUUAUAAACUUUUGAGAGGUCAAAAUAUAAUUUUAUCAUAUAUUAAUUUAUAAUUUUAUUAUUUUAGAGGUGAUUAAACAAGUAAUUUUCCAUUUGGGGAUCCUUUAAAUUUGCCACUGCGUGGAUCUCGAGUCCCAUCAUGUACAUAUAUCAUGUAUGGGUUUUUUUUUUCUUCUGGUUUUCUUCAUCUUUUGUGUUUUAUAUAUAUUUGUUUGAUUCUAUAUUAUAAUUAUUCAUAUAAAUAUUUAUAUUUAUAGUAUACUUGUAAAUGUACCGUAUUUGUAAUAGUAAAACUUAAAAAAUGUUAUUUAUUGAUAAUUCGAUGAAAUAGAAUUAUUUUAAUUUUUUUAUAGCCAAAUACAAGCUAAGUUGUAGAAAUUUUUAUUUUAAGUUUUAUUUAUCUAUUAUUUAUCUAAAUUGAUUGAUUUUUUUUAGAUUGAAUUAGGUAUUAUAGGUAAUUGUUCAUAAACAAUAUAAGAUGGAGACCUAUAAUAAAUUUGAUGAAAUAAUUUGUUGAUAGGAUAGGUAUAUAUACCUUUUAACCUUAUGAAAUCAUGAUUAAAGUCGAUUUUUAAUGUAUUGUUUUAAUGUUAAUUAGGACCAUAAAUGAACUGACGUAAACAAAUUUAUAUUUAUGUUUGGUUCAUAUUUAUUGAAAAUUUUAAAAUAAUAUUUGUGUUCGUUUAUUUAAACUUUUGUGUGUUUAUAUUAAUUCGUUUAAGUUAAAUGAAUUUAUUCCUAAAUAUUAAACAAACAUAUUCUUGAACAUAUAACUAAAUAUAUUCACAAAUAAUAUUCAUGAAUAAUAAGAUAUAAAUAAAAUUAUUAUUCACGAUUUUAUUUAUUUAAUAUAAACUAAUAAAAUCCCAACUAUUCAUUAGAAGCUUUGUCUAUUUACUGACCCAAUAUUAAAUUAUUAAUUAUAGCGAAUUGAGUUAGGAGGCAAUUUUAGGUUGACUAUUCAAUAUUUUCAUUAUGGCAUAGAGAAUUCUAAAUUCUUAAAUCUUCAUAGAAUAAAAAUAAAUAAAAUUUAUUUUUAAUAAAAAUAUAAUAUAAAACAAUUUUAUUGUCAGAAGGGUUCUUUUAUUAAUAAAAUAAAAAAGUUGAUAUUUAAAAACUAUUUAAAUAAUUUCUUUUCUUUGGACUUUAAUUUAUGAAUUUUUCAAUUUUCCAAAACAUUGAUAAAUAGAAUGAAGAUUUUUUUUAUUUUUUUUAAAUAUUUGUAUGUUAAAUUUUUUUAAAAAAUAAUUUUUAUUUUCUCAUAUCAAACACAUAAUAUUGUUUAAAUUUAAAUUAUUAAUUUAUUUCAAUUAAAGUAUUUUACUUGGUAUUUAUAUUACCAACUCUUAAGCCUUACACAUGGGAAACUUUCCACGCUAUGAGAGGGUUGGUCAACACACACAAAAAAGUAUUUACAUAACUAGGCCAGAAAUCAGAAUUUUUUUUUUGGCGGAAUUAAGUUGUAUAUUUUUAUAAAAGUAAAAAUAUAUUUUUAUUAUUUUAAUAGCUGUAUCUUUAUAAUGUUUAAAAGACUAAAUCAAUUUUUUUAUCAUUUUAGAGGGAGCAAAGUGUAGUUUUACCAUUACUAAUUUAAAAUUUUAUAAAUUAUAAAAAAAAAAUUCAUUUUAAAGGGGUCAGGCUAUCUGCAAAAGUUCAAAAUAUCUAAUAUUUGAAAAGGUUUUGACAAAAAUAUUAAGCCUAAAAAAAUAGACUUGAACAAAAAUUAAAUGUUUAAAGUAUGAGUCGAGCCCAAAUUCCAACAUUCAAGGCCAAAGCGUAACCUAUUUCAAUCUAUUUUACUUAUGUAAUAUAAUGUAUCUAACACUACCCAAACAUUAAAAAAAUAUGUUAUCUAUAUGUUUAAAUUUUUAAUUCAAGUUUAUAAAAAAAAUUUAAAAAUAACUCAAGCAUGCCUAAAAUGAGUUUGGGUUACUCAUUUACAAACAUGGAAGAACUUGAACCAAGUUCUAAGUCCAUAUUUCGGGUCGAGUCAAACUUGAACAAGUAUAAAGUAUUUUAAUAUCAGACAUAGGUCUAGCCCAAAUUUGAUUAGGCUCAACCAUAAACACCCUAUAAGUCACACGAAUAAACAUAUUUUUUGAAAUUAUAUUUAAAAUGACAUUCAUUAUAAUUAAAAUAAUUUAAUAAAUUCAAAUUUAAAUCAUUUUAACACUAGCAAUAAAAACUAUACGUGAAAGUAUAAAUUAAAACACACACAACUUCCUCAAAUGUUUAUAAAUUAAAAUUAUAAAUUCAUUUCUACUAUGUAAUGAGUAAAUAAUCAUCAAUUUCAUACUUUUAAUCUUAUUAUAUAAUGUAAAAAUAUAUAUAUAAUAAUUCUCCCACGAAGAAAAUCGAAAUUAUUGUAACAAUAAUAAUUACUUUUAAUUAAUAUCUGAAAUUAAUGUAUUUUUAUAAUUAUUUUGAUCUUUUUUUCAACAUUUUGAAGUUCUUUUACAUUUAUUUGUGCCAAGCAAAAACAAAGUCAAAAUUCACCAUUUUUCAACAAAAUCAUCAACCACAAUGUUAUGAAAGAACAAUAAGAGAUGAAAUAAAAUAUAUAUAUAUAAAUGAAAAAAGAAAAUAAAGAACAAUACUAACCUGGAAAAAAAAACCUUGUUUAGCGGUUUGAUCCGGCUCGUUUUUCAAAUUUAACCAUGUUCCAAUAUGAUUAUCGAAUAUCGAAAACGAUUUCCGAACUAAAUGCAUUCACAUGUAUUUUUGAAAAAUAAAAAAAAAUAAUUAUUAUGAACUUAAAAAUAUAAAGAAAAGAGAGAGAGAGAGUACAUAAGAAAGGAAGAAGAUUUUUUUGGGGGGUGUUUAAUGUAU
RNAcentral lists this long non-coding RNA (100655 nucleotides) under Gossypium barbadense (sea-island cotton). Its description in RNAcentral is "long non-coding RNA (GBAR_LNC011004)". The stretch from base 349 to 492 matches the Rfam family "MIR7502 microRNA precursor family". Lineage: Eukaryota; Viridiplantae; Streptophyta; Magnoliopsida; Malvales; Malvaceae. The record is from RNAcentral.